Molecule: long non-coding RNA, 128919 nt
Filed under: Malus domestica (apple)
Lineage: Eukaryota; Viridiplantae; Streptophyta; Magnoliopsida; Rosales; Rosaceae
Description: long non-coding RNA (MDOM_LNC017345)
Source: RNAcentral
AGGGGAAGGAAGAAGGAGGAAGGAAGAAGGAGAAGGAGGAAGAAAAAAAAAAGUUGCAGAAGAAGGAAGAAGAAGGAAGAAGAAGGAAGAAGAAGAAAAAAGAAAAAAGAAAAAAAAACGUGGAUGACAUGUAGCACCCAAUCAUGGCACCACGUCACAAUUAACGACAGAUUUAACAGUUUGACUAACGAAUGUAUGAGACUGUCCCAAAAUUUACACUUUAGGUAUGAAUCUGAGACGAAAAAAACUUGAUGUACUAAAUGUUGAAAACCACAAAACAUGAUGGUAGUAAACAGUCUUUUAUCCUUUCAUUAUUUAUCAGAAUCUAAAUAUUUUUAGGUUAAAAUGUUCACAUAAAUAAAUUAGGAUAACUUUUUGACCGUUCAAUAGAAAAAGAGUCAUUGGGCUCGUUUUGGGUGGCCGACAACGAUGUCAGCGUGAGCCCCACCCGCUGUUAGUGUUUCUGCACGUUGUGCACGUCUGUCCUAUGAGCUCUCCAAUUUUGUGGUCGCGUCCACGUGCGUUUCAACCUAGGCCAAAAUCUUGGCUGGCCGGUAUUUGCUCCAAAAACUAUUUCACUCAAAACUUAUUUUAGGUCCAAUUGUUUUACAAGGUUUGGGGAGAGGUUUAUCUUUAACUGAACUAUUGGAGUUGGUCUGACGAGUUUAUGUUUAACUGAAGCAUUACAAUAAUUUGGUAGAAUUUAAACUACGUGAGUACCAAGUAACAUACUUAUGAUAAAUCAUCUAUUUAUUCCAUAUAUUUGGAUGACUAAACGAUUUCGGAUUUAAAUGAUUUUUUAUAGACAUGAUCUUCAAAUGAAAAUAAAAAAAUUGAACGGUUUUGAUUAUAUAAUUUAUAGGGUAAAUUACACAAAAUUACCUCAACUAUGGGUCGAACGACACUAUCAUACCACAUCUUUUAAAAAUGACUAUGUCAUAGCUCAUCUUACAAAUUUGUUCUAAUGUCAGACCUCUGUCAGUUUUUCUGUUAAUUUCUCUGUUAAAUACUGAUGUGACUAGAGGUGGGGCCCACUCACUAAUCCAACUGGAUUAAAAAUAAUUAAAUAUUAAAAAAUUAAAAAUUAAAUUAUUUUUUUAUAUAAAAUUGUGGAAUCCACCUCUACAAACCCUUCCCCACCCGUCCCCCAAACCUUCCUCCACCAUCCUCUCUUUCUGGGCAACCUGCAAUCUAUCUCCCCCAACCUUCCUUCACCACCAAAACCAGAACCCACUUCCCCACCGCCACCCUCACCUGCUAAUCACCCUCUUCGAUGCUAAGAAGGCCGACGAUGGCUUCACCCGCAGCUCCUUGAGCUGGUCCCUGUUCAUGUGCAAUACCCUACCCAUCUGCAUCCUUCAGAACCAAGCUGAUCCUUGUUCAUAUGCAGCAUCGUCCGCCUCGGCGGAGUUGUUGGUGGCGCACAACCCAUUGGACCCGGUUACCGGACAGAGCGAUGCUUUGGUGGGUCCUUGGUGGAUGACUGAGGAGGCACCGAGGAUGACACAUUUGUCUAAGGUAGAGCUGAAAUCGGCCCUCGACCUAAGCAGAAUUUUGUAGUCGAUGCCAAGCUCGCCGUUAGGAAGCUCGAUCCGGCGAGUGGUGGGUGACACCAAAUUGGUCGAGACUUCGCCGAUCUUGUUGAAAAUGAAGGAGGAGGGAGUCGGGAAGGCGAUCGUAGUGGUCGUUGUCGAUGGAGGAGUAGGAUUCCGAGAAGAUUGAAGGUUGCAGGUUGUACGGGAAGAUUGAAGGUUGCAGGUUGUAGAGAGGGAUUUUAGAGAGGGGAUGAGAGGAGAAAUUAUGGUAGGAGGAGAAAUAUCCACAUGGGUUAGGCUUGUAGGGAUUUUAGAGAGAGAGUGGGGGAUGGGGGAAGAAAUUGCAGAUUACAGGUUGCCCAGAGAGAGAGGAGAAAGAGAGAGAGAGGAGAGAAAGCGUAGUGGAGGAAGGUUGGAUGGAUGGGUGGGGAAGGGUUUGUAAAGGUGGAUCUCACAAUUUUAUAUGAAAAAUAAUUUUAAUUUUUUAAUAUUUAAUUAUUUUUUAAUCCAGUUGGAUUAGUGAGUGGGCCCCGCCUCUAGCCACGUUAACAUUUAAAAGAUAAAUUAAUAGAAAAACUGACGGAGGUCCGACAUUAGAACAAAUUCGUGAGAUGAGGUAUGAUAUUGUCAUUUUUUAAAUUGAGGUAUGAUAGUGUCAUUCGACCUAUAAUUGAGAUAGUUUUGUGUAAUUUAUAGUGUUAUUCGCCUACCAAUUUUUACUUUUCACACACCCUUCUUAAUAUUUGACCAUUGAAUCGAAUUAAUUGAAAAGAUCAAUAGUAAAAAUUUAACAAAAAUGUAUGAGAGAUAAAAAUGAAUUGGUCAAUAACAUUAUCCAUCGAAAGUUUUGGAGGCUAAAUUAUACCCGAUUACCCGUGCACUUGAACCCGGCCUACUACCAGACUUGAAAGUUGAACCCCUCUCUCCGAGUCCGAGCGUGGUGGUAGAGUGAAUACUGACUUGCGCAGGUGCAAGCACUUCCCUCUUCGUUUACGUGAGCUUGAUUUCUCGUCAUUCUGCUUGGACUCACGACCUGUUUGGUUCCUGGGAAAAUUGAGUAAAACAGAAAGAAAAAGCUCAAGUCUUGCAAUUUCUCAUAAUUGAGUGGAGAUGUUUUAGUUGCUGCUGCUGAGUUCCCAAAACAAAUGGGUAAUCACCAAUUUCCUUCCUCUUUUUUCACUUUUCUUUUUUCAGCUUAUUUUUCUUCUUGCAUCCUACAAGAUUAGUUAGCAAAGAGAACAUUUCACUUUGAAAUUUUUGAAAUUUGUAUAAUUUUUUUUUACAAUUUUUCGUAUUUAUUCUUAAUUUUGAAGCUUUUAUUAUUGAUUUUUUGGUAUCAGGUAAUUCAGUGAAAUGAGCUUUUGUGUUGUGUAAGCUUUGUCUGAUUCUAUGGAGAUAGAUCUUGAACUGCCCUCAUGUUAGCAGGACAAGUUAGACAUUAGGGCAGAUAAGGAUGUUAACAUUGUAGAUGUCACUGAUGAGAUAAAUGUUGAGGAGGAGCGUGUUAGUUACCCGAUAAUGAGUGAUCGUGUUAAGGAAGUUGAUGGAUUGAAUGCAGAACAAGGUAUUGGGUCGGAUAAAGAUGUUGACAUUGUAGAUAUUUCCUAUGACGUAAAUGUUGAGGAGGAGCAUGUUGGUUCUCCACCAACAAGCUAUCAUGUUAAGGAAGUUGAUGGGUUGAAUGCAGAACAAAGUGUAGGGUUGGAUAAAGAUGUUGACAUUUUAGAUGUUGCGGAUGAGAUAAAUGUUGUGGAGGAGAGUGUUAGUGCUCUGACAACGAGUGAACAUGUUAGGGGAGCUGAUGGGUUGAGUGCAGAAGAAAGUGUUAGGUCAGGUAAACAUGUUAAUGGUGUAGAUGUCCCAUAUGAGAUAAAUGUUGAGGCGAAUGUUAGUUCUCCGACAACGAAUGAUCAUGUUAAGGAAGUUUAUGGGUUGAAUGCAGAACAACGUGUUGGGUCAGAUAGAGAUGUUGACAUUGUAGAUGUCAAUGAUGAGAUAAAUGUUGAUGAGGAGCAUGUUAGUUCUCUGACGAGUGACUGUGUUAAGGAAGAGGAUGGAUUCAAUGCAGACCAAAGUUUUGGGUCAGAUAAAGAUGUUGACAUUGUAGAUAUCACAGAUGAGGUAAAUGUUGAGGAGGAGCAUGUUACUUCUCCGAUAACAAGUGAUCAUGUUAUGGAAGUUGAUGGGUUGAAUGCAGAACAAAGUGUUUUUAGUUUGAAUGAUCAAAAUGAUCUGAACAAUGUCGGGGUAGAUUCCCUUGAUAAGGGGAAGGGGGUAGUUGAGGAGCCCGAAAAUGGUUUGGAGUUUGAGUCUAAGGAAGAAGCUUACUCUUACUACAGGGAGUAUGCCCGGUCUGUGGGAUUUGGCAUCACAAUUAAAGCCAGUCGGCGCUCAAAAAAAUCUGGAAAGUUCAUUGACAUAAAAAUUGCAUGCUCUAGAUUUGGAAGCAAGCGUGAGUUGGGAACAACUGUCAAUCCAAGAACAUGCAUCACAAAGACGGACUGCAAAGCUAGCUUGCAUAUAAAGAGGAAAGAGAGUGAAAAAUGGGUAGUACAUAGUUUUGUAAAGGAGCACAACCAUGAGAUUUGCCCAGAUGAUUUCAUUUAUGCUAUCAGCGGAAGGAACAAGAAACCUGCUAUCGUUGUUCCUCAGAAGACGGGUCUGCAGUUGGCUUUAGAUGAGGAAGAUGUAAGAGUAAUGUUUGAACAUUUUAUGUCUAUGCAGGAUGAGGAUCCCAACUUCUUCUAUGCAAUAGAUUUUGACCAUGAGAAACGAUUGAGUAGUGUGUUUUGGGUUGAUUCAAAAUGUAAGCGUGAUUAUAGCAGUUUCUGCGACGCAGUCUUCUUUGACACUUACUAUGUUAGAAACAAUUAUAAAAUUCCUUUUGUUCCUAUUGUUGGAGUUAAUCAUCACUUUCAGUACAUUUUGCUUGGAUGUGCAUUGAUUGGAGAAGAGACUACAUCGGCUUUCGUUUGGUUAAUGCGGACGUGGCUUAAAGCAGUGGGUGGCCAAGCUCCAGUAGUGGUUAUCACCGAUCAAGACAAAUUCCUGAAAGAAGCUGUAGAAGAUGUGUUUACUGAUGCACGCCAUUGUUUUUGCUUAUGGCAUGUAUUGACCAGGAUUCCUGGAAAUUUGGGUUCCAUAAAUGAGAAAGAAACAUUUAUCGAAAAAUUCAGCAAAUGCAUUUACCGGUCUUGGACAGUUGAGCAAUUUGAAAAGGAAUGGUCGAAACUGGUUGAUAGAUUUGAACUAAGAGAAAAUGAGUGGGUUCAUUCAUUGUAUGAAGAUCGUAAAAAGUGGGCCCCAACUUAUAUGCAGGAUUCGUUUUUAGCUGGAAUGUCAACAAGGGAGCGAUCUGGAAGUAUAACUUCAUUCUUUGAUAGGUACAUUUCUCAAGAAGCUACAUUUAAGGAUUUUAUUGAGCAGUACAAAGCAUUUUGUAAAGAUAGUUAUGACAUGGAAGCUGGCGCUUCUCUCAAAACACAGGAUAAACAACCUGGAUUAAGAUCCUUCUCGCCUUUUGAGAAACAAAUGUCAACUAUCUAUACUGAUGCUGUAUUUAAAAAAUUUGAGGACGAGGUUUUUGGACUAGCUUCUUGUCAUUUGAAGAAAGAAGGUGAAAAUGAAGCAUCUGUAAUCUUCCGGGUCACAGAUUUGGAAGAACGCCAGAAUUUCAUCGUGUCUUGGAAUGAAGCAGACCAAAAAGUAUGUUGUUUAUGUCAUUCAUUUGAAUGCAGAGGUUUUCUCUGUAGGCAUGCAAUUCUGGUCCUCCAGGUGUCUGGUGUUUACACAAUCCCAUCCCAUUAUAUUUUGAAGCGUUGGACUAAAGAUGCAAAAGUUAGGCAUACUGUUAGCGAUGGAUCGAAGAGGCUUAACUGCAGGGUGCAGCAUUUCAAUGAUCUAUGUAAAUUAGCUGUUAAGUUGGGUGAAGAGGGGUCUUUAUCUCCGGACGCUUACCACAUUGCACUUCAGGCAUUAGAAACAGUUAUGAAACAUUGUGUCGAUGUGAAUAAUUCUGUAAGAAGUGUUUUGGAACCCGUGUCAGCUAAUCAUGGUUUUAUUGACGUUGAACUAGUGGAUCCCAGCUGCAGUGUAGCCAAGUUGUCGAAGAAAAAGAAAACAUACAAAAAAAGAAAGGUUAGUUAAGGCUUGAUCUUUGGCAUGUAGAUCUUGCUACAACUUGUUUUGGGUCAUCCUAAUUGAUGUGUGCCUAAAGUCGAUUUUACAUGUACUGUAGGUGCAAACUGAACUGGAUGGCACUGCUAUCAGGUUGCAAGACAGCUGCCAGCAGAUGGUUUGUCUCACGAUCUUUUUUGUUCCAAAAUUCUCUCGCUCAUCGAUUCUUUGUUUUCAACUUUAAUAUAUUAUGAUUCACCUCACUAUGGUUUUUAAAUGUAGGAACUGAUGAAGUCCAGAGCACAUAAGCUUGAUAAUUGUUACGUCCCUCAGCAAGAAUCUGAACGGGUAAUAUGAAACAGCUAUGUUAUCCCAGAAUAAUGCAAUAAGAGUUUGUUGGUAUGUAACCAUACAGUAUUUUCAUCCAGUGGUUAAGUUAUAUCCAGGGUUGUUUUAUACUUAUAUCAGGGACAGUUGAACUCAAUUUCUCCUAUCCAUGAGGGUUGUUACGACAACCAACGGGUCACCCAGGUACGACCCAAACCUUUAUUUAUUCUGACCUUGAUUUUUCAUAUUGAUUCAGGAAUCAGAAUGCAAACAUUUUCUUUCGAUUUCAUUCAGGGACAGGUUCAUUCGUUACCAACACAUACUCGUCACUUAGGGACCCAACAGAGCCUGCAAGGAAUGGUACUGGAUUUUUCGUACAUGGCAUUCUAUCAAGCAGUACGAUUCAUCAAAUCCAAAUACUAAAAUUGCAGUGUGUUGUUUUUGGCUUUUUUUAGUUGCAGCUACAACCUAGUCCCAGAGCACCGAUUGUGCAUGGCUGUUAUGAGAUUCGGGGCAAUCCCGAAGAUAUGGUGGGCAUUUGAAUAGCCUAUUUGGACUUCUGUUUCCUAUUUGACAUUGGAUUUUCUUUGCACGAACUUAAUGCUCUUUGGCUGCAGGAACAGUCUGUAGGCUCCUCGCGCAAGCAUCGACGUGAUAAGCACCCACCAAAAUAGCUGAGAGACAAUGCCCAUCCAUUGAGAUGAAGAGACUAUCGUCCAGUUGUAAAUUCAGCCUCAUGCCUGUAAACGAGGAUUGAAAAUGAUGAACUCAUAUAUCCACGUUUUUUCGGUACGUAGUGAUAAACCAAAUCCCAUUCCAUCUCCGUUUGCUAAUGCACAAUCACAAUCCAAUUCCAACAUGGAAUCCUCAGACGACAUGCCUACUCCAGAACAAGUUUCAUCCUGACUUAACUUCUAUUUAGUCCACGUUCUGUUUAGAUUGUAAUCCUAGUUCUACGUGUGUUUGUAUACUACUCCUAUAAAUAUCAAUGAACAUCGCUCACUCUGAUUAAGAGUUGAGAUUCUGCAAAUCAUAUUUACCAUCUUUCACAUAGAUGUUUUCGUUUUGUUCUUUUACUGAACAGUUGUACAAAACGAUGUCGGAAGAAACAACAUAAGUUGAAUUUUAUGUCAUGCACUCUUCAACUGCGUUUCUCUUCUCAACGAGUUCUAUUUUAAGACUCGAUAGGUAUGAUGAAUCUUUUAUACGAGGCUACGCCAUCUCUUCAUGGUUAACCUUUUCAUUUCACCGCGUUGCAGUGGUCUAGACAAAGGGUGAUUGGCUAUCAGUCCUAUGGUUAGUCGCCCACGCGCUCAUGUGAAGUCUGACCGUUGAAGUAUGUGGAACCCACGAUGCAUCAAUGGCGAUCGAGGAUUGCUCAGCACACGGACGGCUGACCUUGGGAAGAGUAUACAUUCAUAUAAGUAAAAUAUGUCAUAUCAUUUCUCCUGCAAAUUUUGUUUGAAGUUAUGAUACAUUAUGCAACAAUCUUCCGCUUUCAUUGCUAACAAAAUUAUUGUGUAUGGCAAUAGAAGACGAAUGCUUUUCCGUCAAAAAUAUGCCGAGCUUGUAGCGCUGCACAAUCAUCAUCAGUGUUCCUUUCGUGUAUUGUUGUUCGGUAUGUCAGUUUAUAUCGGACCUCUUCUGUAACUUGCACCACAAUCCGUUCUUUGUGUGGAGUGUUGCCCCUGUAACUUGUUCCACUGAAUCUGGGGAUCCUUUUAGCUCGACGGUGAACUUCUGCAACAGCAUAGCCAGUGCCACAGUUGACUCCAUUAGAGCAAACUGGUCUCCGACGCAUUUUCUUGGCCCUCCACCGAAAGGUAAGAAGGCGAAAUCUGCUAUAAUCUGAUAGUUGCAAUCAUAAAAUCAUUACAUGAUAGAUAUCAUCAAUGAUGUAGGUGCAAAAGUGGCAGUGACUAGUAAUAAUAACCUCAUUCGGGUACAACGCUCCAGGGCUUCGAGAAGGGUCAAAACCAGCCCAUCCUUCAACGUGACUCUUCUUUUCGACUAAAAACCUCUCCGGUUCAAACUCAUUAGGAUUGUCCCAAAAGUAUGGAGAUCGAUGGAGAUUAUAUACCUGAAUGGACAAUGGUUUUGGAAGUUCAAAGCAAAUAGCUUAGUGUUACAGCUGAGGUCCGGGCUUAGUGUUACCUUAACAAACCUUUUUACAGAACUUCAUCAAGAAACAAGGAAACUUAACUUCUUAUACUCACAGAAAUGAAGAGAUCAGUCCCAGCGGGAACCGCAUAACCAUCUUUUGCACCGUUGUAUCCUCCUGCACGAUGGACAUAAGUCCGUCUUAACCUAGAUAUGACUUUGAUAAAAAGAACAAAAUGUUGUUGCCGUUCAGGGUCUUUUCUUCUGUCCUAAUACCUGGUAGCUUAUCUGGUUUGAGAGAACGUCUAAUAAGCAAGGGGGGUUGGGGAAACAAACGAAGAGACUCUACCGCGAUAAGUCUGGUGUACCUAAAAGAAGAAAAACCAUAUACUGAAUCAAUCAUUCGGGUGAAAAAGAGCCAAGUUCAAGUAAUCAUCGUAAUGUCUUAGGAGGAACGGACUCCAAUUUUUUUAUUGAUUCGUAAGUUGGUCCGUCCUGUCCAAGCACUGAAUCAAUCUCUUCUUGCGCUUUCUUCAUCUUGGACGGGUUCUGCAAGAAAGCAAAUUAAUUGCGCCUGUAUCAUCAUCACCGGUUCUGCAUAACUUUAUUCUGAAACCUAACAUGGCUGCAACAUUCAAAUUAGAAACGAAUACUUGUGCAAGGAAGAAAACAGCCCACGUAAGCACAGCAGCCGUCGUUUCAUGGCCAGCAAUAAGCAUUGUCAUCAAAUCAUCCCUCAACUGUUGAAAUCCACAGGUACCGUUUAUUAGAAUUAUACGCAAAUACUCUAAACGUUGUUGAAUUAUACGCAAAGUAAAUUAUUUUGGUCAGAUUUGCUGUACCUAAAAGCAUUGAAGUUUUUCAAGUAUUUACCUGACGAUCAUCAACAUCUGUUCCACGCAUAUCAACUAAGAAACGCAAUAGGCUUGCAUCCUGCAAACUUUAUAGUUACAAUGCCAGAAUUUUAACGCUUCCGCAAAGCUCCUAAUUGCAAUCAUUUAUCUUUAGAGUUCACAAGCAAAUGUGGAUUGAAUUAUUUUUUGAGUUGGAGUUUUCCCCACCUUCAGAUUUAAGUAAUCCCUUUGUUGCAGUUUUUCAACAUCUGUUUCCUGUCACAGAAUAUAAUCAAAAUACGGUUCUUAAUACUCGAAUUUUUUGUUUAACAUCUGUUUCCAAUAAUGCUACAAACAUCAAUAAUUUCAUUCAGCUCAAGUUUCAUCUAACCUCUCUGGUCUCUUUCGCAUUUCUGAUGAGUACAUCAAGACAGUCAUUUAUAACCUUCAGAUCACCGUAGAACUUCCGUUGCCUGGGCACUAUCCACUUUGCCAGUGGAAAUUUCCAAUAUGGGAUAUAAAAGGUGGACCGAUGUUCAGCUUCAAAAAGAGUGCCAUACACUGCCUGUAAUAUAUUUGCACAAAAAUCUGAACAUGAAUUCUCAGCAGCAAGUACAUUAACAUGAAUUCUAAAUCAAUAUCAAUAAUAGUUGAAGGGGAACAAGGUCAUAUCGUAUACUAAAAAAAAGUAACGGUUCGCAAUGAUUAGUGAAUUGUAAGAUUAUGUUCACUCCAGAAAUUAUAAGAAAACCCAAUGUAUGUUAAACAGAAUACAAAAAAUGCAUGUACAACUGAUAUGAAAACCCAAUGUUCUUCUGAAAAAGGAGAUCAAGAUGAGAUGCAUCAAAUGCCCGAUACAACAUUACGGAAUCUUUAGAAUGUGAGCUCAUUUUGCCAAACCUUAAUUACAGGAGAUUCUUUGGUAACAGAACCAAAGUCGUAGUUGAAGACACCAAGCCCGAUAAUAUCAAGAGCCAAACUCGAAAACUCUGCUUCAAGAUCCAACUCUAUUGCCUUGCCACCACGCAAGCUCUCUCUUUCAAGUAGCUUCUCAAAUUUUACUAUUGUUCUUUCUGAACAAUUUCUGAAUGUCUUGACCAUAGCUUCCAAGUAUAAAGAAUGGAACGCCGGAGCAAUAACUGCAAAAACAGAUUAUGGCUGGUAAAUCCCUAUACUAUGGAUCACUAUCAGUUACAAACUUACAAUAUGGACCCCAUAUUCUUUUCCCCAACCUGAGGUGAAAACUCUUAAUAUUAACUGUUACUGCUCACCUCUUCUCCUCUGCUUCCAAGUGUCAAGGUCAGCGGGUAUAAGUCCCUUGCCCAUAAUUGGUUCUAGAAUAUCAGCCAGAACUCCCUAUGUGCAAGUGUGCAAGCAAUUGGAAAGAACAGAUUAGAAUAAGUAAAAAUUAUUUGACUCAAAACAGCUUAUAAAUGAAAUAUAUACAUUUGCACAUCUUAUAUAAACGACUGAGAUGACAAAAAGGGAAUUCGAAAAUAACUCAAGAUUAUAUACCGAACGGCAAAAAGGUUAACCAUGUUAGCAAAUUACGCGGGAAUGAUGAGUUUACUUGUAAAGGAACAUGAUACACUAACAAUGAUGGCAUUACAAACAUGGAAAAUGAAGAGAGAACCAACAAUUCAAAUUCUUGCAAUACAAGGGGAGUCCAGAAUCCAGAGCACAUUAGGUAGUACCUUAUCAUAACUAAAUGCAUUUUCUCGAAGAAUAUGCCUCGCAACAAUUGGAUCUGAUACAACAACAAAAGCUUUUGGUCCAAAUGCAAGCUUGUACACAGAGCCAUGCUGCCAAGACAAACAAAAUUUGUAAAACGGAAAAACAUUCAAUGAAAAAUGGAACUCAGAAAGCCAAUGUAACAGAGUCCCCAGUCCCCGCAGCUGCGAAACUGUGAUUUCUAUCUGUAUAUACCAUCAAAUUUUAAAGGGAGUUUUAAUGAAACACUCUCGAUACUGUUCACUUUUAACGAAAAAUCACAUUUUUACCUUUCCUGAUACUAUUCACUACACCUUUAUUUGUCAUUUUUCAUUAAAAACUAAAGUUCUUUUUGAACUUUUCGUUAGUUUUCCUAAUUUUAAAUCUAAACAAGCAAAUGAACAAUUGAUGACAGGGUAAACAAUUCAAAUAAAGCAGAUGCAUACCUCUAUAAACCAAUCAUACAGUGAAAAGAAGAGAGGCCGAUCAAACAAAUCGGUGACUGCACCUUCAGCUGUGGGCAUGGACCCAAUUUUCCCACCACUUAAAAAAUUGGUAAGGAGGUUGCUUGCAUUGUCCAGUAAAUUUCUCUUCGUUUUUGGUUCCUCGGUACUGGUCGAUUGGCACCUACAUUUACCAAAUUCACAUCAUAUUAUCUAAUUUUAGAGUGAAUUGAAAGUUCAAAUCCACAUCAUAUCCUCUCUCAAGAAACUAAAGCAUUCAACUUUAAAAGAAACAUCAUCUUAUCUAAGAAACCCAGAAGCUAAAAAAUGUUUAUCUGAUAAAAUGAUUACAUGGGUAUCUUUUAAUUGCUGCUUUCUCCAUUCUCCACCAAGUUUUAGUCACCCAACUGACCAAAAGUGCAAAAAAUCAAAGGAAAAAAAAACUCAGUAAAACAGUAAAAGAAAGAGAGAUACCUGAGAGGACAGUGCCUGGGCUUGGAAUUGAGAAGAUGGGAGGUAGUUGAAGAGUGAAAGUAACCCAAUUCAUCUCUCCGGAAGUUGAGAUUAAUGAGAGUUGGAGGAGAAGGAUGCAACAGAGAAGAACCAGCCAUGGCCGUUAGGCAAAUAGUUAGGUAGCAGUUCUUCAGUUGGAGAAGUGGGAUUUAGCUGGGGAUAUUAGUACUUGGGAUAUUUUUGUACAUACACAACACUGAAAUGUAGGAAGCAUGACAUGAUUUGAGAAGCGGAGGUGUACGGAUUUAGUAAAAAAUGGAAGUUGUGGGUGCUUUGGGUGGUUGGUUUUUGUCACUCUCUCUUGCCUGCCCACUAAAAUCAGGGAAGGACUUUUAUCCAGAGCCUGACCAAACAAAGUGUACAAAAUUCAUGAGUCAACAAAUAAAUGGUUGUCUGCUUCUUGUCCACUUUCUCCAUGCUUAGGUGGAGAUAAGUUUUGAUAAAACUGCCUAAUUUCUUCGACUCUUAGAGAUCGAAUGAGAUCAAAAUAAAAGAAAAUUAUAUCUCAUAAUGACAAUUAGGACAUUGAGCACUCUGCACAUAUUCUUAAAUCUUUUGAGUAACAACUUAUAUAAUGUAUAGGCCUAAACAUAACUCAGAAGCCCAAGGGUUUUGGAGCCUUGGCCUAGGAGGCUUUUAAUUGCAAGCAUCAAUUUAUUCCACAAGGAGGUAUUUCUGAAAAAUUGUGCAUGGCUACGUCGGUGUUUGAUUAAUUUUUUACUAUUGAUACAUGUGAGUCCUACAAUAAGACUCAUACGCGCAACAAUUAUGAAUUAAUUAUAUAUUUACAAAAAAAUAACGAAAGUUUCAUAAGGGAAUCGAAGCAGGCUACCAUGAGACAAAAGAUCUUUCUAAAGAGAUUCUAUUCCGAAACUAUUAUAUGUCCAAGGUCCAAUCUUGAAAUAAUUUCAGAGGUUUUCCUUAACUUUGUCUUGUCAACAAACAAUUCGAAACGCCUCGACUUUUUUAGAACAGGUUUCAAGUCAAAUAGCAAUGAUUCGAAACACUUCUUUAUUUUAUACACUAUUUCGGAAACCCAAGGACUCAAUCGUAUGGAUAUGUAAAAUACAGGAUUUCCAAUCCUAACCAGUAAGGGGUUGAACAACCAUACAUGCAUCCUUUUGCAUUGCAUACGGCUUUAUAAUGGAAUUUGUUUUUACCUUACUUAAAUAUCAAAUAAAUUAAAGGAUAAAUUAUGUUUUCAUCCCUCAUUUCCCCUUCUCAUUAAUUGAAACCUUAUUCAUUUUUUAUCAAGGUCCUUGACUUUCUUAAUGUCAUUAUUUGAAUAUUAAGUUAUUUACAAGUCAUUAUAUGUCAAUUUAAAAAUGAAAAAUUAUUAAUCACCUUCAUAUGUACCCAUAUUUUUAAUUUAAUUUUUAUCAAUAUUUAUGAACAUACCCAUGCUAAUUUCGCAUAGUCUUGAAUUUUAAUAUGUACCCAUAUUUUUAAUUUAAUUUGUACCGAUAUUUAUGAACGAACCCAUGCUAAUUAUAUGUUGUUAUUUUAUGCUUUAAAAUAUAUCAAUAGUUAUUACUUGCACUAUAUUAAUAAUUACUUUAUUAUUGAUUUUUAAGUAAUUGUUAUAUUCGUAACAAUAUUAUUUGGAUUUGUUUAAAUUUCAUAAUUUGUGGGUACAAUUUUUUUUUUUUUAGCUAGAACUAUGAGAAGAACACAUUACUCCAUUAUUGAUUUUUAAGUAAUUAUUAUAUUUGUAACAAUAUUAUUUGGAUUUGUUUAAAUUUCAUAAUUUGUGGGAUAUUGAAUGCAUAAAUGCAUGAGUUAAAUCCCUUAAAUGAUGCUAAGAACCUUGAUCAAACUAUUCAAACAAAUAAGGUUUCAUUCUAACAACUAGGUUGAUUAUGGACAAGAACUAAAAUGACCCUAAAUUAAAUAUAGGGUAUAUCAGACUCGGGUUGGUGAAUGACCAAAUAAAUUAAAUAUACUUGUUGACCAUUGAUCAACUGAUCGGAUUAACCAACCAAAAUUAGCUUCAGUCAUUAUAUGUUGAACAGAAAGCAAAGGCUUUCGUAACGGUCGGUCGGACGAUAAUAAAAAGUCGUAGCAAACCCGAUAGCUACUUGUACUAAAAAACAAGUAAGCAUAAUUCCCCCUAGACAAAAAAAAAAUGAAAACUACAAAUAUUCAAUUUUUUACGAACGGGAUCGUGAAUUUUAUUAAUUCGACACAAGAAAGGGUUGGGUAAAAAUUCCAUUUCUUGUGUCAAGGAUUAGGAGACGAACAACCUUCCCUAAAAUCCUUUGUUCCUCUCAUUUUAUACUUUGGUUUCUAUUCUCCGCUUAUUUAUCUUUUGUUAGAUUUUGAUUAUAGUCAAAUAUAAAACUAUUGAUUCAUUCUAUAUCAUACUGUUUCAAUUUUGAUUGAAAAAAACAAAUAAAUAAAGAAGAGUUAAGUAAAACUGUCGCCUUCACAAUAUACUAUGACCAAAGAAUGCGGUACUAAGUAAUUCCUGAAAUCCGGUAUAAUAAAUAAUAUAAAUAAGCAAAAAAAAAAAAUUGUGUACACAAUUCCCAACAAAAAUUGUUUGUUUUUACUAAAUGGGGAUUAGUUGUGGGGUCCACACCACAUUGAACUUCGACGAUCCGAACCGUCUAUUUUUCAAGUUGGAUCUUACAGAUUAUCCUUGCAAAAUAUUAGCCAAAUUGGAAAUAUUUGAGACAUCUAAUUGAAUUCAAAGAAAUUGACAAACAUUUUGUUGUAUAAGAAACAAUGAAAGUUCAUCGUGAUAAUCAAGUAGGCAAAUAGUUUCAGAUUAAAUUGAAUCUUUGUAAGGAUGAUCUAUGAAUUGAGAGUUACAAAAUAGAUGGUUCGAAUCGUUGAAAUUCGAUGUGGGAUGGACACUACAACUAAUUCUCAUUUUUACCCAAAAAUAUGGAUACCUUUAGAUGAAGGGCAUAUAUAUAUAUAUAUAUAUAUAUAUACACAUGCACACGCACACGCACACGAGCAAGUGUGAAAACAUGGUAAAGAUUACUUAGUAAAUUACUGAAUUAUCUCAAGGAUCAUAACCUCCAAUAAGUCCUUAGGAGAGCAGGACUCUCAUAACCUAUGUUCACAUACACAUAGGAGAAGCCACUGAAUAAUGUUGCCGCAGAUUGAGCAAUUAGGAACAUCAAAUAGCCAUAUAAAUAUAUACACACACAUAUGUAUAUAUAGACAUUUGAAGAAGUGAGUAAUAGUCAAAGGAACGUGGGGAAAUAGGACGUCAUCUGUUUGAAAUUUCGUAUCACUAUAUAUAAUGGAUUUAUAUUCUUAAAUCUUAAUUAAUCAUAUAUCUCCCGCCUAACGUGUUCUUCUUUGACUUUCCUCUCUAUCUCUCAUUCUGGUGGUUGAGGGUCGAGACUACAUUUUUAUCUGCUUGUGAGGCACUGAGGCAGAUUGAUAAAGAAAGAUUUGGACUUUUGUUUAAAAGGAAUAUGAAGAAAUAAAAGAGAUUAUUUACCACUUUAUAUAUACUUUCGACGUGUCAUAGUAAUCGUGCGUGGAAGUGGUCAGUCUUCUUAAACCUCUCAUUUGAUACAAUUCUUAUGUUACAUUAAUAGGAGCCAAAACAUGAUUCAUGAAAUUCUCGAGGAUCGAACUGAUGCUUUGAUACCAACUGAUUCACCGUUUGUCGGUAAAAAUGAUAGAAAAUUUUCAAAUCUUCCUCAAUUUUGUUGAUUCUCUAAAGAAUUCUAGAACAAGGGCCUCGACGAUUUCCACCAUUAUACUAAAAAUAGAGAAAAGUCUCUCAAUUUCAUCCAACACAUGAUUGCUGGAUUUGAAUAGCAUGGUCGUUGGAAUACUGAGAAGAAGAAAACCUGACAUAAACUAAAGAACAUUCAAAGUAGAAAAGUCUACAGCCAUCCACAUAAGAGGGAAUUGGAAAACCAAUCAACAAUGAUUUUAAUUGACUUAUUUGUUUAUAUCUUUCUGGUUCAUAUUCUGAGUUUAAAAAUGCUUGUUUCAGGACAUGAGACACAAAGGCAAUGCAGAUAUAGCACUUUAUAGUUUGGUCUUAAUCUACCGGAAAAUUCAGAAUUUUAUAUCGCCUUUUAAAAUGGAAAAUCUAGGGCUAGCCAUGGCUGAAUCAGAUGGCUCCAACCAGCACAAAAAAAGUAAAAAGAAUUAUCAAAUGACAAGAGAAAGAGGAAAUUAAUACUGUUUUUCGUAAUGGUUGGAGUUACUGCUACUUCUGAAUUAUUUUCUAUCUUUGGUAGAUAAACUGAAUUACCUUUUCCAUUAAAGAGCUUAUUACAAUUAUUAUUAUUUUUUUUGUUGAAAAUAUUUGUGUGGCAAUAUAGCUCGUAAUAAAAAAAAUUCUUGACAACAAGGGUAACGAAUCAAACAUUAUUUAUGCUUUGUUAUUGAAGGAAUGUUUAUUAACCAUGAGCAAGAAUAAUGGGAUAUGAAUUGUUUGGGUAAGGAAUAAUAACAACCUACCAUGGUAAUCUCAAACCUUUUUACCUUUUUUUAAGGGGAAAACAACUAGUGGCGGACUACAGUAAUCCACUCUUUCAGGUUCAAAUAAGGUUAGUUGGGAAUUGCAGCUUACACAUAACCACGAUCAAGCAAAUUCACAGCUUACAAAGUAUCAAACGUUGUACAUCCCUUUUCUUUCUUUAUUUAGAGAGUUGUUGUUCGCAUUUUUCUACUAGGUCACUUGUUAUGGUAAUUUGGUAAUCUCAUACCUUAGCUUUUAAGGUAUAAAAAGGUAUGAGAUACCCAAAUGCAUCAUGUUUUUCACUCAUGAUUAUUAAUAAUUAAAAAUAAAUGGGAAUCACACUAAUUCCUUUCAAAUCUUUGAUUGUUAGUAACAAAAAUGAAAACAAUAAUACCCAUUCUUUAAAAUUUUAUUUCUUCUAAAUAAACAUGAUCUGAAUUUUUACUCCACCACUUUCAUUAAUUAGGUUUAUGAUGUGGAUUUAUCUCAACAACAUUAAUAAAAAGGAUUUGGGGUGUAGGUAAGAAAAAAGAAAAGUAGUAAUAAUCUUUUAAUCUCAAUAAAUAGUAAAUUAUACAAUGACCAAAUAGUUUCGUUGGUUUCUGCUCAACAGCUUGACUUUUAGGCAAAAAAAAAAAAAAAAAGGAGUCAAAUAAUAGGACAAAAAUUGUUUCUAGUGCUUUUUUUAUCCAGGAAAAUAUAUCUGAUUUUUUAGCACAAUAAAUCAAAAAAGUGCUUAUUAGGAAUUGUCAACUAGAAACUAUAAAGCAUUAGAAAAUCUAUCAUUUAGUAAUUUAAUUUAAUAGUAUUUAACUUCAUUUGUAAGUAUGUUUAAUUUUUAUCAAAAAUAAAUUUGAAUCACAAUAUUAUUGCUAGUCCCUAAUUAGAAAUUUAGCUUACUCUCUUAUCUAUUUAAUAUAAAUAAUAUCGUUUAUUAUAAAAAAAAAGCAUUGAAAAACUUCGUGUAUGAACGCUUUAAGGAUAUAAUUAUUAAAUUUGUAAAAGUAACUAUUUAUAAUUUUAUAUGAAAACGGGCGAGUUGGGGCAAAGAAUCAAAUAAAGACGAGGACUUGGAAGUUGGAAGGUGCUUGGUUGUUUCAUUGCGGCCCCAAAGACGUCUUCCGUGUGUCACGAGUGAAGUCACCAACAGCCUCCAGAGAUUUUUUAGUGUAACUCGUAUAUGAAGAGAUACAUUACGUGUUACUAUUUAAAUUGUAUGAUAUGUGUGUUAAAAAGUUAUAACUUGAAAAAUAAAAUUUCUUAUCAUUUAUAUAAAAACACGUAGUUUAUCACUCGUAUUCCGGUCAUAAUAAAAAAUUUCUCCUCCACCACCACCAUCACCGCCAUUCUCUUUCUGACGUGGACACCACCGUGAUGACGCAAUCAUUAUCAAGCUGGCGUCUGCCAAUAUGUUGCUUCCAGGAAACCAUAUAUGCUUUUGUACAAUACCUUCCAGAAACCCUGAAAAAGCUAAAGCUAUUUUUCAUUUGCCAAUAUUUUGAUUUUUCCUGCCCACAGCCACCACCCCCACGUGCCAUAUCACGUGACAUCACCUAUCUCUCCCAAAAUCAACGGUCAAGAUCAUCCCAUAAAAUCCUCCUAGACCCCCCAUUCCCACCUUCAUAAAUAUAGCGUACCUUCCAUCAUAUUUCUUCCCUCUAACCCCAGACUCAAAUUUGUGCUCUCUCUCUCUCUCUUUCUCUCUCUCUCGACAAUGAGUAGUACUGGAACCAUGUCCAGCAACCCUAAUGAUCACUGGCUCCAAUUCUACAACCAAAACCUGAAUUCUUCUACCCCUUCUUCACUGUGCCAUGACCAAGUCUCUGAUGCCACCGUCGUCACCACCACCACUACAACUUCAUCUUUACCAGGUCAUGCCGGUUCAGGCCACCCGAGCUCCAGCACCAACAACAGUUUGAGUCCGGAUCAAGGCCGCGUUUCGAAGCCGGCCCGGAAAAGGUCUAGAGCCUCAAGAAGAACUCCCACCACGCUGCUCAACACUGACACCACCAAUUUUCGUGCCAUGGUGCAGCAAUUCACUGGGGGUCCUAGUACGGUGUCGUUUCCCACUGGUGCUUCGAAUUUUACCUUUGGUCUCGGCCCCACUAGGCCACAGAGCUUCGUGGUGCCUCCCGGGGCGGCCGGGUGCCAUCCUCUACAGCCUCAGCAGCAACAACUCUUACAACAACAACAACAACAACAACAACAACAACAGCAACAAUACCAACAACGCCAUAACCAGCAAUACUUGUUUUCGCUGAGGAACAAUGACAACGUUAACGGUGAUCAUGGGUUUCUUGAGAGAUUGUCAUCAAGAGUGGGACCCACAAGCAUGGUGAUGGGACUGUCGUCCGAUCAUGAUCAACAUGAGUUUCUGAGGGAGGGUAUUGCAUCCCAAUUGCCUUCUUCGGCUAGGCCGCCCAGCUCUAAUAGUUCUGCCAAUGAGAACAGGAGUUACAUGUUUUGAGAAAAUUGUGAGGGACAUAAAGCAGAAAAGUUAGGUAGACUGACUUAUCUUAGGACAAAAUUCUUGACCAAUGUAUAUGCACAUGAAAAAGAAUAUUAUAUAUUUUCUCUUUUUCAACGGACUUGAAACUAAAUCUCUUCCUUUCUUAUGCAAUGUGGUUAAUUGUUCAAUUCUUAAUAUCCUUUUUCAUUUUGUAAUUUGACCGAGGAUGCUAUGUAUACUAUGUAUAUGCACAUGAAAAAGAAUACUACAUGAUGUUAACACUACAUAUAUAUGUAUACUAUGUAUAUAUCAGUCAUCAUGCUCUGAAAGUAAAAAUGGUUAUAUUAUUUUACUUAAAUUGUUGGUAUAUUCCUGUUUUUCAUUAAGUAUGAUUUUUCUCUUCUUUCUUUUUGGGUUGUGGCUUGCAGUUGUUUAAUCUUGUUAUUACAAAGUCGUGGGAUUGUAUGGGAGUGAACAAAAUUCUUUUUUUCCUCUCCUUAAAAAAAAAAUCUUGUAUUCUUCAUAAAAAUGGUCCUGUAAAUAGCAUAUCAGGAGUUAAAUAUAAUUAAGAGAGAGGAUUCGUUUAGCUACUCAAUUUAGAGGUAUUGACCGAUCUCUCCCCGAACUUGUAAGAAGCUGCUAAUUUCUCUUAUGAUAUUUAAUUUUAGCCAAUUAUUACACCCCUCAACUUUUAUAAUUGGCCAAUUUCUCUCUUGAACUUUAAUUUAGCCAUUUACUUCCUAAACUUUUAUAAUUGGUAAAUUUCGCCCUUGAACUUUAAUUUUAUAAUUACAAGAAGAUAAUUUUAUCCCUAAUCUAGAUACCAUAUUGUUUUUCCUUCUUCUUCUGUUUUGCUAGUCCAUUCCGUACAAUUUUUGUUUAAAUUUUAGAGUUUAGGGAGAAACUAAAGUUCAAGGGAAGUUGGCCAAUCAUAAAAGUUCAGAGAAUCAUUGGCUAAAAUUAAAGUUCAUGGGGGAAUCAAUCAAUUAUAAAAAUUUAAAAGGGUAAUUGGCUAAAAUUAAAAAUCAUGCAAAAAAGUGGCAGUUCUUUACAAGUUUCGAAAGAAAAUUAACAAAAUACCUCUAAAAUUUAACAUGUUUGUUUGGCUAUUAAUUUAAUUUGUAAUUUUUAUAUAGUACGUUGCCAAAUAAAUUCAAUUAAGGUAGAUCAUCAGGUUUUGCAACUUAACCUAACACUGAAUGCUCGCCUAACACGCUUGCUAGCUCACCAGUAAUUAACUCAUCUAAACCGCUAGCAUUUUUAAUUUGUUUACACAUUGGCUUAAAAACAAAGGCGGCGAUGGGGCAGCUGCCCCAAAAAUCCCAUGCCUUCCAUGCAUAUUUAAUAUAUCCACAUAUAUAGCCCCAAAGUAUGACCAAAAUAAAUAUUCUUAACUUUCUUGUUUUCACGUUUCCAAAAAUUAAAGGUCCAUAUUAAUUAGUACUAGGAAAAAGAAUUUGCGUAUGUUGAUCGAGAAACAAAGAAUGUGUUUAUGAAAGUUAAAAUAUAACUAAAUGGGUGCUCGAGAAAUAAAAAUUAAUAUGGUGAAUACGAAAUGAAGAAUGUAUUUAAGAAACACGUGGUCGAUUGAUUAUCUCAGUAGCUAGGCUUUAAUAUUAAUUUCGUUGCAUUUAGGAUCAAACUCUCCUCACCACUUUAACGUACGUAGUUUAGAUUAUAAUUAUAUCUCGUAACAAAAGUAGAAUAGUAUUUGGUUUACUCAAAGAAUGAGUAGGAAAUCCUACUCAAAACAGUUUGUUAACGAUUCAUAAAACUUUAUGUUUAUAAUUGGAACCAUUCAUAUUAUGGAUGACUCAAUAAAAUCGUCUAUGCAAAAAAUCAAUUAAAAAUAAGGUCUUUUAGUUAUCAAAUUGUAUAAAACCAAAAGAAUGAAAUACGUGAAGCAUUAUGAACCGUUUACUUAUUUGCUACAAUAGAUUGACUAAAUGACCUUAGUUUGAAUUUGUUUUUUUAAAGAGAUAUGAUAUUUGUUGAGUGAUUUAUAAUAUAAACAGUUCUGAUUAUAGACACAAAACUUUGUAAUUCGAACACGAAAAAUUUUGAGCAGGAAUUUUUACUCAUAUUUAAGUAGCCCACUAUUGUUCAGAGAAGUAUGCAUGUGCUUAAACGAAAGAAAAGAGCAGUACUGCGGUCUUCAAAAUCUUUUCUUCUUUCGAAAAGCGGGCAGUGGAGCGGCGCGUCCGGCGGAUCUUGAGUUGAGAGCGAUUGCUGUUUUUGAGUGAGAAAUGGAGAGGGAAGAGGGGAUGAAUGCUAGGUCAUCAUGGGACCCAAGUGGCGUAAAAGGCAAGAAAUUGUACACUUUAACGAAGUCAAAUAUAUACCCCUAAUCUUUGCUAAUUUGAAUUUAAAUGGGUGCCUUUUGAUUCACCAAAGAUUACAUUAAUCUUUGAUUUGGUUUGUUUUAGUUUCAUUCGUCCGGGGAGCAUCAUUAGCAGUAGCACAACCUAAUCUUCAAACAUGUUAUACUUGUUCCUGAGCCAUCUCAAACACGUGGAUUUGUAUAACAUCGAUAUCCACUCCACCCCUACAUUGUCACAAACAUUAAAACUUGGUUAUAUUAUAUUGAGAUCACAUCUUCAAUAAGUGUAUUUUCUAUCUUUUUUUAAGACUCAUAUAUAUAUAUAUAUAUAUAUAUGUAUGUAUGUAUGUAUGUAUGUAUGUAUGUAUACACACACACUAUUUUGGUUUUGGUACUCUUUAAUUAUGUGUAGAAAAUAUAUAUGAGAUAGAAUCAAAGGACAAAUACUUUUACAUUCUUUUUAUGCCUUUGAUGACAUGACAUCCAAUGGUUCUUAUUUAUUCAUUAAAUGACAAUGAUGCUUAUGAGGAUUUUAACCAAUAUUAAAGAUAAAAAAAAACUGAAAAAAAUAAAAUCUGAAAAAUUAAAAAUAUAAUUAAAAAAGGAAGAUAAUUUAACUGAAAUUGGUUCUCCCAUUCUCAUUUCGAUCAAACUUGGAUUCAGAAUUUGAACCAUAAUAAAAAAAAAAUCAUGAAACUUUACUGAAAACAGCUUCGAGGGAUCGCCCCAUUUCUUCUUCUAUUAUGUCAAGGGCAACCUGAAGCAAUGCAUGCCAUAUGCUAUAAUAAGUUAAGCAAACCCCACAAAGUAGAAGUGUCUCAUCACAAAUGCAAGCAACUAGAACCAAUAACUUUUUGGCAAAUUGAGAUUUUACUUGAUUGGGGAAGGGAGGAACAUCAUCUUGAAGAAUGCACAGUUCGUUCAUAUAAUCUUCUUUGAUAAUAUCAGGUCUGUUUGUGAGAACCUUUCAAUACAUGGGUGAAAUCAGGCAUGUGUUUAAUUGCACAAGCAUAUGAAUUUAAAGAAGUUUCAUGAUAUUUUUAUUAGGGUUCAAAGUUUGAAUCCAAGUCUUGAUCGAAAUGGGAAUGGAAGAACCAAUUUCAGUUAAUUAUCUUCCUUUUUUAAUUAUCCAGAUUUUAUGUUUUAUUUUAUAUUUAAUAUUAAUUAAAAUCCACAUAAACAUCCAUGUCAUUUAAUGAAUAAAUAAGAACCCUUGAAUGCCAUGUAAUCAAACGGCUUAAAAAGAGUGUAAAAGUAUUUGUAAAAAUAUUUGUCCCUUGAUCCUAUAUAUAUAUAUAUAAGUGGGUAGCUAAUAAUCUACGGUUACAUCUUAAGGGUCAUAAACAUAAAUAUAAAUAUGGAGUUACGACAUAAUUGACAAUUGAUCAUUAUUCUAGAAUUAAUGUCUUUAACUAUUUGUAACCCCUUAACAUCCCCUGCAAACAUGACAUCGACGAGGAGAAAAGUUUGGAAUAAGACGCACAAGACGGUCUACAGACAAUCUCUUGGUAAAAACAUCUGCCAGUUGCUAGUCUUUAACUAUUGUAAAUCCCUAACAAUGUGGAUGAUCGUUGAAUGAAGAGAUCUACGAAGUGACGGUUGAUCAUGAGACAAUAUGUAGAGUUGAUUUAAAUGUGUGGUUAGCAUUGUAUUAAGUUGCUAACUGGUUAGCGUUUGAGCGCUUUUGUAUAUGUGUUUAUACUAAGCAUAAAAACCAUUUGUAAUUAUAUGUUACUUAAAAUGGAAGGUUUGCAGUUUAUAAGGUAUGUGUUUGCCUUGCUUACAACCAAACCAUGAAAGAGGAAGUUACAGUUUGGAAGAAAAACAAUUGAUAUAUAUCCAAUAGAAAGUACGUAAAAAUUAGAAUAGAAAUAUCGAUGAGUGUCGUUUUCCCUUUUUUUUUUUUUUUUUUUUUUUUUUUUUCUGUCCAGCUCUUGAGCCGAAUAAUGUAUGUUUUCUGACUUUUUGUUAUAAGAUAAUUGUUGCUAUCACUUUUAAAAGCAACUCGACGGCAGAGACGAAAUGGGCUUCAUGGUUUGUUUGAUGAGUCGGGACAAUGGCAGGAUAGCAAGGCAGGUAUGGAAUUAGUUAUUUUAUCUUACUUCAUGAAAUUGUUUGGCUCCACCGAGGUAGUAGAUGCCUUGGGGAUACUAAGUAAGAUUGUACCGAAGGUCACAGAUGAGAUGAAUCAAAGUCUUAUGUUACCAUUUUUUGACGAAGAAAUUAAGGAUGCGUUGUUCCAAAUGCAUCUUACCAAGGCACCGAGACCUGAUGGAAUGACGCCUAGGUUUUAUCAAAAUCAUUGGGCAGUUGUCGGUAAAGAUGUUUGUGAUGGGGGUUGACACCUUGAGUUAGGGGCAUUGUUGCGGAAAGUUAACUACACACAUGUUACUCUGAUACCCAAGAAACUUGAUCCAACAUCUAUGACCGAAUUGUGGCCAAUCAGUUUGUGUAAUGUGAUAUACAAGAUAUGCUCAAAGGUGCUUACGAAUAGAUUGAAGAGUAUCUUACCAGAUAUUAUUUCGCCUUCACAAAGUGCGUUUAUUUGUGGUAGAUUAAUUUCUGAUAAUUGUUUGGUGGCAUUGGAAGUUGUUCAUUUUAUGAAGAGGAAAAAUAGUGGUUGGAAUGGUGUGAUGGCAUUGAAGCUUGAUAUCAGUAAAGCAUACGACCGUAUUGAAUGGUCUUUCUUAGAACAAAUAAUGCGAAGAUUGGGUUUUGUGGAAGAAUGGAUUACUUGGAUUAUGAGAUGUGUCACUUUUGUAACUUACUCAUUCAAGCUCAAUGAGGAAUUAACCGAUGGGAUUAAUGCAGCCUAAGAGGGGCAUCAGGUAAGGUGAUCUGUUGUCUCCUUUUUAUUUAUGAUUUGUGCCGAAGGUUUAUAGGCAUUAUUGGAUGCAUGGGAGGCCCAAGGCAGAAUAAAAAGGAUAAAGGUUUGUAAUGAUGCACCUAAUAUAAAUCAUCUACUCUUUGCGGAUGAUUGUUUUAUCUUUGCUAGGAGUAAUUUACAUGAAUACUGCGAGUUGAAGACCUUAUUACGAAUUUAUGAAGUAGCCUGGGGGCAAACAGUUAAUUUAUCGAAAAGUGGGGUGGCAUUUAGUACCAAUGUAAAUGAGGUGGAUGGUUAGCUGCUUGCGGAUUGUUUGGGUAUGACUCGUGUGCAAUACCAUGAGAUGGCCUGCCAGUGUACACGGGUAAGUCAAAGAAACAAACGUUUGCAUAUAUCGAAGAUAGGUUAUGGAAAAAACUUAAUGGUUGGCGUGGGAGUGUCCUCAGUAGUGCGAGGAAAGAUAUCUUAAUUCAAACAGUGGCCCAUGCUAUUCCGUUAUACACCAUGCAUACUUUUUUGCUUCCAAAAAUGUUAUGUGAGGAAUUGAAUCAAAUGGUUGCUCGAUUUUGGUGGGGAAAAGAAGUCGGCAAAAGAAGCAUUCAUUGGGUGAGUUGGCAGCGAAUGUGCAAGCCAAAAAGUGAGGGAGGUUUAGGUUUCAAAGAUUUGUACGCCUUUAAUCUUGCUUUGCUUACUAAGCAAGGUUGGCGCAUUAUAAAACAACCACAGUCUUUGCUAACCCAAGUUUUUAAGGCUCGAUAUUUCCAAGAAUUGGAUUUUCUACAUGCCCUAGUAAAGUCCAAUUCCUCCUAUUAUUGGAAGAACAUUGUAGCAGCUAGGGUUCUGAUCUACCGAAGAGCUAGACGAUGUGUAGCUGACGGUUUGAAGAUAAAAAUCUGGGGGGAUUCUUGGUUGCUAAGAGAGAACUAUGCCAAGGUGUUGAGUCCGGUUUCCCUUGGAGUUCACCUUAAUCUUACUGUUCGAUCUUUGAUGUUGGAGGCGGAUCACAUGAGAUGGAAUAUGCAGGUGGUUUCUCGAAUGUUCUUCCCUGAAGAGGUCAAUCUUAUUUUAAGUAUUCCUUUGAGUUUCUUUAAUUUGCCUGAUGAGUUGAUUUGGAUCAAAGAGCCUAAAGGAGUAUUCAUGACUAAGAGUGCAUAUUUUGUAGCUCGGACUUGUAAUGACAUCUGCAUGGAUGUUCCCGUGGGUUUUAAGAUGCCGGCAGAGAUCAAAUUCCUAUGGAAGGCACUUUGGUGUGCUAAGGUAUCGGGGAAGAUAAAAAUUUGCAUAUGGAGGGGUUGCUUAAAUGCUCUGCCGACUACAGUAAACUUGAAGUUGAAGAAGGUUGUACUGGAUGGCUGUUGUAUUAUUUGUGGGACUGUCCCUGAAACGAUCAAGCAUAUUAUGCUGCAGUGCCCCCAUGCUAGAGCAACAUGGUUUGCUAGUCUGUUGGGUUUACAUCAUAUGCAACAAGGAGAUGUGGGGUUGCAAGAUUGGGUGGCACGAAUGGCUUAUGAUGUCUAGGGAGAGCUCUGAUUUAGUCCUUAUGUUGAUGUGGAAUAUUAGGAAAGCUCGCAAUGAGUUAUUAUGGAGGGGCUCAAUUUUACCACGACAUGAACUCCAAAUUCAAGCAUAUACUUGGUUGUUGGAGUUUAAGAAAUGGAAUGUGGUCUAGCCGAAAUCUCAGGUUGUAGAGGUUCAUAAAUGGAGGAGGCCAGGGGAAGGGUGGAUAAAGUGCAAUUUUGAUGGGGGCAUGGGAUAAGCCGAACAGCAUAGGAGGAGCUGGACUGAUUAUCCGAGACGCGGCUGGGGAGUUUAUUGCUGCCAUGGCGAUGCAACUGGAGGGGAUUACAUCGGCUCUAAUGGCUGAAGUUGCAGCAGCUCGGGAAGCUGCUAUAUUUCUUUAGAGAUGGCGUAAUCAGAAAGUAAUGUUGGAGGGAGACGCCUUGAUGGUAAUAGCUGCUAUACAAAAUUACGAGGUUAAUUAUGGUCCCCUUGGCCAUAUAUUAACUAACACACGGAGGCUACUACAACAUGUCCAACAAUGGAAGGCUAAUUUUGUGCGACGUGGUGCCAAUGAAAUGACAAACAGACUGGCUCGCCGCGGUCUUACUCUGCCACAGCCAGUUUCGUGGUUUGAAGAACCUCCCAAUGUAAUUUUUGAUCUUAUAUUGGAGGAUAAUUUUCACUUUUAAUUUAGUUGGUGCGGGACACUCCUUUUCCCUUCAUUUGGGUUUUACCCGGAAAAGUUUUUAUUGAGACCCAUUGUUAGCACCCUUUCUCAUUGUUUGUACGUUGUUCCCUUAUGAAAUGAAUAUCGUACUUGAUUUAAAAAAAUAGAAACCAACCCACAGGCCACAUAAUAAUACAUUCCUAAUUUAUUAAUUUUCCUAAUUACAACAAAAUUAAGUAUUAAUGAUUUUUUUUCAUUUUUAUAUUAAAAGCAAUAAUUUACACUAAAAAAAAAUUAGAAAGUUCACUUGGAAGGUAGUGAGAUGAAGCAGAAAAUCCUAAUCACUAAGGUGAUUUACCACUCGCAUGACUUCUUUAAUAAAUGCAGUUUAUACACACAAACUUGUUUUUAAUUAAGUUGAAUUGAAAAAAAAAACUUUAAAUAUGGGGAUGAAGAUUAAAAAUAAUAAUAAUAAUAUGGAGAAGAGAAUGAUAUUGUGAAGAUGGACAUACAUGAGAGACAAAGAUAUGGUGCAAUCUAUUUAUUUUAUUAUUAAGAGAAAUGUAUUUCGUUUACUUUGUUUUGAUGUAUGAUUGUGUCAUGAGUGAUAGUGGUCGUGUUUUAGCCAAUGUACACACUAUACAGUAAACACAAGGUUUUGCAUCUAGUACACAUUUGAUAUGCGGUCGAAGCUAGAAGUCAUCGCAGAUGUCGGAAUGGGAUUGAGUUUAGCCAAUACAACACUAUGAGUUAGCUGGUAUGGUGUUACGACUCUCUUUGGGAUGUCCGACGGUAGUGGCAACAUGAUUUUAUCCUUUUUAUUUUGUUUAUGUUUAAUAAUUUCUAGGAAUUGUCUUGGAAUUUGUUUGAUUUCUCUCUUUAGGGGAAUUUGGAAAUUAGGAUUUUUAUCUAUAGGACAACUACUUCUUUUUAAUUUUUGUUUUUGUGUGCUAUACAUCUAUUUUGGAUCUAUGUGUGAAGAGUGGAGCUGUUUGAUUUGUUAGAUUUACUUUGCUUAGUGUUAUGGGAUCUGGCAUUUGAUGUGGAGAUGUGAUUAGACCUAUGAGCAUUGUACUACAUGUCCCAAUAUAAUUUGAAAUUUUUUUUAUCACAUGAUCUCCGUGUAACACGAGGUUUAAUGAUUUUAUUGAUCUGUGUACGCUUACAAUUCCUAAUGAGCUCAGCUUUCAACUUGUGCCUGAAGUCUACCAAUUGCUUUGUGAUCAGUAAUAUUUUAUUGUAAUAUUUUAAAUCUAGUACCUUUUUAAAACUGAACUCUUUAUAAUAUCUAUUUGUAAUGUCCAUUUUGAAUGAUUGAAAUAAUUAUAUAUGCCUCCCCACAUUCUGAAUUGUAUAUAGACUAAUUGUUUUUGUUGGAGAAUAAAAGUUUGGUAGCUUAAGGUUGGAAAUGUAUUCCCCUAAGAUAACUGGGACAGGGUGAUUUGCAAGACAUUCCAUCAAUACUUUCACUUCAAGUGCAUACAUGUCUAGUUAUAUAUCCAUCCAUUAAAUUCAAAUCCUCUCCAUAUUCCAUCAGAAAAAAUGAGUCCCAAAACCACUAUACUAACAUAUUUUGUUGCCACUGUUGCAAUUUUAUUGGCAUCUCAAAAUCUCAUUGAUAUUCCAAACUCUUCAUCCCCCAAAUGGAAAUUAUGAAACAAGAAUGUUGCCCCAAUUCCGAAGCCUGGAGAUGUUGGAGCUCAAGUUUAGCGAUUAGAAUAUCAGGAGACCAAGCUGCAAUUUUGGGUUGUGGGUUCUUUGGAGCUCAAGACACCCUUCACGAUGAUAGGGGCCGCCAUUACUUCAAGGAUUGCUACAUCCAGGGCUCCAUUGAUUUCAUCUUUGGCAAUGGAAGAUCAUUAUAUGAGGUAACCCGUCUCAUUUCUGAUAUGCAAAUUUCUUUUCCUGUGAUUGCUUGAGAAAAAACGGUAUGGGGUUACUGUUUACCUGCAAAUCACAAUUUGACAUACAUAUACUAAAAUAAUUCACUAAAAUUACAAAACAAAAAGUUUUUUGCACGACCAAACUGUGAUUUUUCAUUUACAGAGGAAUAGCUCCUUCAUGCAUGCAGGCAAGGAGCCAUGUAGUCUAGAUUAGUACCCAUUACCAAGUAAUCAUUUUUCAUACAGAAUAUAAGUAGAAUGUUUAUGAUCAAUUGAUAUAUAAAAAAACAAAAAAACCAGUGUGCUUCUUGGACUGCUUGACACAGAAUUGUCAGUUGAUUUCGAUGUCAAACCCAGAGUUGAAUAUCAGAGUGCGGAACAAACAAGACUACAAAAUAAUAAGAAUUUUAUUGAACAAAUUGAGAAUGCCGAGACGGCUACAAAAACCCUAGAGACUACAUUGUGAAUGAAUUAUUCUCUAACUAAAUUACAAGCUCUAUUUAUAGAGCAAUAAACCAAAGAAACCCUAAUGCAUAUAUGCCAAAAGUACCCUACUACAAAAUCAAAUCAAAUCUCUAAUUAAUUUCCUAAAUAAACCUAAUAAAUUCCAACACCCCCCGUCAAACUCAUGGCGGUACACGACAUGAGUUUGCCAACAAGCAGAUGUGGAUGCAAGCCUCCAAAUUCCGAUGCCGAUGCCGAUGCCGAUUUCCGAUGCCAAUUUCAAUACGAAAUUCCAUCGGUGCAAGUGCAAGAUUCCAAUGCCAGUGCAAGAUUUCCAUGUCAGUGCAAGAUUCCAAUGCCAGUACCAGUGCAAAUGUCGAUGCCGAUGCCUAACAAACAAUCAAAAAAUCCAACCAAAUAUUUUUUUUCUUCCUUCUUUCUUCCUUUUUUUCCUUCUGUGCGAUUCCUUCCUUUUUUUUUUUUACCUUCUGUGCAAACCAAUGUGCGACCCAACAUCACCAACCUCCUUCCUUUUUUUUCUUCUAUGCGAACCAACAUCACCAGCCUCCUUUUUUUUUUCGCGAGGGUACGGUUGUGGACGGAUCCAGAUGCAGGGUGGGGCUAGGGAAUGCAGAAAUCCUAGUGCGAUGGAUUCACCAAAUUCCUUUUUUCAAAAAACAGAAUUUUUUUCCCUUUCUUGAAGACUACCAAGGACAAACUGAAAACCAAACCAGAAAACGUAAAAAAUCUACGGACAAGACUAACACAAUUUGACGGUCAAUACCGAAAUCCAAAGACAAAGAACAUAAACAGAAAUCCAAAGACAAAACGAACAAAAACAGAGUGACCAAGAACAAAGGACAUAGACCAAAGCGGAAGCGAAAGCCUAAACGAGACCCAAACUAAACCAAAAAACAAAAAGCGACAAAACAAAUUGAUACCAACAAGAACGGAUUGAACCAUAAGGAUCGAACCCGCUCUGAUACCAAGUUGAAUAUCAGAGUGCGGAACAAACAAGACUACAAAAUAAUAAGAAUUUUAUUGAACAAAUUGAGAAUGCCGAGACGGCUACCAAAACCCUAGAGACUACAUUGUGAAUGAAUUAUUCUCUAACUAAAUUACAAGCUCUAUUUAUAGAGCAAUAAACCAAAGAAACCCUAAUGCAUAUAUGCCAAAAGUACCCUACUACAAAAUCAAAUCAAAUCUCUAAUUAAUUUCCUAAAUAAACCUAAUAAAUUCCAACACCCAGUACCCCUAGGAACAAAGAGUAUAAACGGCGCGGUUACAGCGCACGGCAGAGCUUCCAAGGAUGAAAACACUGGCUAUGCAUUUGUCAACUGCUUUAUUGGAGGGACUGGAAGAGUAUGGCUGGGUCGAGCAUGGAGGCCUUUCUCUCGAGUGGUUUUUGCCAGCACAACAAUGACUGAUAUUAUAGCUCCUGAAGGGUGGAAUGACUUCAAUGAUCCAACAAGAGACCAGUAUGUAAAGAUUAAUGCAAGAGUUACGGCUCUUUUGAUAGCCAUUUAGACAAAAACUACUUGUUGGUAACUGUUUUCAAGUUUUUAUAUUUAAAAAAAAAAUUAAAAGUUAAAGACCUAGUGGUUUUCAAAGGACCCCCCUCAAUUAAUCAAUAUUCAUUUAAAGUUUGAUUAUUGGAUUAAUCACAAAAUUAAUCUAAUCGAAGUAUUAAUCAUUUGUUUAAAUGCAUGCAGGACUAUAUUCUAUGGAGAAUACAAUAACUCAGGUGCGGGAGCAAAUAUGAGCUUGCGUGCGCCUUACGUACAGAAGCUGAAUGACACACAAGCUUCUCUUUUUCUUAAUGUGUCUUUCAUUGACGGGGGAGAUUGGUUGCAAUCAGUCAUUGAUUAGACUCUAUAUUGGGCCUUUUUUCUUAUCUCUUCCAAUGUAAUAUCGUGAUUAAAUUGUUUGUUCUCGUCAAUGUACAUGACAAUAAGACACAUCAUCAUCUUUAGGUCUCAAUAAUGCAACUGACACUGACAAGCUAAAAGAUAAAAGCCAUGCAUAUAUAAACGGAGUAAUUAGGUUUUCAUCCUUAUUUUUACUACUCUAUUGAUUAAAACCUUAUUACUUUUCAAUUUUUGAUCAAGGUCCUUUGUAUUAAUAAUAUCAUUAAUUAUUUCAAUAAUAAAAUAUUUUUUAUUUCUAAAUAUAUUCAUUUAAUAUUAAAAAUGUUACAAUUAUUAUAUUUAUAUUUAUGGCUAAAUUUUUUAUCAUAUAUUUUUAUUUUUAGUUUGUACCCAUUUUUAAUUUGCAACCCUUUUUUAAUUUGUACCAAUUUUCCUUUCAGUUUUAAUUUGUACCCAUAUAUUAAUUUCUUUUUGUGCCCAUAUUUUUUAAAGUUUUAUUUGUAUUGUACCCAUAUUUUUUUAUUUAUUUGUACCCAUUUUUAUUUUUGCUAAAUGUACCCAUUUUGAAGAAUGUACCCAUGUUUUGAUACAAUAAUUUUUUGGUUAUUUUUUAUGAAGGUACCCAUGUUUAUACACACACACACAAUAGUAUAUUUAUAUUUUAAUAUUUUUAAUCCCACAAAUUAUGGUUUUUAUUUAAAAUCUCAUUACUAUAAACAACUAUAAAUUUUAAUUUUUAAUUUAAAAAAUAUAGUAACGUACAUAGAAAUAAAUUAUCAAUUAAUUUCAGGGACUUGGAUCAAAAAUUGAAAACCAACAAGGUUUCAGUCAAAGACUGUUCAUAACUAGGGACCGCAUCCAAAGUCUCCCUAUAUAAACCCUUGGACCAAGGUGGUCUGGUUCGGGUCCCCCCUUGGUUUUAAGGUCAAUGCCCAAGCUAUUUCCUCUUUUGAUCGCUGGUUCUUGAAAUUAUCCUCUCUUCUCCCUGAAGACAAUGUCUCCCAAGAUCGAUUUCAUUCUUUCGUUGCCUUCUUUUGUUGGGAAAUUUGGAAGGCUAGACGACAUGUAACGAUCCAUCCCAGAUUUUACGGUUUUUAUAAUUUUAAAACGUGAAUUUACAAAAAUGCUCUUUAAGUUGAAAUCUUUGACUUUUGUUGACCUUUGUACCGUGCAACGUAUGACCUAUUCUAUUAGCUUUUCUUGUAGUACUCGUCGUUAAGAACGCGUGGGAGCAAGUGAAUUUGGAUUUGGAGCUAAAAUGAAGGUUUUACAGGAUUCGGAACAAUAAGGACAUUAUGGUAAUUUCACAUCCCGUGAGAUAUUUUUUCCGUUUUAUCUUUUCUUGCUUUGUUUGGUGUGCCAAUGGGGCCCACCCUUGUUUUGGUGUCUCCUGGCUUUCUCUCUUUCUUCCCUGUCUUUUCUCCCAUUUCUCUCAUCGGUAAACUCUUUCACUCUCCUUGUCUUUUUCCCCUCAUCUUUGCAACUCUCUCUCCGAGCUUGCACAACCAACAACGAUAGUACCAUCUCCAUCACCACUAGCCUCACCACUCUAGUGAGCACCAUCACCAUCUGUGGACCCUCCAUCCUCCCUUUCUCACCUCUCUCUCAACAAUUAAUGUUCAUCAUAUUCUCCGAAACCAUAGCGAGUCAUCGCCUUCCCGACGUAGGUAAGCUCCUAAAAUCUUCUAGAUCAUGUUUUAGGUUAGAUUAGAGUAGUUGGUAAAAUUUCCUAGACUUAUGGAAUUUGAAACCGUGGCAGUUUGACCACUUUCAGACACCUUUUUCCGACCAACUCCUGCCAUGUCACGGCCUCCAAUGGGUAUGUAUCGAUUCCCUACAUUUUAAACUUCAUUUUGGUUCUUAAAUCACUGAAAUUGGUUGAGAAUCGAGCUUGAAAUGAGCUCUAGAAGUUAGGCCUUCCACUUGCAAAUUUGCAAAUUUCGUGGAUAAGGUGAGUACAGCGUACUCGCGGGCAUGUGAUGCUGCAGUGCUCGACGUGUGGAGCACACACGCCUCCACCGGAGGCACUGUGCUUCGUUGCUGUGGCGCCAAUGACUUCCCCAACAACAUAUCUCGGCGCGUGGCCUCUCGGUGGUGGCAUAUGGGGGAACUCGAUGCCCCUCCUUAAGUUUUCCGAUAUGCCGAAACCAAUUCCAUUGUCCAUUUUUCCAAAUUCAAUCGUUUUAGUAGAGGUUUUAUUAAAUGGUCUUUACUUGUGUUUAGGUGCGUUGGUUGGAAGUGACCCUGUCCUCCCUAGUUCGAGCGGUUCCUCGGUACCGGAACAUUUGUGAGUAGACCCUUUCUUAAAUUGCAUGUUUUUAUAUAAAAUAUUAAGCUUGCAUGCAUUUCAUAUUUCAUGAAUUGAUUGUUUUAUAAUAUGUUUUACGAAUUUCUAUAAUUAUGGUUACAGAGAACUUAUGAUUAUUUAAAUUGUUUUUACGAAAUAUUUAUGGUUUGUUUAUGAUUUCGGUUGACGAGAUUUUAAAUGCUAAGCUUGGUAUGAGUUUUAGAGAUACUUUUUAUGUGCUUAUCUAGUGGGUUAUCAUACAACACAUACACACAACACGAGUAUGUAGACGUCUAUGGCCAUAGGACACAGUUGAAGAUAUUUAUGACAUACUUUCAGCUUCACUAGCGAAACCAAUGUCGGUGUGUUAUGUAUAUGUUUCUUCUUUGGCAUAACCCUACGUCGUACAGCUUCACCUUCGGGUGGUGGGGCUUACAAUAUUUCUUGACUAGCGUAACUCAAUGUCGUACAACUUCACCUUCGGGUGAUGGCUAUGCCUUCGGGCAACUAUGAUACCCCUAGUUGAGUACUUUAUUAUUUUGGGUUUACGAGCUUUCUCAGAUUUACCUUUGGGCGAUUUUGAUACCACUUUUAGAUAUGGUUUUAUUAUCUACGAAUGUUUUCAUGGCACGUUAGGGUUUUCAAAAAACCUAUUAUGUAGUAUUAUAUAUGUUUUUAAAACAGGGGGUUAGUAUGUUCAGAAAGAAAAUGGUUUUCUUAUUAUUAGUAUUAGUAUUAUAAACUUUGGUCCACUCACCCUUUGUUGCGCCCCCUUCAGGAUUUAGAAUCGAGGCAUACGAUCCCGACGUCAGGGCACUUCUGCAUAGGUAUCUUCGAGUAUUCUCAGUGUAGAACCCAUUCCUUUGUUCGUACCUUUUUUUAGUAAUUCUUUCACAUUAUUCUUGAUUAGUUGUAUACUUUGAACGCAUUUCCGAUUGGCAUAUUUUGUUCUAAUUACAUAUUUUAUUUGUAUGCAUGUUUAAAAUGGCUUCGUCACCCUCGGGUGUCGGCUAGCACGUGCCUAUCCUAGUAUUUGGAGAUAUCGGGGCCGAGGCGUUUCAUGUCAGGUUAGCUUUAAUGGAAUCAUCCCAUCUUCGGCUACUACUAUCCCCAAGGCCUAUUCGUUGAUAGAGGAAUUUUGGACCGCCAACCCUGUAGCGCUUUCUUGGGUCUCUCAGGGCACGACCGUUCUUUCAACUUGGAUCUUUCCUUCUAUUUCAGUGCUGAAAAUCAACUGUGAAGCCUCCUGGACCAAGUAAUCAGGUUCAGCGGGUUUUGGAGUUGUUAUUAAGGAUACUUAUGGUUCUGUGAUGGCUAGGAAUUGUGGGAUUGAAACAUCUUCUUCUGCUCUUCAAGCGGAGGCUAAAGCUAUGAUCAUGGCUAUUCAGACGACCAUCCAUAAUAAUAUCACUAAUGUUAUUUUUGAAUCUGAGCCUCUCUAGUAGCUAGCAUUAAUGGGGAUAGAAGGAAAGCCAAUUGGUUUAUUUUUCCCCUUCUUCACCAAAUUUGGAAUCUUCGUCACCGUUUUUCCUCCUUUAAGUGGUGAUGGAUUUCUCGACAAGCAAAUUUGGCAACCGUUUGGGUUGCCUCGCAGUGUAAAAGAGAGAUGUGUCUAGAAUUCUAGUUUACCAAGCCCUCAUCUGCUAUGGUCCAUAUCUUGUCCAUUGAUGGCCUUCCGUGCCCCCACUAACGCCCUUUUUGGCUUCUUGCCUUCGGGUGGUGACCCGAGUUGCGCUUGUGGUCCACUUUAUCCACCUUUAGGUUGACUGCCUCCUUGGGGGUCUUUACUUGUUGCUGGGUUACCGAAUUUUAUUAGGGGCCCUUAUCUUAUUUAUCUAUUGCUUUUUAUCAAUGACAUAUUUCGUUCCAAAAAAAAAAAAAAAACCCCACUUCAAUGUCACUAUCUAAUUAAUUAUCUCAAGUAUGGAACCAUUCAGGGCGUUAGGUAGACUGUAGGAGGAGGGGAAAUCGAAUAUAGACCUAUCAUGUGAGGUGUGUUCAAACAAGAUUACUUUCGUAAAAAAUUAGUACAAGGCCCAGAAAGAGCCAGUGAAAUAACAAUGGAUAAGUAAAAUGCCCAAGCAAAAGGAGAGUAGCAACCUAAGAUAUAACGGGAGGCCCACACAAGCUUAAACCUGAAGGCUGCAAAACCAAACAACAAAACAAUCCUAAUCUUAAGCAGCAUAACCAAAUUACCACCACCGUCACAUCCUCAGAGAAAGCCAAACUCUGAACUGAGAAAAUGGACACCGGAUUCAAGUCCCCCAUCAUAAACCCCUGCAAAUAUAUACAAAGUACCUUUUGGAUAGAAAGUGAGGCUAAGGGGUAAUUGAGACCAAACUCGAGGAAAACUAAAAUAAAACUCAGAGGAUAACCGAAAAAAAGAAGGAAGAAGAUUGGAAAUGGGGGAAGGAAGAGGGGGUGGGAUGUUGUGAGGGGAAGUGACAAAAGAGAUAAGAGAGGAGGAAAAUAGGGAAAUGGCAAAAGAGAGAAGAGGGAAGGAGGAGGAAAAAAGAGAUGAAGCAGAGGGAUGUUGCCUACCCCGAGCAAAAGCAAGGGGCGGUAACUGAAACUUCAAUCUAGGUUGGAUUUUUGCAGCAACACAUAGAGAGUUUUGAGAGAGAGAGAAAGAGAGAGAGAGAGAGAGAGAGAGAGAGAGAGAACUUUUAACGUGCCAUUGUUAUGAUGUGAGGUUAAUGUUAUUAAUUAUAUCAGCUACAAACUUAUUAUAAAGGUAUCAUGUUCUUCUUGUAUCAUGGCCUCUCUCUUCCUUUCUAUUCUCUUUCACUCUAAAUUCCUUAUGAGUUUUACAUAGGGUAUGGUUUUGAUUUGGAACCCGAACCGAAAAUGGAUUUCUAAAAGGAUAGUGCUAUUCAAACAACAAUUGCUUUCUUUAGUUCAUUUGAUUCGACAACCAAAAAUUGAAAGGGUAUUUGAGAAAUAAAAAUAGGUGUGUGCAUAACGCUACCAUUUAUGGAAAUCGAUUUCAAAAUAGUCAGAUAUAUUUUUUUGGCUCGAUCCCGAACCAAAAAUUUCAGAAUCCAUAAAAUUGGGAAUACCAAAACUUAUUUCGAUUUCGGGUUGGUUCAAUAAAGUGCGGUGGUAGCGAUGGCUGAAGUUGAAUGACGCUGAUGGAUAAUUCAUGGUCGUGGUGGCGAGAAGGGGGAUAAGAUGAGAAAUGUUUGUGACGGUGAUGGUUGUGUGGUAGAGCGACUGAGAGAAGGACGAAUUGCAGAACUGAGAAGAAGGUGGCGAAACCUAGAAUCGUAGCGGUGGCGUUUGAUUUGUGGUGAACGUGGUGAGAAGUGGGAUGAGAGGAAAAAUAUUGGUGACAAUGAUAGUUGUCAUGGUGGAACGACAGAGAGAGGGAGAUGAAAUGAAUGGUCAUCGUGGUGCAACUGAAGCGAAGUCGAAAAGGAGAGUCAAAAUGAUGGCGGAUAGGGUUCUGAGGGGAUGUUAAAUUGAAUAAUUAAUAGUUAUUAGAUAACAUAGAAUUACAUUAGUUGCAUUUUAAUAUCACAUGUUACAAUUUGGCUUAGUGGUUAAGAACUUUGAUAUCUUAAGUGAGAUCUCAUGUGGUUAAGUCUUUCCAGUCUUAUUUUUUAGGUAAUUAAUCAGUCCAGUUCAGGUUGAAACAAAAGUUCACUUCCUAUACCAAAUUCAAAAUUGAACCAAUCGAAAAUUCGAGAUAAUUCGAGUCGAUUUCAGAAUUUUCGAUUUUUUUUUUCAGCCUAAGUUUUACAUCCCCGGUUAGUAGGCCUGGCAAACGGGUCGUGUCAGUCGUUUUCGUGUAACACCUGUUAUCUUAACGGGUCGUGUCGUGUCACACCCGUUAUGACCCGUUAAGAAAAAUAUAUUUUUUUUCUUAAAUUUGCACAUACCACACAUUGCCACAUAAAUAUUACUUCAAAACAUUAAAACACAUUUGUCGUUUAAGUACUACAUCUACACUAAAAAAUAAGAGCCUAAUAAAAAAAUAAUACAUACACUACUAAUCUAUUACAAAUUUUAAAUGUGCAAGGAUAUGCAAAAUGAAACAGUUUUUGUUUUCAAGGUUGUGAAAUCUUUCUCAAAAGUUUAAACCUCAAUUUACAAAAUCCUCGAUUUACAUUGAUCAUCAUGAAAUUGCAUUGGAACUUUGGCUUGAUCUAUUGCCUUCAAGAGUUAUGUUGAUGAUGUUUUCAGUAAGGUUUUCCACGUCAUAACUAUCUUCUGCAUAAACUAAGCAUAGAAAAACUAAACAUUAAAAAUCAUUUAAAUUAUGAGAAGUUUACCAAAAUAAUUAUGAAAAAAAAAUAAAACAAUAGUACUAUACCAUACUUUUAUUAAGUAUAAACAUAAGAUUUUGUGGUAUCCACUAGUGUAAAUAUUUGAAAUUGAAGAUCGAAUUUAAUCAUUGUAUUCAUAUAAGGUCAAGGAGUGUAGUUGUAAAAAAUUAUCAAAAUCGGAGUUAAAUUAACCAUUAAAUCGUGAUUUUUCGUUUAUAACCGUCGAAAAGUUUUGUCCCGUUACGUGCUCUCUGAAUGUUUGUUUUUUGCAAUUUUUGGCGUAUGCGAUCUCGAAAUAUAUACAAACAUGUUUGACGGUUGGAUCAUUGACACUAGUUUCUUAGAAUGAGUAUCCCAUCAAAACAAUAGAUUCACUAAUACUUAAGAGUUUAUUCAUACUUUUAUUAAGUAUAACAUAAGAUUUUGUGGUUUCCACUAGUGUAAAUAUUUUAAAAUGAAGAUCGAAUUCAAUCAUUGUAUUCAUAUAGGGUCAAGGAAUGUAGUUGUAAAAAAUCAUCAAAAUUGGAGUUAAAAUGACCGUUAAAUCGUGAUUUUUCGUUUAUAACCGUCGAAAAGUUUUGUCCCGUUACUUGAUAUCUAAAUGUUUCUUUUUUGCAAUUUUUGGCGUAUGCAAUCUCGAAGUAUAUAUAAACAUGUUUGACGGUUAGAUCAUUGAAACUAGUUUCGUAGAAUGAGUAUCACAUCAAAACAAUAGAUUCACUAAUACUUAAUAGUUUAUUUAUACUUUUAUCAAGUAUAAUAUAAGAUUUUGUGGUAUCCACUAGUGUAAAUAUUUUAAAUUGAAGAUCGAAUUCAAUCAUUGUAUUCAUAUAGGGUCAAGGAGUGUGGUUGUAAAAAAACAUCAAAAUCGGAGUUAAAAUGACCGUUAAAUCGUGAUUUUUCGUUUAUAACCGUCGAAACGUUUUGUCCCGUUACUUGAUCUCUGAAUGUUUGUUUUUUUUUUUUUUUUGACGUAUGCGAUCUCGAAGUAUAUACAAACAUGUUUGACGGUUGGAUCUUUGAAACUAGUUUCGUAAAAUGAGUAUCGCAUCAAAACAAUAGAUUCACUAAUACUUAAUAGUUUAUUCAUACUUUUAUUAAGUAUAAUAUAAGAUUUUGUGUUAUCCACUAGUGUAAAUAUUUUAAAUUGAAGAUCGAAUUCAAUCAUUGUAUUCAUAUAAGGUCAAGGAGUGUAGCUGCAAAAAAUCAUCAAAAUCAGAGUUAAAAUGACCGUUAAAUCAUGAUUUUUCUUUUUAUAACCGUCAAAAAGUUUUGUCCCGUUAAUUGAUCUCUGAAUGUUUGUUUUUUGCAAUUUUUGACGUAUGCGAUCUCGAAGUAUAUACAAACAUGUUUGACGGUUGGAUUAUUGAAACUAGUUUCGUAGAAUGAGUAUCCCAUCAAAACAAUAGAUUCACUAAUACUUAAUAGUUUAUUCAUACUUUUAUUAAGUAUAACAUAAGAUUUUGUGGUAUCCACUAGUGUAAAUAUUUUAAAUUGAAGAUCGAAUUCAAUCAUUGUAUUCAUAUAAGGUCAAGGAGUGUAGUUGUAAAAAAUCAUCAAAAUCGGAGUUAAAUUAACCGUUAAAUCGUGAUUUUUCGUUUAUAACCGUCGAAAAGUUUUGUCCUGUUACUUGCUCUCUGAAUGUUUUUGUUUUUGCAAUUUUUGGCGUAUGCGAUCUCGAAAUAUAUACAAACAUGUUUGACGGUUGGAUCAUUGAAACUAGUUUCAUAGAAUGAGUACCCCAUUAAAACAAUAGAUUCACUAAUACUUAAGAGUUUAUUCAUACUUUUAUUAAGUAUAACAUAAGAUUUUGUGGUAUCCACUAGUGUAAAUAUUUUAAAUUGAAGAUCGAAUUCAAUCACUGUAUUCAUAUAAGGUCAAGGAGUGUAGUUGUAAAAAAUCAUCAAAAUCGGAGUUAAAUUAACCGUUAAAUCGUGAUUUUUCGUUUAUAACCGUCGAAAAGUUUUUUCCCGUUACUUGCUCUCUGAAUGUUCAUUUUUUGCAAUUUUUGGCGUAUGCGAUCUCGAAAUAUAUAAAAACAUGUUUGACGGCUGGAUCAUUGAAACUAGUUUCGUAAAAUGAGUAUCCCAUCAAAACAAUAGAUUCACUAAUACUUAAGAGUUUAUUCAUACUUUUAUUAAGUAUAACAUAAGAUUUUGUGGUAUCCACUAGUGUAAAUAUUUUAAAUUGAAGAUCAAAUUCAAUCAUUGUAUUCAUAUAAGGUCAAGGAGUGUAGUUGUAAACAAUCAUCAAAAUCGGAGUUAAAUUAACCGUUAAAUCGUGAUUUUUCGUUUAUAACCGUCGAAAAGUUUUGUCCCAUUACUUGCUCUCUGAAUGUUUGUUUUUUGCAAUUUUUGGCGUAUGCGAUCUCGAAAUAUAUAAAAACAUGUUUGACGGCUGGAUCAUUGAAACUAGUUUCGUAGAAUGAGUAUCCCAUCAAAACAAUAGAUUCACUAAUACUUAAUAGUUUAUUCAUACUUUUAUUAAGUAUAACAUAAGAUUUUGUGAUAUCCACUAGUGUAAAUAUUUUAAAUUGAAGAUCGAAUUCAAUCAUUGUAUUCAUAUAAGGUCAAGGAGUGUAGCUGCAAAAAAUCAUCAAAAUCAGAGUUAAAAUGACCGUUAAAUCGUGAUUUUUCUUUUUAUAACCGUCGAAAAGUUGUGUCCCGUUAAUUGAUCUCUGAAUGUUUGUUUUUUGUAAUUUUUGAUGUAUGCGAUCUCGAAGUAUAUACAAACAUGUUUGACGGUUGGAUCUUUGAAACUAGUUUCGUAGAAUGAGUAUCCCAUCAAAACAAUAGAUUCACUAAUACUUAAUAGUUUAUUCAUAUUUCUAUUAAGUAUAACAUAAGAUUUUGUGGUAUCCACUAGUGUAAAUAUUUUAAAUUGAAGAUCGAAUUCAUUACUUGUAUUCAUAUAGGGUCAAGGAGUGUAGUUGUAAAAAAUCAUCAAAAUCGGAGUUAAAAUAACCGUUAAAUCGUGAUUUUUCUUUUUAUAACCGUCGAAAAUUUUUGUCCCAUUACUUGAUCUCUGAAUGUUUUUUUUUUGCAAUUUUUGGCGUAUGCGAUCUCGAAGUAUAUACAAACAUGUUUGACGGUUGGAUCAUUGAAACUAGUUUUGUAGAAUGAGUAUCCCAUCAAAACAAUAAAUUCACUAAUACUUAAGAGUUUAUUCAUACUUUUAUUAAAUAUAACAUAAGAUUUUGUGAUAUCCACUAGUGUAAAUAUUUUAAAUUGAAGAUCGAAUUCAAUCAUUGUAUUCAUAUAGGGUCAAGGAGUGUGGUUGUAAAAAAUCAUCAAAAUCGGAGUUAAAAUGACCGUUAAAUCGUGAUUUUUCGUUUAUAACCGUCGAAAAGUUUUUUCCCGUUACUUGCUCUCUGAAUGUUUGUUUUUUGCAAUUUUUGGCGUAUGCGAUCUCGAAGUAUAUACAAACAUGUUUGACGGUUGGAUCGUUGAAAUUAGUUUCCUAUAAUUCGUAUCCCAUGAAGUUCAAUGAUGUGUGUGUGUAUAUAUAUAUAUUUAUUUAUUAAGUAGAUUUAAAUCUAUUUAUUUUGUAUGUAUAAUAUUUAUAGUUUUUUAGGGGUAUAAAAUUUAAUAUGUAUAUAUAUAUAUAUAAUUAUUAUAGUUAAUAUUUUGGGUAAUUAUUAUAGUAUAUAUAAUUAUUAUAAAUUUAUUAUAGUUAAUUUAAUAUAUUAUAUAUAUAUAUAUAUAAUUAUUAUAGUUUUUUAGGGGUAUAUAAAAUUGUUAAAUUAAUAUAUAUAUAUAUAUAUAUAUAUAUAUAUAAUUAUUAUAGUAUUUUUUUAGGGUUAUAAAUUAUUAAAUUAAUAUUCUGCUUAUCAUGUAUCGUGUUACACACGUGUAUACCCGAACAAAUCCGUUAUCUUAACAGGUGCUUAUCGGGUUACCCGAUAACGACCCGUUUCGUUAUCGUGUCGACCCGAACACCUGUUAAUUUCGUGUCGUGUCGUGUCGGGUUAUCGGGUCGUGUCAGGAAUUGACAGGCCUACCGGUUAGUAAGUAAAGGGUAAAAAAAGACAAAAUGAGAGUUUUAUGAAAGAUUAAUCUAAUUUGUGACACAAAGAUCUUGAAUCUUAACAGGUGGUUUUCUUACUUCAAUUCUCAGCUCCGCAUCUAAAUAACUGUUAUAGCGUUGUUAGCAUUUUCCAACCCUAACCAUGCGUAAUAUGCUUCAAUCACGUAAUAAACAUGUAUCCUUUUUUGAAAGAUGCUACACAAUUCAACUUUAUACCAAAUCAUCUCCUAAAAGAACUACAUACCAAAUAAUAGUAAAGUUUUAUAUGAUCACAUAAGAUCAUGGAUCCUCAUCCUAACUUCCUAUGGAAUGCAUAUACAUGGUAAAUUUUACCCUUUUUACAUCACGGAUCAAGGCACAUACUAACCUACUACCUUUGUGACCUUUGCCGUGCCGCCACGGGAAAACAGAAGAAAAAAAUGGAAAUAAAACCAAAUAGGAAGGGCACGCGGAAUUACCGCGUAUUCUGAGGUUGUACGGUUUAGCAGGGGACACAACAAAUAUAGAGAGAGAACGAAAGCGGUGAGAGAGAAGCAGCAGAGGUUGUGGUGGUGGGUGGCGGAGGUUGCAUAUUGGUAAACUAGAAGGCCAAACUCCAGUUUCUUGUUGGAUUCGGAUGGCAGAGGUCGAGCCCAAAGAUACUAACGGCACUAGCAACGGUAGUGCCAAUUCGAAUUCGAACCCCGCCGAUCAGCCGGACCGCCUUGUUCGUGUCUACGCCGAUGGGAUCUACGAUCUCUUCCACUUCGGCCACGCUCGCUCGCUCGAGCAGGCCAAGAAAUCGUCAGUCUCUCUCUACCCCUCUACCUCUCUCUAUCUCUCUCUGUUUACAAUUGCCAUUUGCUGCUUUGGUUCUGUGUUUUUCUUCGUUUUUGAAAUCUGGGUUGCUCCUAUUUCCGACCAAUAUUUCGUUUUUUCAUGAAAUUCGUAGCUUUUGUGUUAUUUAUUACCUGGGUAUCUUUUAUUUUGCUGUGAUUUUUUGCUUAUGUGUGAAAUUUACUUUCUUCUUCGAUGAUUUCCGUUUGUCUAUUGAUUGGAUAUGUUGAUUGGUUAAUCAUUUUCUUUGUCGUAUACAUCGUUUUGCUUAAGUUUAUUGGAUUCAUAUGAGAUAAAAGCUUAUGGAAUUGCAAUCUUGAAGUAUGUGAAUAGUUACAAAGAUGUUUCCUAGGUUAAAAAUUGUGGGGCUUAGCUUUUUAUUUGAUUGUUUUCAUGUUACUUUUUCUGUAAUUUGAUAUCGUUGUUGCUGUUAACUUGUGAAAUGGAUAUGUGGUCUGCUUUUGCACUUUUUUCUUAUGAAUUCGAAUUGCCAUUUCAGGUUCCCUACACCUAUCUGCUCGUCGGUUGUUGUAAUGAUGAAACCACUCACAAGUUUAAAGGGAAAACUGUUAUGACAGAGUCUGAACGUUAUGAAUCUCUUCGCCAUUGCAAGUAUGAGCGCCCUCUCUUACUUCUUCUCCCUCUCCACCUCGUAAUUCUUCCUUACAAUCUUGGUAUUGCGUGUGUGUAAUGUGUAUUAAUGACACAUUUUCACGAUAGAAUUUAUGAGAGUCAUGUGAUCAAGGGCAGGAAAUAUGUGUUUUGUUUGCAGGUGGGUAGAUGAAGUCAUUCCUGAUGCUCCUUGGGUGAUCAAUCAAGAAUUUCUUGACAAGCAUGAGAUUGGCUUUGUAGCCCAUGACUCUCUACCGUAAGGAUACUUUAUCCAAGUUCGCACCUUUGAGCUUUACUGUUAUGCUGUUUGGUGACUUUUGGGUACCGUUUGGUACGUGGGACGGGACGGGACGGAAGGGGACGAGCCGUUCCGUCCCACGUUUGGUGCGCCUAAAAACUGUGGAAUGGGUUGUCCCAUAGGACGAAAUUUGGCUGAUUUUUCGUUCCACCUCUUUCCCCUGGAACGACCCGUUCCACAUCCGUGGAACACAAAUUUAUAACAUUUUAUGACAAAAUUUCUCCUUAUCUUUUUCAAUAUUUACAUCAUCUGAUCCGUCCUGUUCCGUCCCGUCCUGUCCUGUUCCAUCCCGUCUGCGUACCAAACGGUACCUUAAGUACUUUUGGAACAUUUAUGAAAUUCUUCAGUUUUGUUUGUAUGCUUUUUUUUUUUUUCGUUUUCUCCAGUAUAUUUCUCUCAGUAUUCCGUUCUUUUGAAAUACAUGGUAUAUCUUAGAUAUUAAUAAAUUUAAAAAGUAAGUGCAUAUUUGUUACAUUUUUUCUAUUGUAAAUUUAAUAGUGACAAUGGUUAUGUAUUCUUUUGUACUUUGCAUUUUUUUUGUACAGUUAUGCUGAUGCAAGUGGAGCUGGGCAAGACGUGUACGAAUUUGUAAGCUCGAGACAAGUGCUUUUCUUUUGUAUCUAUUUUCCUUUUAUCUUUAACAUAUAAUUUGUUAAGCGGUUCUUUUCUUAUAGGUCAAAGCCGUGGGGAGGUUUAAGGAAACAAAGAGAACUGAUGGGAUUUCAACUUCGGACAUUAUAAUGAGAAUUGUAAAAGAUUAUAACCAGUAUGUGUUGCGUAACUUGGAUCGUGGAUAUACAAGAAAAGAGCUUGGUGUUAGUUUUGUGAAGGCAAGAUUCUUUUUGUUUUUUAUAUAUUCAGUUUUCCUACUAUGUAAUAUGGCUUUGUGGGUUCUCGUCCCAAAUUGACCUAGCUGUUGAGACGGUAAGCUUUCCAUGGUGAAAAAAAACUCAUCUUUCUGAUUUUGUUUGGUAUAAAUAGGAAAAGCGAUUAAGGGUGAACAUGAGAUUGAAGAAGUUUCAAGAGAAAGUGAAGGAACAUCAAGAGAAGGUAGGAGAGAAGGUAUGUCAUUCUCUUUUUACUAUAUAUUGUUCUGCUGUAAUUGCAGGAUGUAAUGGGAGAAUUUGCAUGGACUUAAUUGGCCGCCUUAUCAUAAUUUACUGAUUGCAAAAGUUCAGAAAUUUGGCAUUAAGAGGGAACUGAUUUACUGAUAAUGUUCUCAGCUUCCAGUUCGAUAUUAUUUGUGUUGCUCCUGCUUACAUGGCACGUCUUGAGUUUUUAGACAUGUUAAACCCUGCUUCUAUAUGCAUAGCAUGAUGUAAUGGCACAAGGUACCCACAAGCCAUCACCCAUUUUUGGGAAAGAAAGCCAUCUCACCAAAUUAAAAAACAAUGUCAAAACGUUUUACUUAACGAAUGAAGCAAUAUUGUCAAAUUGACUGGACUAAAGUUUAUUAAUUAGGUAGUAGAAUUGUUAGAGCAAACUUGAUAGCUACUGCAAACAUUUGUUUGGGUGCUUGAUUUGAUGAAGUAUAAUUAAUAAGUCUUAUGAUCUUCAAUCUUUAUGCAUGCACCCUCAUACAUGCAUACAUUUACGAGAACAAAAGGUUUUUGUCUUGAAGUAACAGAUUCCUCCCUCCUGAUAUGAGAGAAAUUACUUUGGUUCUUGCAUUAAGCCAUCACCAUCCGUUUGCUAAUUACUAGAUUGUAAAUUGCUUUCACACAAUCCAAUGACUGUUUAUGUUUCUUACUGGUGGAUUUCUGACUCGGUAUUCUAGAUUCAAACUGUUGCCAUGCAUCGUAAUGAAUGGGUUGAAAAUGCUGAUCGCUGGGUUGCUGGAUUUCUUGAGAUGUUUGAAGAAGGUUGCCAUAAAAUGGUAAAGACAAUAUAUGCAUUACCACUUACAUAUAGACUGAUAUUUCUACAAGUAUAAACUGUCUUCAUCAUUUUGGUGUCCUUCCCCUGCGGUGUGGGAAUGUUUCAGGGCACAGCCAUCAGAGAUCGAAUUCAAGAGAGCUUACGAGGGCAGCAGUCGGGAGAAAAAUAUCUGCUGGAAAAUGGUAAGGUGGACAGCGAUGAUGGACAAGAAUAUUAUGAUGAGGAUGAUGACGAAGAGUACUACGAUGAUGAAGAAUACUAUGACGAUGAAGAAUAUUAUCAAGAGGUAUAUGGAAAAGAAGGGAACAGUGCGAACGAAAAGAAGGAGAAAGAAAAGGAUGAGAAAGAACAGAAUGUGAAAGUAGAGUAGUAGGUUGUUAUGGAGUUCUGUACAAUGGUAUAAGGUUGCGUUUGAUGAUAUAUGAAUUCCGUGGUUGAGAAGGGGGUCCGAAACAUAUGUUUAGUGUAAUUUCGCCUGUUUUUUUUUUUUUUUUUUUUUUUUUGUUCAUCGCCAGUGUGCUUAGAACUCCAUUACAUGAGACAUAGUUAUACAUGAUAGUGCUAUUUACCUUUGCGUUUCUGCUUCCAUUUUGGCCAACUUGAACUUGUACUUUGUGUUCUUUUUGCUUGUUCAGUUUUGUUGUUUGGUUAAUGGUCAUGCGCUAUGAUGUAUCUAGUAAUUGAUAUGAGACUAAAACCACUUAAUAAUUAAACACUAGCUUACUAUGGUUAUCCCUAUGCGUGUAACAUUUUUAGUCCAAAGAACUCGUUUGGUGUUUAGGAUUGGAUUGGAUAACUAGUUUUGGUGAAUGUUGAUUGAAAAAAUGGAUAUCAACGUCUACCCAUGUCCAAGUUAGGUUUGGCUUCUCUUCUGCAUUUGUCCACCUUAAAGACAGAAGAUGAAUUAGUCGUGAAACAGCUUGUGCCUACCAAUCCCAUAAAAUGGUACAAAUGGGAUUGAUAAUCUAGCAAGACAAAACAUGACAAACCAAGAAAUUGAAAUGUAACAUAAAGAUUUUUAUUGGUUCGUCUUAAGCCUAUCCAGUUCGGAGACGACAAUGAAAUUUCAUUAAUAAAUCAUAGGAAAUCACACGAAUGUGUUUAAGGCUUUUGAGCUAAAAUGGUCUUUGAGAUUGAUAUAACUCUUCACUUUGGUUCAUAAGAAUUGAAAUCGAAAGAAGUGGUCCUUGAGUUUAUUCACCAUCAAUCAUUUUGUUCAUUCCGUGGAAAUCUUUGUUAAAUAAGGAAAAAAAUAACAAAAAUACUCUCAAUUUUUGUCAAAUCAUUUUGGCCUAUUAUUUAGUAAAUUGAGGGUAUUUUUGUCAUUUUGGUCCUUAUUAAGAAAGAUUUUUCAUGGAAGGACCAAAAUUAUUGAUGGUAGACAACCUUAGGAACCACUUUUAUGGAUUUCAAAUCUCAGAGACCCACGUGAUGAGUUAUGCCAAUCUCAAGAACAAUUUUGGCUAAAAUGCCUUUUGUAUUCAUACAACUUUCAUUAAGGAUAACCGUGAAUUUUUUUUUUCUUAAGGGGCUUUUAGAUCCAAUAUAGAUUUUAGGAGUGAGUCCAGUUAUCUAAUUACAUGUUUUUAUUUCUUUUACUCAUUUUAUAUUUUUAAAAAAUAAAAAAAAUCAAUUAAAAUCUUCUAAUAUCAUGCAUUUUCCAACUCCAAAGAAUCUAAUUAAUAUCCUAUAACAAAAAAACUAAUAUACUAACAUAAAUCUAUAUUGAAAACAUUAUAUCCUAACUCAAGUAACAAAUAUAUGAAUAUAUAUAUUAUACAUAUAAGUGUGAUAUGAAACCUAACUAAAAGGUAGAAAAAACAUAAUAUACCUACAAGCAAGACACAAUAAUCUGUGACAGGUUGAUUAUGAAAAAGAAUAUGUCAUAUAGGUAGGUAAAUAUAAUUAAUCUGUGAUAUACGUUGAUUAUAAAAAUUAAAAAUAAAAUCUAUAAAUGGGGUUUAAAGCGAGGAAGAACAAGACAUUAAAAAAAAACAGAAAUAAUCAAAGAGAUAAUUAGGAAGAAGUUUAAUUUUUAUAAUAAAUCUUAUCAUUGAAGAGAUAAUUCUUAAUAAUAAAAUAAUUAGAUUUAAGGAAUUAGACUUAUUUUAAUAAACUGGACAAUUUCUACUAUUGGUUAAAAAAAAACGACUUAUAUCAGGUUUUCCUUUUCUUAUUCUUUUUAUUUUUUAUUUUUUAACUAUACAUUUAUCCACACACCUCUUUUUACUUCUCUCACACCCCUUGUUAACUUUUGUCAUUUGAUCUUCUUUAAUUCAUUCGAUCCGACGACCAAAAAUUAAAAGGGUGUGAGAGAAGUAAAAAGGGGUGUGUGGAUAUCACACCCCUAGUUAUAACCUCUAGCUCCCAUAGUUAUACAAUUAUUUUAGUCCAACAUGAUUAUAGAAAGAUUGUACUAUAUCACAUUUACUUAUCAAGUUUUGAUAAGAGAGAAAUGAUUAAUCACUUGCCUUGUCCCCAACUCUAUGUCCUGUAGUGCCUUCACAACCUUUUAGCCCUUUACAAUCUUAUGCUUGAUUAUUUCUCUUUCAAUCAACAUCGACAAGGUGAAGUGAAGCACAUAUAUUCAUGACCCAAUACACAUUGGCGGCAAUAAUUCGACUGUGAAUAGCAUAACCCAAAACAGAUUGGGCGGCAGGUGUAAGGGUCAAAGACCUUUGAAAUUGAAAGUACUAAUUAUGCAACACCUAUAUUUUUCCAGGUGAAAUUAAAUACCUUAUAUUAUGUGUUCAAUUCUACAAUCGAAUUGCCAAUGGGACAUUUUUAUUUUCGAUGUACCAUACAUAACAUUCUCGACAUUUUUAUAAGUAUUCAAAGACAAAUGUUGCAACGUAGAUGAAAUUCCUCUUUACAUAUUAAACCAAACUUGAAAACUUUAUUCAUCUUUCCCCGUUGUUACCAUAAACAAUGCCAAACUUGAUACAACGAAAGAAACAUAUGAAAAAUAGUUACUGCAACCAUUCAUAAAAUGAUAUUGAACUGUGCUGAAUAAAAAGUUAAAUUUGAUCAAUAAAACGACCCAAUGAAGUGUAAGAGGAACCACCAAACUCCAAGGCUUUUUUACCUUUUUCACUCGUCUCUUUCACUCUCUUCCUUGUAUCACCAUCAAGUUCCAUCACUUCCUUAAUCCCUCUCUCUAUUUCUUCUGCGCUCACCACUACUUCACUCUCCGUCUUAUAAUCCAUCUUAAUCUCCACUGCCAAUCCCAACUCCAACAGCUCAAAUGCAUUCGAUUGUUGCUCUGCGUACAUUGGCCACGUCGCAAUCGGCACGCCGUGCCAUAUACUCUCCAGAGCGGAAUUCCACCCGCAAUGCGACACGAAACCUCCGACCGCCGGGUGAGAUAAUAUCGCCACUUGCGGAGCCCAUCCUAGGACCUUCCCGGUCGUGGCUGUCCGAUCAAGGAACCCUUCGGGCAAGACUGCCUUGGGAUCCGCAUAGUCGCUUGGCAAGGUCAAGGUCCCCUUGGGCGGGGGCUUGCGUAGGGACCACAAGAACCGAAGCCCGCUGUGCUCCAGCGCGCAGGCUAUCUCUUUCACUUGGGCCUCACAGAAGCUACCCAUGCUCCCGAAGCACAGGAACAACACCGACAACGGGGGCUGAUCGUCAAGCCAAUCCAGGAUAUCAGACUUUUCUCUGGCCUUAUCCGGAGCCACACGAGUAUCAUCACUCUUCAGAUUCAACAGGGGCCCCACAGGGUACACCGGAGGGGUCUUACCGUCCGACAGGGAGUGAAUCGCAUGGGCUUCCAGCUCCGAGAACGUGUUCACCAAAAUACCCUUGGUUUCUCUAAACCUAGUUCCAAAGUCGAGGAAGAUCGCGGCGCCUUCCUUGUCCGAAAGCUCACUAGGGAACACUUUAGUGGGCACAGGGUUGACAAAACUCGGGAUGACCAACUCAGUACUCGAGUUAAUCAAUUCAUAGAUAUCCUUGUCGUGUUCGUUGCGAAGCGACGCGAGAUGCAACCAGAGCCCUAGCAUGGCGGCGCUGGAUGUGUAGAAGAGGAAAGAAGGAACUCCAAACUCGUUUGCCACGUCAAUCAUAGAGGUGCAGAACAUGUCAAUGACGAACCCGGCAAGAGCCCUAGGGUUUUUGGACUCGGACUGAGCUGAUUGAUCAGUGAGUAGUUUCGUGACAGCUUCUUUGACGUGGAUUUUGUGACUCUCAACGAAUGGGUUGACGAAAAAGGGGAAGACGAGUGGUAUGUCGACUAGGGUUUCGGGGAGGUUGAUGAAGUUGAUGCGGUGUGAGAUUGAAGAGUCUGUGUUGGUGAAGAGUUUGUCGAAGGGGAGCUUCAUGAUGAGGAUUGUGAUGAAGAGUUGAUCAUCUUGAGCGACGAGUUGCUUUGCGAUCUCAACCGUUGAUAUGAUGUGGCCAAUGCCUGGGGCUGGGACGAACACUAGCUCUGCUGGCUUCUUCAUUUCGAUUUAGUGUGGAAGAAGUAUUUUAUUGAAAUGCUAAGUUCAGCUGAAAAUCAUCUAUAUAUAUAAUACUACGUAGACUGCAUUUUAGUGCACGGUAUUUUAAAUAACAGUGGGACCUAUACUUGUAUUAGCGAGUUCUCUAAUACCAGUACAUUGGGGGUAUAUAAAUCAUAGAAUAAUUCUUGAUCACUCAAAGAUGAGGAGGAAUUCCUCCUUAAAAUGUUUCGUGGACGAUUUACAGAACUUCGUGUUAUAAUGAUCGAAAUAGUUAAUGAUGUAAAUCAUUAUGUAAAGAUCAUCUUUACUAAAAAAAAUAAAAUUAAAACAAAGUUUGUUCUAUCAAUCAAUUUCAGCAAAUGGAUAAAAAAGUUCGUAAUACUUUUACUAAUUUUGACUGAAUUUUAUAACACAACGAUCUCACUCUUUUUUAUUAUUUGUAGAGGUGAUCUUUACACAGUGAUGUAUAAUAUGAAAAAUUCUAAUUGUAAGUACAAAAUUGUGUGAAUCUGUAACAACGCAUUUGAGGAAGAUAUCUCCUCAACGUUUCAAUAGCCAAGUAUUAUUCCAUGUCCUAUAUAUCAUGUGCAUGCAUGGCCGGUGGUAUGGCGCUGGUGUUUUAAUUCCUGGAAUUUUUCAGAUAGAGGUGAUGAUGUCAUGCCUUUGCUGUCAUUUGCUAGUUAUUAAUACCCUAACUAGAACAUGCAGUUUCCAGUUGAAAAUCAAUAGAAAUUAAGAAGAGAAGAAGAAUGUUAUGAGAAUUAGCUGUGACCAUUUGUUAGGUAUACCAGCUGAUGGAAGGGACAGCAGUUCAUAUCAGUGAACUGAAUAUCCUCGUGGUUCCUUGAUUACCACACAACUAAACAACUAUACAUACAUACAUACAUACAUACAUACAUACAUACAUACAUAUAUAUAUAUAUAAAUAUAUUUGCGUGUGUGUGUAAUAUAUCUCUGAUGAGGAAGCGUAUAUUCUCGCAUAGGAUCCAUGGAUUACAAGUUUACAACAAACACGAUGCAUGUGGAUCUGAAGAAUGCAAUUUUAAAACGUAAAUGAUGCAUGUGAUAAUUUCAGAGUGCUAAUACACGUCUAUUUAGGCCAUUUUCAACCGAUCCGGCCAGAGGAUCAUAGGACCGAAAAUAGCCCUAAGAAGGUUAGGUCAAAUGGCUCGUGGGCCUCAUCGAGCCACAAAAGGAGAAUUGGGCCAACUGGCUUGCCCAAACUAGCCAGCUAGGCAACCCCAGUUGGUCCAGCGUUUUGAAUCCCAAUGGCUACUUGCUGACAUCAGCUAGCCGUUAAAUUUGAAUAAAUUUUUUUUUACAUUUUUUUAAAAUUAAUUUUUUUCCUAUAAUUACCUAAGCCAUUAAACAAUAUUAAAUAACAUUAAGUAACAUUAUACAACAUUAAACAAUAUUAAACAACAUUAAAUAACAUUAAGUAACAUUAAACAACAUUAAAAAAUAUUUAAUAACAUGAAACUUAAACAACAUAAAAAAAAUACUUAACAACAUAAAACUUAAACGCUUGCUCCAUGCUUCUUUUGGCCCAAAGAUGUGCAACAAGAUCCUGUUGUAGGUACUUGUUUGUGGCACGCAAAUGUAUCAUCCUAUCCAAAAAAUUAUUGAGAUUACAUAUCGACAAGAAAUCUAGAGAGUUACUCACAGAUCAACACAUGACACUCGAAAUCCGAAACGUAAAAUUAUUGAGAUUCCUUAUCGACAAGAAAUCUGCAAAGUUACUCAUAGAUCGACACGUGGUAUUCGAAAUACGAGACGUAAAAUUAUUGAGAUUCCUUAUUGAUAAUAAACCUGCAAAGUUACUCUAGGGGUGGGUUCAAAAAACCGAAAACAGAAAAAACCGAAAACCAAAUUGAACCGAAGCCGAAAAAAACCGAACCGAAGCUGCCAAAUCGAACUGAACCGAAUUUGGCUGGUUCGGUUUCAAUUUUUAAGGUCCGGAAACCAAACUGGACCGAACCGAACAGAAAAAAAAAUAUAAAUACUAAAAAACAUGCAGGCGUCAAGGUUUAAACCCCUUCCCUGCAGGUUGGGGUUAGUCGCUGCAAGCCCACUUGACUGUAGGCUUUGAAUUGUAAUAAUUGCACCAGUAAGUUAUUUAUAGGUUUCUUGUAUUUAAUGCUUUAUAAAAUUUCUUAACUUUACAAACCCUAGUCGUCUCACUCCCAUUUCCCAUUUCCCAUUUCAUAUCUCAAACACUAUCUCUCUCCCAUUUCCCAUUUUCGCUGCUUCCUCAGUCUCUCUCUCUCUCUCUCUCUCUCUCUUCUUCCUCUCUUCCUCCAAAUCACUCUCUCUCCAGUCUUCUCAUGUCCUCCUCCUCUUCUCCAAACCAUGAUUUUCCCUUCUUCCACACCAUGAUUUUCCCUCGCCCCUUUCGAAUCGGAACCCCCUCCAAAUUGGAAGAUUCUAAUCCGGGUUUUCCGAUCUCUCACAGGUAAUUUUCAAAUCAAAACGAAUAUGAUUUAUAAUUUUAUAUUGUGAUUUACUGAAUUAAAAUGGGUUUUUCUUUAUUUUGUUGGGAUUUUGUAUAAUCUUCCAAUUUGGCAACAGAUGCAUAGGUGUUGCCAUGGCUGACGAGAGGUUUGGGACUAAAAACAAACCGCCAAGGUAAAAAUCUCUCCUGGUUGGCUGCUAUUUAGUUCUAUUGGGUUUAUUUUCAUGGAAAAAAUCAAAGAAUUAACACAUGCAUGUGUGUUUUUCUCUUCGAGAACUCUCAGAUCCACAACAAGAAAGGCGCACUAACACCUAAUAAUGCCAGAUCCAUGGCAGAUUUGUUCCAGAUUAAAAAAAAAAAGCUUUAUUUGUUCAAGAUCCAUGGCAUAUUUGUUCAAGAAAGGCUCUCUGUGUUUUUCUCUUCAGUGCUCAAUCAAUCUUUUCAGAUUUGUUCCAGAUAAAAAAAAAAAGUCAUGAAAAAACGGAAAUCGAACCGGAAAAACCGAAAAAAAUUGAACCGAACCGAAUCGAAAUUUCGGUUCGGUUUCGGUUUUGGGAAAAAACCGAACCGCUUAGAACCGAACCCAGCCCUAAGUUACUCAUAGAUCGACACGUGGUAUUCGAAAUUCGAGACGUAAAAUUAUUGAGAUUCCAACUCAAAAAAUUAUUGACAUUCCAUCUCGAAAAAUUAUUGAAGUAGUUUAAUUUAAGUAACUAUAUUAAUUCAAUUAAAAUAAUAAAUUAUGUUUGGCCCUAUGGCCCCCUCAGUUGGAGAUGAUUUUUUGUCACAGGACUAUAUUUGGCCUAUGGCCCUCUCACCCCUUGCUUUGAGAUGGUAAGAAAUAUGGCCUGAUACUAUUCAUUAAAAUAUUAAUUUCUUGGAGGGCUAUAGAGCUAAAACGAGCCUUCUAGCCAUUCUUUGGUUGGAGAUGGCCUUAAAGAGAGAGGAUCCUUGCCAGAUCCUCUUUGUGGAUCCCAGGUAUCCUCCAAUCACAUCCGUUCAUCAUGCAUCGUGCGACCAGUUUUCGUCAGGUACUGUUUAUAUUCAAUUUUAAAUAAAAAAAUUUAUAAUGAUUUCUGACCGCACGAUGUACGAUGAACAAAUGUGAUUUGAAGAUCUCUGGAAUCCUCACAAAAAGAUCCGGCAAGGAUCCUUUCUCCUAUUUAAGUAGUUGACAGUGCUUAGGACCACCGAGGUUCUUGGUGCCUUCGCCAAUGAGUACAACUAGAACCUAUUGUGUUUUAGGAUGUUUUAUACAUACAUUAUUAGGUAAUAAAAAUGUCCUACAUUUUUAAUCAAAAAUUACAAGUUUAUAUCAUUUCAAUCAACAGUUAGCGAUUGUCACAUCCCGGCCCGGGCCCCCACCACAUCCCGGGCUCGAGUCCGUCAUAACACGAUAUUAUCCGUUUUGAGCCCCGACCACGCCCUCACGGUUUUGUUUCUGGGAACUCACACAAGAACUUCCCAAUGGGUCACCUAUCAUGGGAUUGCUCUCGCGCGAACUUGCUUAACUUCGAAGUUCCCAUGGAACCCAAAGCGAGUGAGCUCCCAAAAGAUCUCCUACUAAGUAGAGAUGAGAAUAUACAUAUAAGGCUUACAUGAUCCACUCCUCUGGACGAUGUGGGAUGUUACAACGAUAAUGGUAUCAAUAUCGAAAUAUUUGUUAACAUUUAUUCAUAAAUUGAAUUGUUGAUAUUCCUAUUAAAUAUAUUUUUCUACCUUUGUUAUGAAGUUGUUUGAUAGUCAUUUCGUUUUCAUUUUUCACUUAAAUAAAAAUUCAAAUAUUCCAAACAUAACGAUGAACAAAUUUGCAGAUUAUAUAUAAAAAAUUCUUUAGUGGGCCACAUGUGCAAUCAAUUCGACCUCGAUAACCCUUUCUUUUUCUUUCUAAAAGCAACGAAAGAUUCAUCAUUGAAUCAGAAUCUUGUUCACAAUUGAAAUGCUGGGGUCGGGAUUUGUUCACAAUUAAGACGGUCGUAAGGUUGAGUCGGAUCAUGGGAAACCCGCUUUGUUACCAAGACAGUAAAGUGAGAUUAUUGACCCACAACUAAUCACGGUAAUGAAAAGACGGUCGUAUCGAGCCCAACAGGAUCCUCCGGAUCCGUGAAUCGUGUGCAUUCAUUGCACAUCAUGCGGUCAGUUUUUGUCAAGUAUUGUUUUUGUUUAAUUUUAUAUAAAAAUAUUAAAAUAAUUUCUGACCGCGCGAUGUAUAAUGAACGGAUACGAUUAACAGAUUCCCGAGAUCCUCACAAAGAGAAUUCGACGAGGAUCCAAGUUCAUAUCGAGCAACAAAGAGCUUUGCGAUCUCUAACGAGGACGCAAUAUGGCCAAUACCUAGGGCAGGAACGAACACCAGCCCUGCUGCUUUGCUUCAUUUUGGAGAAAAAAAAGUAGUAAGAUAGAGAAAAAUACAGAAUUAUAGGUGCUUGGUUAAUGUGGAUGGAAUCAAAGCUAUACAUAUAAGUGUAUAUGCAUAUACAUAUAUAUGGGGCUUAGUCUUUGGAGACACAUGUUUUUAUGAGGUCCACUCGAUAACGUAUUUCAAAUACCCAACCAUCUAUAUUUUACGUCUUACUUUUCAGGUCAUAUCUACCAAAAAUUAUCAAAAUCCGAAACCAUUUGACCGUUUGAUUAAAUUUAGUGUUUCUUUAUAGAACUGCAUUCGUCUAGUUUCUUCACUCAAAUGAAUGUUUUAGUGGCUUUGAAUUUGUCUAAUUUUUUGCAGACAUGAUCUGUGUAAUGUACUAAUGGUUUUGAUCACUGAAAUACAUCAACGACUUGCUGACACCAAGCUAAAGUGAAAAUGUGGGGACCUCCGACCACUGUUCCUGCAGCACUACCGGCUGACAAAGACGGUGCCGGUGACGUUCGAGAUGAUGAAUCCUGCAUUGCCACGAACAAAACGAAGUUUACAUGUAUUUAACAUAAGUAAGGAACUCGAUUUUUUCCAUAAAGAGAGAAAGGAAAAAGCGCCAAAGUCACUUUAGGUAGAAAGUUAGAGAAGAAAAAAUCUCCAUACGACGCAACGAAGUUGAAAUUAAGCAAGUCUUGGCAACAAAGAAUACCCAGUGAAAGGACUUCCUCCCACUUCUGCACAGAGGAAAAUGUCCGCCUGCAGCUGCAGUACUAGAACUCCCCUUCAACGGGCAGUGCACGUCCGUUUAAGUUUUUUGACCGAGAUUUCGCGGCCAUAUUGGGUUUCCUCAUUUGCCCUGUAACCAUGACCAAAUUACAGAAUUUCUGUCACAGGAUUAUAACCAAUUUAACCAAAAGAACGAAAAGUUUAAUAUUUUCCUCGUUCAUGACUGGCUGUGACUCGGUAACGCAAGAACAAAUAUACAUGCUUUAUUUUAACAAUAUACGUAAACGAAAGUAUAAGAUCAGUGCAAGGUAACAUAUUGCUUCACAGCUUCCAUAUCGAAUCCAGAUGGCAUAUUCCGUAUUUGGGUGGUUGUGAGAAAUGACAGAUAUGAGAUCAAUACAUAAGCAAGGCAAAGUAUGAUAAAUACUGAAAUCCAAAUAACACAACGAUUUAUACUCGUUGAGAAUAAGCCUACGUUUAGUUUGGAGACGGCAACAAAAUUCCAGUAUUAACAAAGGAGAUUACAAAAGUGAUUUAACUCUCACAAACUGAAUACCGCAUACACCCAAGCUUACACAAUCAAGAAGAUAAGAGAAAUCAGAUGGGAGACAAGCCAAUACAAAGCUUCAAUACACAGAACAAGACAAGGAACUUCGGGUGUGGUACCAAUACAUAGACUCUUACUCAACUACUUAAUUGUUCUCGGCGCAAAACUAAAUGCAUACGUUCAAGUGUGCUAGAUAAGUCAAAUAAAAGAAAACCAUUGUACCUUGGGAAGUCAAUUUUAAUGGGCAGAUACCAGCCCUACAAACAUAAGGUGAUGUGAACGAUUUAAAGCCAAGUGACAACUUGUUCAAGAAAGCCACAUUAAUAUUGAGACAAAAGCCAACAAGGGUCUCAUAACUAAGGCAGUUAUAGUAGCCUUCAUGGUGAAACAGAUCACAAAACAUAAACAUUUUCAAGAGUUCUAAGUAGAGCGACCAAUAUAAUACGAGGCACCCAAGAUUAAGGCAAAUGGAAGAAAAGAAACAACCCAAGACUAAGUCAUGGCCAUGUGCAAAACGAGAAUAGGCAGAAAUCAUGCUUUUUAUCCUACCUGAAUAAUAUGUAACAGGUUUUUUCGAGAUGGCAUCAUAUUAACUUGAUCUGGCUUAACCGCCACUGUCCAGAGUUCACUACCAAAGACCAUGUGGAAAGACUUGAGCAGCAUCGGAGAAGAAUCUACGAUAAACAACUGCUGACCUGCACCAAGUUCCAAAUGAGAAAGAAAGUAUAUUCUAGCUGCAGAAACAAACAUCAUGAUACACGACAUAAAUGUAAGAUGAAGACAAACUCAAUAAGAAGACGUGCCCACUGACUUGCUAGAAACGAGGCAGUCUAGUUGUAGGAGAAUUCACGCUUUUAAUCCAGUCAUUAAGUAUGUAAUUUUAAGAAGCUAGAGAAAAUGCACCACAUAGAGGAUUAAUGUCGGAUCCGCAAUGACAAAGGAUUGAACCUAAGAAACUUACAUGAAGGACAGUCUUCCACGGAUAUAUACUUCUUGUGCAAAGGAGUUGUGGAUGCUGCAAUAUGAGCAUCGAAUGGUGGAUAUUUUGCAUGCAUAUUUGUCUAAGUUUACCACAUUGAAUGCUGCAAUACGAGCAUCGAAUGGUGGAUAUUUUGCAUGCAGACUUGUCGAGGUUUACCACAUUGAAUGACAGCACAAGCUGGAAAAGAAUCUUUUUCAAGUAUUCUUCAUCAUUCGUUAGGUUCCAAGAUUGCAUAUUAGGAAGAAUUGAGAGAAGGCCUAUAAACAGUAUUUUGAUCUUCACAGUCAAUUCCUCCAAAAUAGCAUAACCCAAAACACAUUAGGCGGCAGUAAUAGGUGUAAAGGUCAAAUACCUUUGAAAUUGAAAGUACUAAUUAUGCAACACCUAUAUUUUUUAGGUGAAACUAUGCGGUUGAAUACCUUAUAUUAUGUUUUCAAUCCUACAAUCGAAUUGCCAAUGGAACAUUUUUAUUUUCGAUGUACCAUACAUAACAUUCUCAACAUUUUGAUAAGUGUUCAAAGACAAGUGUUGCGGCAUACAUGAAAUUCCUCUAUAUCAAACUUGAAAACUUGGAGAGAUUUUUCUCAUCACUCAUAUUAAAACAUAUGGUGUACCACUUGUGUGUUUCCGUCACAACUAAACAUUUCUCCCAAACUUGCUACAACGAAAGAAAAAUAUGAAAAAUAGUUACUGCAACCAGUCAUACAAUGAUCUUGAACUUUGUUGAAUAAAAAGUUAAAUUUGAUCAAUAAAACACCCCAAUGAAGUGUAAGAAGAACCACCAAACUCCAAGGCUUUUUUACCCUUUUCACUCGUCACUUUCACUCUCUUCCUUGUAUCACUAUCAAGUUCCAUCACUUCCUUAAUCCCUCUCUCUAUUUCUUCUGCACUUACCACUACUUCACUCUCCGUCUUAAAAUCCAUCUUAAUCUCCACUGCCAAUCCCAACUCCAACAGCUCAAAUGCAUUCGAUUGUUGCUCUGCGUACAUUGGCCACGUCGCAAUCGGCACGCCGUGCCAUAUACUCUCCAGAGCGGAAUUCCACCCGCAAUGCGACACGAAACCUCCGACCGCCGGGUGAGAUAAUAUCGCCACUUGCGGAGCCCAUCCUAGGACCUUCCCGGUCGUGGCUGUCCGAUCAAGGAACCCUUCGGGCAAGACUGCCUUGGGAUCCGCAUAGUCGCUUGGCAAGGUCAAGGUCCCCUUGGGCGGGGGCUUGCGUAGGGACCACAAGAACCGAAGCCCGCUGUGCUCCAGCGCGCAGGCUAUCUCUUUCACUUGGGCCUCACAGAAGCUACCCAUACUCCCGAAGCACAGGAACAACACCGACAACGGGGGCUGAUCGUCAAGCCAAUCCAGGAUAUCAGACUUUUCUCUGGCCUUAUCCGGAGCCACACGAGUAUCAUCACUCUUCAGAUUCAACAGGGGCCCCACAGGGUACACCGGAGGGGUCUUACCGUCCGACAGGGAGUGAAUCGCAGGGGCUUCCAGCUCCGAGAACGUGUUCACCAAAAUACCCUUGGUUUCUCUAAACCUAGUUCCAAAGUCGAGGAAGAUCGCGACGCCUUCCUUGUCCGAAAGCUCACUAGGGAACACUUUAGUGGGCACAGGGUUGACAAAACUCGGGAUAACAAACUCAGUACUCGAGUUAAUCAAUUCAUAGAUAUCCUUAUCGUGUUCGUUGCGAAGCGACGCGAGAUGCAACCAGAGCCCUAGCAUGGCGGCGCUGGAUGUGUAGAAGAGGAAAGAAGGAACUCCAAACUCGUUUGCCACGUCAAUCAUGGAGGUGCAGAACAUGUCAAUGACGAACCCGGCAAGAACCCUAGGGUUUUUGGACUCGGACUGAGCUGACUGAUCAGUGAGUAGUUUCGUGACAGCUUCUUUGACGUGGAUUUUGUGACUCUCAACGAAUGGGUUGACGAAAGAGAGGAAGACGAGUGGUAUGUCAACUACGGUUUCGGGGAGGUUGAUGAAGUUGAUGCGGUGUGAGAUUGAAGAGUCUGUGUUGGUGAAGAGUUUGUCGAAGGGGAGCUUCAUGAUGAGGAUUGUGAUGAAGAGUUGAUCAUCUCGAGCGACGAGUUGCUUUGCAAUCUCAACCGUUGAUAUGAUGUGGCCAAUGCCUGGGGCUGGGAUGAACACUAGCUCUGCUGGCUUCUUCAUUCGAUUUAGAGUGGAAGAAGUAUUUUAUUGAAAUGCAAAGUUCAGCUGAAAAUCAUCCAUAUUAUACAUAUAAUAAAACCCAACACAAAAAGCACUGUUCAAUAACAGUGAAAGGGCGCAAUUGCCCUUUAAUUGCACUUGGUUUCCUGUUUUUGUCCUCCUUUGCACAGUAAAAGGACGACUUUGCCCUCGCUGGGCAAGUUAAUUGUUGCUGUAAAGUAUCUGCUUCUACGGCCGUUCUACAUCUAUUCACACUAUUUGUGCUUUUUUCCGUUUGGGAUUUCCGGGUUCUGGCCUGAAUUUUGGCUGAUUUCCACCCCUUUCGUCGCAACCUAUUUUCAGAUCACUGCGGAACUGAUCUUAUUUAGUAGAGGUGUACUUUAUAAGGACUUGGAUGGUCUGCCCUCCCAUUUCGGUGCCCUUUUCGUGCCCUCUUGUUUUGUGUGGUCACGGUUAAGCCACGUCAACAUUUUAUAUUGUUUUUUUAUAAAAAUAAUAAAACAAAAAGAAAUAGUAAUAUAAAAAGUUGACGUGGCUUAAUCGUGACUACACAAACAGAAGGGCACGAGGAGGGCACCGAAAUGAAAGGGUAGACAAUCCAAGUCCACUUUAUAAUCGUUAGAGAGAGAAAGAUGGCAGCGGCGGCAUUGGUUGGAGUUAGAGGUGUGUUUCAUAGGUGAAAAAAGAUAACAUUUUUUUAUUUAGUUAGAGGGUUUUGUUCUGUGUUUAGAUCUUAGCUAUAACUUGAUUAUUUGGUUGUCUUUUCGUGGGGGAAAUAGUUAUUUAUGAGGGUUUUGUGUGCAGCCUUUAAAGUUUAAUCUUGCUUUCAAUCUGUUUUAAAAAAAAAUUAUUAGAAAACUUCAUUUGAAUCCUUGGCAAAGAUGAUUUUUAGAUUAAAAUCAUAAGUAAUAUUAAAAUCUAAUUUUAGUCUAUUGAUACAUUAAUAACCUCAUUUAUUAAUUAUAUUUUGAUUUUUUAAUUAUUUCUCUUUUUUCUUUCUAAUUUUUACUGUAUUAAUUUUAUUUCAUUAUAAUUUUUAUUUUCAUUUCAUUUAUUGUAACUGUUGACCCUAAAAACUACUAAGCCUAAGUGGCGCGCAGGCCGAGUAAUUAGUAAGCUAACUACAUCAUUUGAUUGUAUGCGGGGCGUGCCAACUCGUCGGUCGAGGAGUAAAAUUUGUUGAUGUUGCGUUGGGUGCGCUGCUGACUUCUGAAUCCUGCGACUGUGGCCGAGGAAGGAACAUGUCUCGGCCUUCGGGUUCUAGAGCCUAAAGAUAAGGCUACUAGUUCUGCGAAGUUCACAAAUCGUCGGCGCCGUAUUCGGUCAUAGUGAUUAUAUUCGUAAGAGUAUAAGCACGCCGAAUCGACACCAGAGUAUAGGGACACAGGUACUCAAAACAAAUGUAUGUCUUGAUUGUGAAGGUGGACUCUAAAACCUACUUAAGAAUAACCAAUUAUAAACAACUUGGCGUUCAACGUGCCGAGCCCAGUAACUCGUAACACCUCACUUCGUUGAGAAGGCUAAUGAGAUUACCUCUGCCAAGAAGGACUCGAAAAUCCUUCUUGACCGAGACUUGGAUAGACAACCAAUUGGCCUCGACGUAGUGCUGUUUAUCCAAACUGAAGGUGCUCCGCGGUUGACUGAUUCUACGACAACAGUGCUGUUUAUCCAAAUUGAAGAUGUUCGCCGGUUGCCUUCACAGUGCUGUUUAUCCAAAUUGAAGAUGUGUUGGAGGAAAAAGAAAAUAAAAAUCUCAAGGUUGUUGAGAGGUUUCGCAUAGAGCGAGGGUUUAAGCAGGGCAGUUUGUGUGUUGAAUUGGAGGGGGUUUGUUCGAUGUCCUCCCUCCCUAUUUAUAGUAGCCAACCUGUAUUGGAUCCCAAUCAUUCUCGAAUUAGAACUCCUUCCCCCGAUCCAACAUUAUCUCGGCCAGUCCUACUCCUACUAGGACUUUGAACUUAACUCGUUAUUAGGCCGCAUUAAAUCUCAAACUCCAACAUCCUUAUCCUGUCGAAACUCCUUCUCAUAAUAGGACUCACCCACAUCCCACAGGUUCUCAACGGGAUAAGGCUAGCUUCGACCGUGCCUUCCAUGAGCUGGAUAACCCCUAAUGACACCUAAACACGGCCUCUUGGCCGAAGAACAAUUCUAAAUUCGGCCUGACCAAUAUUGGGCAAAGAGCAAUUCUAAACUCAGCCCAAACCAAUAUUUUUGGGCCCAAACAUUGCCCCCUCGCUUAUGAGGUCGUCGACCUAUACUCCUUGGUUCGAGCCUCGACCUUGAAGAAGUGAAACCGACCUAAGGACAAUCUCUUGAGAAAUACCACUAUGCGCAUUUAUGAGAUGUAACCCCACGAUCUCGAUUUCUCAACUGUCCUGCCAUAUGUCAACCCCCUGGUUACCCUAGCAGCCUUCAAUCAUGAUCCUCAAAAACAUGCGACCGCCGAAACGUCUCUCUUGCACUAAACCUGCCGCAACACGCCAUCGUGCGUCCUCAAACCGCAAAAACCUCGAUCUUCUCUCCUCGAUUCUCUGAGCAUGUAUAAUGAUUAGUAACUCUCCCACUUGAUUUUACCCUUGAUUUUGAAAAUCAAACGUUUAGCCUUCUAUCCCAAAUGUCUAUAAAUACCCGAAUCCCUUCCAUUCGUACCUCACACUUUCCAAACCCUUGAAAUUUUCUCGCCACCUUGCUUUCAAAACCUUCAAAAACCAGAAAACCAUAAGCUUUCAUCUCUGAAAUUUUUAGCCUUAUCAAUGGCCUCCUUCAUCUCAGAGCUCUCCCCCGAGUGUAACAAGUGCAAGGACUUCAAAGAUCGGAACACCAUCAAGACUUUGCGUUUCGAGGGUGAACUAAACUCUACUCACCAAAUUCUAGGCUCACUUUUCAAAGACACGGUGCCAUCAUCCAUCAUCAACCUAUUCAAAAAACACUGCUUGGCAAGUUUGCUGCAAGGAUUCGAUUGGUCAAAGUGGUGCGAGACAAAACCCUAAUGAUCCUGGCCUUCGACCAAUGUGAACUGGGUACCCUGGGCCGUACGAAUGGAAAAAUUCUUCGGAAAAUAGUGGGAGGCUCUUGGUAUCCACGACGCUAUUAAGUUCUCGACCAUGGAGAUUACCAUGGAUAAAGAACUCAUCAUGGUAGCUCUAAGCCUCUGGUGUUCGGCCACCAACACCAUGGUCCUUCCGUUCGGCCCUAUAACUCCCACUAUCCUCGAUAUCUCGGCUAUCAUCGUGACUCCUCAUUCCGACAUUCCAAUUGACGCCACCCUUAUUGGAUGCCCAUCAAACCUUGACCUCAAGGCGCUGUUCGACGAACGGGCCGUCGAGGCGUUGAGCCAAGAAGGUCAAGAGCCUUCAAAAUAGGACGUUUAGAAAUUACACAAAAAUUUUCUGAACUACAACACCCUUAUCCUCAAUUUUGCUGGUCGGGCGGAAGCGAAUCUACGGAAGGGAGAACACGAGGCCUUCCUAUUUUAUUGGUACAACAAGUUCAUCUGUUGUACCAAGUCGAAUAAAUGCUUGGUCGAGAAUAUGCCGGUGGUGGAAGCCCUGGCUAGUGGUCACUAUGUGGCGCUUAGUCCCGCCAUCAUUGCCAACCUUCUACGUUGCCUGCCCGAAACAACCAUCGACAAGAUCGACUCACACCAGAAUGGACCUCUAUGGGUGUUCCAACUCUGGCUGCAAGUUUAUUUCUCCACACUUCGGCCAGAAAUCUCCGGCCUCUAGUCUACUGUAGCACUCGGCUUUUAGUUGGCCCCUCGACCAGUGCCUCAUCACUGAGCUGAAGAAGUCUUUAAACACCUAUUCGGCUUGGACGUCAUUUCUGAUGACGAAUUUUUGAUAUGUCGUCGUCAAGAAUAUCCCCACUCCAUCAGACUUCCUACCUCGACUUGGAGUGAAAGCGAAGACACUGGUUUUCAUCAAAACUAGGGUCGUUCGUGUUAACUUGCGACUUUCCCCUCAGUUGCGAUGCUCGCCGAGCAAGUUGGGAAGUCUACCACCCUUAUUUUGUUGCCCAACAACUUGGCUACCUCCAAGGUUUUCUGGUGCCUCUACUUUCUUCCCGCUCCCUUCUAAGCCAAUGGCGCGUCUCUGGUUCCUCAGAAAGGGAGUGUAGAGACACCGAGAAAGAAUUUCAGGAACGGUGUAACAAAUUCUGCCUUCGACCGACUAUUCCUGAAUUUCUCGGCACCAACACCUUCAGCGAUUGGUGGGACAAAUAUGUUCACAACUUUUUUGGCACUUCGGUCGAGGUCGUAGGCAACAAAAUUUUUAGUAACCGACCCAAGAAAACUCCGCCCCUAAAUCUAAAGAGGCGUUCCAAGGUAUACCCUUGUUUCUACUUUUAUUCUUCAAACACUUGAACGGUUUUACUAACGAGAUUUCACUUUCUUAGGCGGUCGGGUAUUGAAACAGGCGGACGUGGUUGGCCCGGCAGUGGUCAAGAAAAAAUCAGCCCAUUCUUUCAAGAAAUCCAAAAUCGCCGCAUAAAAUACACCAAGCAAACGACUUCACGAGGACGCUGAAAAGGCUGGUGAAGCUCCCCGUCCCCCAAAACGCGUCAAGAAAUUAGCGAAGAAAGGAGCACGGGAGAUUCAUGUUAUCUCUAGCCACACCACUAGGACAACUGCUCCUAGCGCCCCUCAUCCUGCACUUAUUGUUCAGGCCUCAGCGGAGAAUCGGCCAUCUUCAACCAGACGGCAACCCAAGCUCAACCAGCACCUGAAGUCUUCGAGGUCGUGGUUGAGCCAGUUGUCGUACUGCUGGUCGACACGCCUGCAGCUCCAAGGUCGACCGUAGAACCUGUACUGGGGAAGACAACCCCUUUGAUAGGGAAAAGUCUCCCCAAGAAUCUAAAACAAUCGACGAUCAUUUUAGAAGAGGUAUGACUAUGUUGGCCACUCCAUUUACUCAUUAAAUUCACAACUAUAAUAACUCUUUUGUUUCAGGAUGACGAGAGUAACGAGACUCUACUGGUGAUUCGCUCUUGGUCGACCGAAACUCCUGUUGAUCCUUCUCCUAUGGUUGCGACGGCCGACCCGGUUGAUCCUCCUGCAGCCAAUCGUGGGAAAAUGCCCAUUAUUGAACUGAAGCGAUGUCGGAAACUCUGAUUCACCCGCAGGACCAGGACCUCGGCAUCCCCUUUCAGUAAGUGACCUCGGCUUUUUUAAGGCUCAACUACUUUCUCUUGUCAAUUUUGUUAUAACAAGUCUGAACCGAGAAAAAUAUUAAAUGUCAGGUGCCUAGUUAUUCAUUUCACCGAAAAUUCUAUGUGCCGAAGGGUGUUAUCUAUAUUUCCUGGCCACCUCAGUGGCCAUCGAACGUAGAUAACCUUCAUCGGCCGCGUGAAUUAAGAAGCAGUCUGAAACAUUAGGCUCAGCCAUUAAGCUCUCUAGGUUCCAAUAAUGAACUUGGAGACAUGGUCGAAGUCUCCUCUCUGCAGGUCUAAAACAAAUCCUCCAUUCUACAUUCUUUUAGGAUUUUCCUUGCGCCUAAACUAUUUUCUUGUGCAGCCUUCAUGGGAAGUCGAGUUUGAUGCUCUCCUAUCCAGCACUUCAGGAGCGGCUGGUCAUUCGGCAGCUACGACUGAACCCACCAAAUGGACUGUUCUUGUUCGGUUGUAGGAGAUUUUGUCUCUUUCAGCUUUGAAAGUUUUCGAGCGCAAGGGCCUUGAUUUGGUGGGUGUAUGUUUGAACGAUCUCGGAGUUAAUGGUCAAUUGAGCGCUGAAGCCAUCAUUCAAGCAUCGUCCGCCUUGGAACGAACUCGAGAAUAUUUCAGUAUUUUUUAGAAAGCUCUUCGGGCUGACGAUGACUUGAAAGCUGCAACAGCCAGUUGAAACGCUCUUCGUCUGAAGGUCAAAGUUUUAAAGGCGAAAAAAGAAACCCUGGCCGACCUUAACCGUCAAAUUGCCAAACUUCAAAAUCGAAGGUCGGUAAUUGCUUCUGAGCUUGAGAAAGAUUUUAAGUCAGGCGGAAAAUCUUGCUUAACCGAAUACGCGGCGAGCAUGAAGCGAGUUGAGCAGUUGAAGAUGGACAAGAGGAAUCGGCAAGCUGAGGUCACGAUGGGCGAGGUGAGGUGGUUUGAGCUGAAGGCUAUUCUUGAAUCUCUUCUUCCUUCAUCACCCUAGAAUUAUUUGAUUGUAAACUUGAUCGACCAAUGAAAUGGACUUAAUGAAAUGAAAUGAACUUUUAUUCUCACAUCUCCCAUGUGACUGAAUAGUAUUUCUUUAAAAACCUUCCAUUGAUUGGCAAUUUGUGAACAAUACUGGUUCGAUCUCUAAAAUAGUAUGCCCCUUUAACGAGGACUUUAUGAAUAACAAAUGGCCCAUCCCAAUUCGGCAACCACUUGCCAAACCUGGGGUUUUUAAUUUCUACGGGUAGUACGGUUUGCCAAACCAGUUUUCAUUCGCCGAACAUUUUUUGCUUAACUCGUUGAUUAUAUGCACGCUCAGCGAUCUUCUUUUGAGCCACUAAUAAGUUAUAAGCAUUAAACCGAGCUUCUUCUAAAUCAUCUAGUUCUUGUCUCAUGACUUGACUGUACUCAGCGCUGAACAAACUACUUUGUUCAAUUAUUCAUAAUGAGUUUAUACUUAGCUUGACUGGUAACAUUGCGUCGUGUCCAUAAGUUAACGCGUACGGAGUCGUUCUAAUGGCUGUUCGCAAAGAGGUUCGAUAAGCCCAUAAUGCUUCGUUUAUCCUUAAGUGCCACAUGCCUGGCCUUUCUUUUAUCAUCUUUUCAAGAAUACCAAUAAGAACCUUGUUACUUGCCUCGGCCUGUCCAUUCUCCUGCGGGUAGUAUGACGUAGAUUACUUGAGUCGAAUCUUUAGAUUUACCGUAUAGUCCUUAAAUCUGUCGGAUGUAAAGAUUGUACUGUUAUCUAUUAUGAUUGUUUCUGGCACACCGAAUCUAGUUACAAUGUUUUCUUCAACGAAGCUACAAACCUCUUUAGAUGUUAGCUCGGCAUAUAACUUAGCUUCGACCUAUUUGGUGAAGUAGUCCGUUGCAACAAGUAUCCACGCGUGUUUGGCCACACCAGAAGAUGGUGUGAUUUUACCGAUAACAUCCAUGACCCAUCCUCGGAACGGCCAUGGUUUGGUGAUCGAAUGUAAUGAUUCGGCCGGUACUCUCUGUAUAGGCCCAUGAAUUUGACACUGUACACAACCUUUUGCGUACUCAAUACAAUCCUUCAGAAUACUUUGCUAGAAAUAGCCGUGUCGUCGAAGUAGCCAACGCAUUUUUCGUCCAGAUUGAUGGGCUGUGCAAAUUCCUUCGUGUACUUCUGCCAUUGUUUGAGCAGCUUAUUACGGGCCGAGGCACAGCAACAGUAACCCAUCCUUACCUUUUUGAUACAUUUCAUUCUGGUAUAAUACAUAGUUUGUGGCAUGAACCUUUGUCCGUCGGUGGUGUUUUUCGUUGAGGUUAUCAAUAUAUCGUAUAAUCAUCCUUCUCCAAUCGUCUGGUAAUGACUCAACGACACUAACCUCAAUACUAUCAUUCCGUUCUAACAAUGAAGGUAAAGAUAUGACUCGUGUAAGGAUCAUGCAAUCAGGUUGGAGAACUUGCUAAUUAAUCAAGGCCGAAUGUGCUUGUCGUGACACAGAUAUUUCUCGGCCUAAUUUACCCCCCAUGAGUUGGGCUCUCGGAGGCUAUUUGAGCCAAUUCGUCGGAGUCAGUGUUAUGAACUAGUGAAAUAUGUUUGAAAAUUACUCCGUCAAAGGAUUCGGCCAAAUAGCUGGCAACCAUGUGGUAAGACGCCAGAGUACAACUCAUGCAAUGAAAAGUCCCAUUAAGUUGAUUAAUGACAAGUUCGAAGUUGCCAAGAACAAGAACACGAGUUGCCCGUAAAUCGUGCAGCACGCCGAGGUCGAUAACAAGGGCUUCGUAUUCGGCCUAAUUAUUCGUACAAUCGAAAUCAAGCUGGAGAGAAAAAUACCAACGAUUAUGAGUGGGGGAUUGAAUAACGAUCCCAAAGCUAGCUGAGACUGAAAUACUGGAACCAUCAAAGUACAUCGUCCAGUAAUUAUCACGUGUCUGUAUCAAGUCGAUGUCAACGUCAUUGCCUUCAAACUCAUAUGGGGAAGGGUGUUAGGCCAAAAAAUCAGCUAGGGCUUGACCUUUGACAGCUUUCUGGGGUAAAUAUUGCAAGCUGAAUUAAGAAAGGGCCAUUGUCCAUUUGCCGAUUUGGCCCUUUACGAUCGGCCGAGUGAGCAUGUAAUGAAUGACAUUAGUCUGGGCGAUGACCUGAGUGACUGACGGGAACAUGUAAUGUCUGAGUUUUGACGCGGCAAAAAAUAGGGCAAGACAAAGCUUCUCGACCGCGAAGUAAUUAAUCUCGGGCGGGUUGAGGUUUCGGCUAAGGUAAAAAAUGGCAUGUUCUCGCCCGACGUCAUUAUCUUGUGCCAGAAGGCAUCCGAUGGAUUCUUCGACCACCGAGAUAUAUAGCUUAAGAGGUCGACCCUAUCGUGGUGGAACGAGGAUGGGUGGCGUCGUUAGAGAGACUUUGAUCUGCGUGAAGGCCUCUUGGUGCUCGACACGCCAUUCGAAGGUGUCGGAGUCAUUGAGUUUCAAAAGCAUGGAAAAAGCUUUCAUUUUCCAAGCUGAGUUAGCAAUAAAUCGUCGAAGAAAGAACUGAGCAACGACUGUAAUUGUUUCUUAAUCGUCGGUGCUCAUUAAUGAUUACGCAUGCCUUGUUGUCGUCUACCUCAAUACCACGGUGAUGUACGAGGAAGCCUAAAAAAAUUUCAGCUGAUACGCCGAGAACACAUUUGGUGGGAUUCAUCUUCAGAUUGUGCCGGCGCAUGCGCAGGAAUGCCUGACAGAGGUCAUCCAAAUGUGUCUGCCGUUGUGCUGAUUUGAUGACUACAUCGUCGAUGUAGACUUUGACGAUGGUACCAAUUAAAUCAUAAAAAAUAGUGUUCAUAGCUCGUUGGUAUGUAGCACUGACAUUCUUGAGACCGAAGGGCAUGACGACCUAUUUGUAUGUGCCGAGUGCCCUGGGACAUCGAAAUGUAGUCUUAUGAACAUCAGCUUCGGCGAUGACAAUGUGGUUAUAACAGGCAUGCCCAUCCAUUACGGAUGGGAUCUUGUGAUGUGCUACAACAUCAAUUAGCAAGUCGGAGAUCGGCAUCGGGUACUUAUCUUUAAGCAUUGCCAGGUUCAGAUUAUGAAAAUCGAUACAGAUGCAUAGGACGCCAUUUUUCUUUAGCACCGGGACGAUAUUGGCCAGCCACUCGAUGUAUCGAGUGGUCCGUAUAAACCUGACUUUUAAAAGUCAAACUAAUUCAUCUUUUAUGUCGAGUUGUACUUUAGUCGAAAACCAACGAGGGGGCUGGUGGAAAGGCUUACAACCAGCUUUGAUGCAUAAUUCAUGUUCAACAUGGGUCCGAUCAAUGCCCGACAUCUCAUGAUAACUCUAAGGAAAACAAUCUUUAAACUCGUUGAGUAAUUAACAGAGUUCAACUUUCAUAGCAUGGGGUAACAGUGCACUAAUAAAUAACGGUCGAGGGUCAUCGACCGUUUUGACAUUUAUUUCCUCUACUGGGUCCUUAACUUGGGGUCGACUGUCUUCGAGUUUGGCCGGUACGGCUUGAACUUUGUUUAACGACAGUACUGGGCCAUUAUCUUCCUCGGCCAAAAAUUCAAUUAAGUUGAUGCCUGAAUGUGCGUGCUUGGAAAUAGCAUACCAAUGGGCCAAAAGACGUUUCAUCGUGGAUGAAAUCGCGGCCCGACUUCUCUCGCCUUCGACGUAAUCAUCAGUGGUAAGGAUCAAGUUGGCCAAGCCGAGUCUUGCCGAAUCCUGAUGGAUAGUCUCGGCACCUACCUCGAUGGCUUUCUGGACUGAGAUUCGAGUCGACCGUCCAUCUUCAUUAAAACCCUGUAGGGUAAUGUAGCCGACGUGAUCAUCAUAAUAACGGGCCUGAAUCAUAUUGGUUUCAAAUGGCUGAUUAUCGGCUGGGUGAACCAUGACCGAUUUCCCGUCCCAAAAAAUGAGAACUUGGUAUAAAGAAGAAGGGAUACAAUUCAUUUGAUGAAUCCAAUCCCUGCCGAGCAAAACAUUAUACUCGGUCUUGGAGUCGAUGAUAAUAAAUACGGUCAUGUGAUUGCGACCUGCAAUGUUCACCUCCAAAUGAAGUAUUCCUUUGGUUUGAGACUUGUCACCAACGAAGCUGCUCAUGGUUAUUCCUGAAGGAAUGAGUUUGUCAUUGGAUUGUCGUAAUGCUUUCAUGAUGGAUACAAGCAUGAUAUUGACUGUUGCUCCGCAAUCAACGACAAUUUUGAAGAUUGGGUAACCUUCAAUGUAGGCCGUGACAUAUAACGGCUUUAAAUGCUAAAGAUUAGCCGAGGAGGAGCGGGGAAACAAGAUGGCCAGGGUUGUCUUAAGUUUGUCGUCAUUGUUUGUUGGCUCAUCUUCAGUGGUGGUGACGAAAUCAACUUGUGUUGCUUCCUCGGCGACCACAUCACCAUCCAAGGAAUUUGGUUAGUGUGUAGUUGGCUGGAAUUCAGCAGGUAGAACAUGAACCAUGCUGAUUUCCAUAUUCUCAAGGACUGAAGGGCCCAUUGGAUCCUGGUCAUCAUCUUCCGAGUUAUUGAGGAGUAUAACAUCGUGCAUUAGAGCAUCCUCGGCCUGAUGGUCGGGUGUCUCAACAGGUACUUGCUCUUGCGUCCAGGAUCCCAACCUUGUUUCCUUGGGACUGUAGUUGUUGAGCCCGUUUGUUUCCAGUGCCUGACUUUGCUCCUGCAGUGUUUUUCGAGCACGUUCUUCAUAGGAGAUUCGGGCGUCCCUUGUGUCUAGGUAGGUAUCCAAACGUGUCACCCGAUCUUUCUCAUCGGUCGUUAGAUCGAAUAGAGAUACGGCCAAAAAGACUUCGAAGUGAUAUCAUAGGCGUUAAAGGUCUUCGAGAGAAAAAGAGAGUUCGGCUAUAUCAAUGUCCGUGUAUGGAUCGACCUCGAAGCCAAGAACCCUAGCCUCUCGUAUGUACUAGAAUCUAGUUUUCAUUGCUGGGUCGGUGGUUUUUUUGAUGAUCUGUUCAGCAUCACGGCAGGUUAGUGCUAGGUAAAGAGCUUCUUGACACGCAUUGGGUAGUCCAUACAAAUCAUUGGCGGAAUACUUCUUGUGAAACUCUUUCAUGUAUUCCAGGGAUUCACCAAGGAAUGGAGGGUGUAGAUUCCGCCAAACUCUUAUUAGCGGCUCUUUCGGAGGUAACGAGGAAAGUUGGCUUUCGACUUCUUUCUUAAACUGCUUAAAGCGAGCUUUCAUCUCCCCGGGCCGAAGGAGGAGUUUGAUGCGUUUCUCAGACUCUUCGAUGGUAGUUUCGUAGUCACGAUUGAUUUCCUUAUGCCCCUGUAAUUCAGCCAUGAUUGUCGAGGUUGGCCGGUCGUCUCCGCUUCCUACCGUCUCUUUCGGCUGCUAUUUAGUAGCCGAAACAGUCUGGGCCGCCUGCCGUCGAGCCAUACAAUCUAUACGCUGACGUUGACGUUGACGUUUUUUAGAUUUAGACAGCGCAAUAUACAUGCCGGUGGGAGAAUUGUAACUGUACCAACGUUGGUCACGUGGUUCGGGCGGUUUGAAGGUUUUUUUAUUUCCUGAUGAGCUUGAGCUAAUGGAAUUACGUGAAUAAUAAUCCUCGUUAUAAAAUGAUGCGUCGAAAUCAAUGUACCGUCUGACCGAGGUAGGGCCGUCCGUUUGUUUCUGAGGGCCGAGCUUAUCGAACAUUUUCUGGCGCUGGCCUUCACUAGGUUUCUUUGGAGGCGCCACCGUGGCCGUAGAUUGUUGCCGCGAUGUCGGUGCCUGAGUCUGAGACAGUUUCUCCUUGGGUUCAGUUAAUACAACGCGUGCCCUACAAUUGCUGCACAAAACUAUCGGCCCGUCACUUUCUUCUACACUGGAAUCUGACAUGGAUUCAACUACAACCGGUCCCAAGAACUUGGUAGGUGGUUCAUUGGAAAAUAGGUCGAUCUUGAGUCAUGGCUGGGAAUGUUUCUUUGGGAUGUGUUGUACUAGGACAAACUCGACCUUCCAUUUCCCUAUACUCUUGGGCAAACGGGUGUCUACCAUGCCAACUUUUGCCGAAGGGAAUGGAUCAGUGUUGACCGUCAUUCAUUUUUCAGGAAACUUUAGCUUGCCUUUGUCAAUCUAGCUUUGGAUAUCAUCACAUAAUACGACGCAGUUGUUUGUGGUAUGCUUGAUCGAGUUAUGAUACUUGCAAUACGUCUUUCCUUUAAGUUAUUCGGCCUUGGGAAUGUUAUGUCCUAGUCAAAGUUUGAUGAUCUUUGCUAAUAACAAUUGGUCGAAAAUUGCCUCAGCCUUUGUGAUAUCGAAAAUGUAAACUUUCGAUGUUUUCAUCGUCCCUUUAGUGGCCGAGCGUGUUUUGGAAUCCUUGGAAUUAAUUUGAGUCGGUGCCUUGCAAAUGUAUGGUUUAUCUAUUACUAUCUCGACCGCGUCCACGCUGACGUAUUGAGAAUCUUCACUUUCGGUUAAUACGUAGCUGACCGUGGGAUUUUUGUAAAUCGUUCAUCGGGAUGGAGAUUUCGAGAUCUUUUCUUCUUGGAGCAAAUAAUCAUAUUGCUCAACAUGCUGGGCUAAUUCAUACAUAUCCCGAAAGUUUUCCCCUAAGAAUUUCUUUUUGUACUCUACAUCGAGCCCAUUUAGAGCAAGCCUAACAAAUUCGACUUCGGGGAAAUGUACUCAGCACCAAUUCCUGGCCGAUUUAAAUCUUGUAAGAUAAUCCAUUGGUGACUCAUCAGAUGCUUGAGCCAUCCUAGCCAAUGAAUAAACUGACAUUUCCAUCCCCGACCCAUAAAACUGUUCGUGAAAUUUCUUGACCAACGCCUCCCAGCUUUAGAUAGAAUUAGGUAGGAGGUUGAUGUACCAUGCGAAUGCUGAACCUGUCAACGAAAAGUUAAACAACCGUAGUUUAUGAAAAUCACAAUUGACAUAUCCGCAUUGCGCAGUGAAACGAGCCACAUGUUCUAACGAGGAUAAGGACGAUUCUCCAGCAAAAAGGCUGAAAUCUGGAAUCCUGAAACCUUUAGGAUAUUCAAACUUUUCCAUAUAAGCUGGAUAUUGGUGGAUGAAUUUUAGGAACUUCGACCCUUUUUCCAUAGCUGAAUUGAUCAUCCAUUGGACCUCAGUCAUAUCGAUGGAUGUUGUUUCCACUUUCUGGUCAGCUUCAUGUGACCUACUACUUGAUCCUCCCCUUUUUUCUAAAUCAUUCGUUUUGGGCCGAGUAGACACUGUUUCAGCCUGUGGCGGAGUACUUUUAAGUGGAAGCUGCCAAGCCUGAUCAACCGGUCUUCUGUCGAAGGCUUUGUAAACCAAUAGUUCGAGCAGUCUGGUAUGGAUCUCACCAUUGUUUCGUAUCACCUCGAGCAAAUUGUUCAUUUUUUGAACAACUGUCUGUUCAACCUGUCGAGAUUGCUCAUCAAGUCAUCUUCGGAGAAACGACCUAGUUGGAGGGUCAGAGCCUUCCCCACCGUCUUCGUCGCAGUCCUCCAAUAUUCAUUCAAUGAAAACGCAUGCGGUUUGGUUAGGUACUUCUGUGUUUUGAGGCUGAGUACCGAGGAACACUUCCUUUUCUAGUGUUUUACACUAGCAGCAUUAGGGGUCAAAGUGACAAUAGGAUUUUACACAUGCGACACCUCUUGUCCAGGACUCUAAACUAGCAGAUCGGUCGCUGAUUUUCCCAUGGUUGUUUUCUUUUUUACUGACCGUGUCUCGAUGGUCAUGAACUUUGUAGUUUUAGCACUGGGUCUCACUGGGCGUGCCAAAAUGUUAACCCUAAAACUACUAAGCCUACGUGGCGCGUAGGUCGAGUAAUUAGUAAGCUAACUAUGUCCUUUGGUUGUAUGCGAGACGUGCCAACUCGUUGGCCGAAGAGUAAAAUUUGUUGAUGUUGUGUUGGGUGCGCUGCUGACUUCUAAAUCUUGCGACUGCGGCCGAGGAAGGAACACGUCUCGGCAUUCAAGUUCUAGAGCUUGAAGACAAGGCUACUAGUUAUGCGAAGUUCAUAAAUCGUCGGUGCCAGAUUCGAUCACAAUGAUUAUAUUCGUAAGAGUAUAAGCACGCCGAAUCGACACUAAAGUAUAGGGACACAGGUAACAAAUGUACGUCUUGAUUGUAAAGGUGGUUCGACCGUCAGAAUGCCGAACUCUAAAACCUACUUGAGAAUAACCAAUCAUAAACAACUCAGCGUUCAACGUGUCGAGCCCAGUAACUCAUAACACCUCACUUCGUCGAGAAGGCUAAUGAGAUAACAUCUGCCAAGAAGGACUCGAAAAUCCUUCUUAACCGAGACUUGGAUAGAAAACCAAUCGGCCUCGACGCAGUGCUGUUUAUCCAAACUGAAGGUGCUCCGCGGUUGACUGAUUCUACGGCAACAGUGCUGUUUAUCCAAACUGAAGAUGUUCGCCGGUUGCCUUCACAGUGAUGUUUAUCCAAACUGAAGAUGUGUUGGUGGAAAAAGAAAAUAAAAAUCUCAAGGUUGCUGAGAGGUUUCGCGUAGAGCGAGGGUUUGCGCAGGGUAAUUUGUGUGUUGAAUUGGAGAGGGUUUGUUCGAUGCUCUCUCCCUAUUUAUAGUAGCCAACCUGCAUUGAAUCUUAAUCAUUCUCGGAUUAGAACUCAUUCCCCCGAUCCAACCUUAUCUCGGCCAGUCCUACUCCUACUAGGACUUUGAACUUAACUUGUUAUCAGGCCGCAUUAAAUCUCAAACUCCAACAUCCUUAUCCUGUCAAAACUCCUUCUCAUAAUAGGACUCACCCACAUCCCACAGGUUCUCAACGGGAUAAGGCCAACUUCAACCGCGUGGCCCAUGAGCUGGAUAAACCCUAAUGACACCUAAACACGGCCUCUGGGCCGAGAACAAUUCUAAAUUCGGCCCGACCAAUACUGGGCCAAGAGCAAUUCUAAACUCGGUCCAAACCAAUAUUUUUGGGCCCAAACAGUAACAUAUUUUGUUGUAAACAUUUAGAUAAAUUAAUUUUUAUUGUACAAUAUAUUUUGAUGUACUUUGUCUUUUUCAUUUAGGUACAUUAAAUUCAUGGGAAAAUUAGAAUGUCCUACUGUUUUUCUAUAUCAUUUAGAUUAAACAUCUGUGCCUUUUUAAAAUUUGAUUAAAGUGCUUUGACCAAUAGUCACCUCUAUUUUUUUAAAUUAAAAUAAUUUUUUAAUUUAUCCUUUUAUCUGCAUGAUGUACUUUUCCUUAUUUAGUGGAGAUAUUAGUAAUUAAAUUAUAUUUUUUCUUCUUCCAAAUAUGUUUUUACAAUCAUAGUUUUUUUUUUUGUUAUGCAAACAUUUAAUAUUAUUUCUUUUUCCAAAUGAUUUUUUCCUUUUCAAAUAGUUGGUGAUCAACAUAAAAGCUUCGUGUAAUUUUUUUUCAAUUUUUUGUGAAAUUAUAUAUAUAUAUAUAUAUAUUUUUUUUUUGGCUGUUUUUUUAAGUAUAGUUGUUGACGAAUUACUAGUAGAUACAAUACAUUACGUAUAUAUUAUCUGCAGGUACGUUUGAAUUUACAAAAAUCAUUAAUUGGUAGGUUUAUUUGCAAUUUUGUUACGUUUGAUUCAAUACAUAUUGUUAAUAUUGGUACAUUAUUUUUAUUUUGUACACAUUGUGUAUUGGUACGUUUAUAUUAUUCUCAAUCCUAUUUUCUCUUAACGUACUAAAAGAAAAACUUAUUUCGGUACGUUUGAUUUUGGAGGGUUUAAAAAUAUUUUAAACGAUUUUGGAAAGAAAAUAUCUUAAAUCGUAGAUAAUUAUUGCUAAAUUGUAGCAUUAUUGUGAAAAUAAAUUGAAUCUUACCAUUUUUUUAACAAUUAUCUCUAACAGUGGAGAGUGUAAUCAAAAGGCUAGAUUAUAGGAAAUUUGUUAAAAUAUAAUGUGCAUUUAGCACCAAAAUUAUGACAAAAAAAAGUUUAAUCAAAUCACUAAAAAGUAUGGAUGUUUGAUCUAGAAAAUUCAAAACUGAAGUGCCUAUAUCAAAAGAUCCCUAAAUUCAUUAUAAUACAUUUCCAUACAUACAUUUAUGUACACAUAUUUUCAUACAUACAUUUCGAUACAAACAUUUAGAUACAUUAAUUCAAGAUAAUAUAUUUCAGUACUAAUAUUUCUGUGCGUAGAUUUUGAUACACAUAUUUAGGUACCUUAAUUUAAUAUAAUACAUUUUGGUGCAUAUAUUUCGGUACAUACAUUUCGGUACUAAUAUUUAAAUACAUUAGUUCAAUAUAAUACAUUAUUUAGGUACAUUAAUUCAAUAUAAUAUAUUUUGAUACUAACAUUUCAGUAUACAUUUCAGUGCAUACAUUUAGGUACAUUAAUUUAAUUUAAUACAUUUCAAUGCAUAUAUUUUGGUACAUACAUUUCGGUACUAACAUUUAAGUACAUUAAUUGACUCUUUCAAGUUUGAAGAAUGUUAAAUAAAAUUAAUAAAUAAAAAAAAAUUGGUCAAAAAAAUGAAUUAAAAUUUGUAUAUUAAUAAAUUUAAAUAUUUAAUGGGAGACAUUAAAUAAAAUGCACAUUAAUUAUUUUGAAUUAAGGACACAUAAGGGGAUUAUGAUCAAUAUGUAAUCUAACACCAAUUUAUUUUAAAUUUUAAUAUUUUUAAAGGAUUAAAAUUAAAAAACCUCAAAUUUUAUUUUGUCAAGUCAUGAGGCAUGGCGUCGAUGAAAUUGUUUGGUGUGGUAUUGUUUCUUUCUUUGUAUUAAUUGACCUUUUAAUGUAUUUUAAGGCCUGUAUUAUAGAUUUGUUUCAUAUCAAAUCUUAAAUUAUCGGUGUUAAUAAAAUUGAUUUGGUUUUGUAGAUCAGAAUUUUUAAGCAACAAAAUCAACCUGCAAAUUCAGUUCAGGUAUGAAUGCUUCCGCUUAUUUAGAUUGUUGAAUUGAUCUUUACCUUUACUAGAUUUUAUUUUUCAAUGUUGUUUGCUACAUUAACGUGUUACUUUAUUAUUAAUAAUACUAAUUUGGUUUUGUAGAUUAAGAUUUUUAAGCGGGAAUCAAGUUCAAAAUUCAAUUGAGGUAUGAAUCUUUUUGCUUAUUUGGGCUAUUGAAUUCAUCCUUGCCUUUACUGCAUUUUUUGACUGUUGUUUGGUGCAUUCUGGUAUUGAUUUUAUUAUAAUUUUAUGGAUUUUAAGUGGUUAUUUGGAUUUUGGAUUGUGAGAAGGAUCUGGUGGGUUUUCAAGAUAAUCAAAUAAGUUUGGGAUUUUUACCGCUUCUCUCUGCAUGCUUCUAGCUGUUAUAUAUAUCAAUUGUUUGCAUUUUUUUUUCUUUCGUUUUUACUCAAUUUUUUAACUUUUUCUCAAUGUGUGCUUCAUGUAUGUUUCUCAAUUGUUUGAAUUUACCUUUUGCCUUCAGUUUUUACUGAAUUUAUUGACUUUUUGUGCAUGAGUUAAUCUAUUUGUUAUAUGUCAUGGUUAAAGGUUUGGUUUCUUUCUUUUUUCUUUUUAUCAAUCCUCUCUCUUUACAAUUUGAGUUGAAUUACAAUGGGAUGUACAUCAAAGGAGGCUAAAAAGCAGUCUAGCCCCAGGAAAAGGCCAUAAACAAAGCAAGGAAAAAGACCAGUGGUUAAAAAGGCUAAGUAGUCCGAAAGAGAUUUAUACAAAACAUAAAGUGCAACCUUUGUCCAAAUCUUAGACAUCCCACUAAUCCAGAAAAAUACAAAAUGAUAGCUAGCUACACCUUUGCUUCAUUUUUCAAGUUGAUAGGUUACCCUGAGCCCCUCAAAUAAUUAACAAAUCAUCCAAACGUGUUUCACGUUGGUAGGUUAUCCUGAACCUCUUAAUAAUUAACAAAUAAACCAGCAUGCUUUCACAGUGCAUCUACACUAUUUGGUUCAGGAAGUGAUAAAACUGAAAGUUGAACAAUGUUUAUACAUCAGCUCCCACUAUAUCGUUAACUUUUAGCCCUCAAGUCUUAAUUAAGUUUUUGUUUUUUCUUUUGUUAAGUUUUGUCUGCAUAAAAACAAACUCACCAGCUCCCACUACAUCAUUAACUUUUGACACCCACAAUUAUUUUGAAUUAAUAGCACAUAAUAAAGCUACUUUAAUUUUCUUCUUUGGGAUUACUUUAAUGAUGCAGGCAUCCUUGGUAUUAUCUUCUCUGGGAUUACUUUAAUUAUGCAGGCAUCCUUGGUUUCAUUGCCUUGAAAAUGCAUGCAAUCUCGGACACGUAACAAAGUUGCUCACUUUGAUGAGCAAUUUUCCCUAUAAAAAAAAUUGAGUGCACCACAUCACAGAUCAUGGCCCAUAAAUUAUAAAAAUAGUAACGAAAACCUACAAAAGCAAGUGCCCCUUAGUUUACGUUUAAAUGUGUGAACAAAAGUCUAAAAUUAUGUGAAAAGUUUAAAAGUGUGUAAAAAAAAAGUUUAAAGAUGUAUGUAAAAGUCUAAAUGUGUGUUUAAAAGUCUAAAGCUGUGUGACUUAUGCUUAUUCUGCUAGGUUGUAUAUAUGUAAAUUAUGCUUAUUUGACUAUGAGUUUUGGUUUUAAAUCUUGUAUUGUAUUUUUCAUGAUCUUUACAAAAGUGAAAGGCAACCCUUAUAGAGAGCCGAAAAGAAGAUUACAAGAGGAAGGCAACAACCAUACCUCACUAACAAAUCAGUCCUAACAAGUGGACAAGACAAAUAUUAAUAACAAGUAAAGUGGUUCCUAGAAACAAGGAAGAAAGAUUGACAAAAGACCUAAGUGAGUGACAAGGUAUGGAAGACUAGAUUAUGGUUGAGAAAAUCACUUUAAGCCAUACUUAGCUAGAGUGAUGUUUACAACCAAACUUGUGACAUACAAACAACUAGCACUGGAAUUCGGUUUGUUUCAAUACUCCCCCUCAAGAUGGAUCAAGGGGGUUAAUUGAUCUAAGCUUGCACAACAAACGCUGGAAUUGAGUAGAAUCUAAGGCUUUUAUGAACAAAUCAGCCAGUUGAUCGUGGCCUUGUGUGAACACUGUGUCGAUCGCCUUGGAUUGAACUUGAGCACGAAUGUAAUGGCAAUGAACUUCAAUAUGUUUAGUCUUCUCAUGGAACACUGAAUUAGAGGCAAUGUGCAUGGCAGCUUGGUUGUCACAAAACAAAGACAUUGGUGUGUUGCUUGUGAAAUCGAGAUCAGAAAAAAAUACCUUUUAGCCAUAUAAGUUCACAUGAUGUCGUUUCCUUGGCCCUAUACUCAACUUCUGCUUUAGAUCGUGCAAUUACGGUUUGCUUCUUACUUUUCCAAGUGACAAGAUUACCUCUAACAAAUGUGCAAAAACCUGUGGUAGACUUUCGAUCAAUUACAUUUCCAGCCCAAUUAGCAUUGGUGUAAGCCAUAAUGUGAUUUGAACCAUUGUUCUUCAUAAGUAUUCAUCUGCCUAUUGAGCUCUUGAGAUAACGAAGUAUUCUUUUGACAAUUUCCCAAUGAACUAGUGUAGGAGAGUGCAUAAACUGAAUGGCUAGGCUUACUGAAUAAGAAAUAUCAGGCCUAGUAAUGGUUAGAUAAAUGAGUUUCCCAACCACUCGCUGAUAAACACUAGGAUCCGAGAGAGGUUCCCUUUUUCAUGCAACUGAAGUUUGCUAGCUAGGGGUGUCCGAGCUAGAUUGCACUCCAUCAUGUUAGCUUCAUCCAAAAGAUCUAGAGCAUACUUUCUUUAAUUCAAGAAUAACCCCUUGGAAGAAGUGGCCACCUUAAUUCCAAGAAAGUAUUUCAGGGUCCCUAAGUCUUUGAUGGCAAAUUUUUGAUGAAGUGAUUGCUUAAAAGCUAUGAUUUCACCCACAUUAUCACCUAUAAUAAUAAGAUCAUCAACAUAUAUAAGUACCACUAAUUUCCCAGUAUCACCACUUCGAACAAACAAGGAAAAGUCAACAUGACUCCUUUGGAACCCUGCAGCUUCAAGAACUGAACUGAGCUUCGAAUACCAAGCUCUAGGGGACUGUUUGAGACCAUAUAUGGCUUUGUGAAGUUUGCAGACCUUGUUGGAUUCCUUUUCUUUUGGAUGACCCGGAGGCAACUUCAUGUACACUUCUUCUUCAAGCUCCCCAUGAAGGAAUGCAUUCUUCACAUCCAUUUGGAAUAAAGGCCAUGCAUUAUUAACUGCCACAUAUAACAAUACCCUCACAAUGUUCAUUUUGGCAACUGGAGCAAAGAUCUCCUUGUAGUCAAUGCCAUAGGUUUUGUGUAAAACCUUGAGCUACUAACCAUGCCUUAUGUCUCACAAUGCUUCCAUUGGAGUUGAACUUGGUCUUAUAUAUCCACCUACUUCCCACUGAUUUCUUGCCCUUUGGUAGAUCCUCCACACUCCAUGUCUGGUUAUCAUUCAGAGCUUGGAGCUCUUAAGUUAUAGCAUCUUGUCACUCAAGCAUGCAUGAGGCUUCAUGAAAAUUCCUUGGUUCAAAAUUGUUGGAUAAUUUGUUAAGAAAAGAAGCAUGAGAUGGUGAGAAUCUGUGGUAAGAAAUGGAUGCAGAGAUAUGAUGCCUUGCAGUGUAAGUAGUGUACUCUUGCAACCUUACUGGUGAAUGUCUAUCUCGUGCAGGAUUUCUCUUUGGUGCACUUAUAACUUGCUGAGUUGGUUCAAGUUCUGAUGGUCCUGAAGAGUUAGCUAUGCCCUCACUUACACUCUCAGUGGGGUGAGAAUUCUUAGUAUUGGUAUGGGCAUGAGUGACUUCAUUAACUUCUGCUAGAGAAGGCAGUGGAAAUAGGUUCAUAAGAUCUUCCAUAUUGGGAUUAGUCUCUAAACCUUUGUGGAAAUAAGGUGAAUAUUCAUCAAAUUGAACAUCUCUAGAGACUGCCAGCUUCCCAGUAUUAGGAUUGUACACCUUGUAACCCUUUUGAGAACUGGAGUAUCCCAUAAACACACAUUUGAUAGCCCGAUGGUCGAGUUUAUCACGAUGGGAAGCUUGAAUGUGCACAUAACUGGUGCAACCAAAGGUCCUGAGGUAAGACAAGUUUAUAGACCUGCCCUUCAUGACUUCGAAUGGAAAUUUAGUAUUCAAAACAUGAGUUGGCAGUUUGUUAAUUAUGUAAGUGGCAGUGAGUAGGGCUUGAGACCAAAAUUUCUUGGGAACAUUCAUUUGGAUCAUAAGUGAUCGAGUCUUUCCCAAUAAGUCUCGAUUUUUCUCUUUGCCACAUCAUUUUGUUGUGGAGUACCAACAUAGUUAGUUUGAUGCAAAAUGCCAUGAGUGCUCAAGUAACUACUCAUGUUAUUGGAAGUGUACUCAGUGCUAUUAUCUGAUAUUAACAUAUAUAACUUACAUGAGAAAUGAUUUGUGAUUAGGUUGUGAAAGUUUUUAAAAGCAUCAAACAACUCACUUUUAAACUUUAAAAGAUAUAACCAGGUCACUUUAGAAUAGUCAUCAACAAAUGUAACAUAAUAUCUAUACCCAUCAAAGGAUUCUAGACGAGAAGGACCCUAGAUAUCUGAGUGAACAACCUCAAAAAGUCUACUGGUUCUAGAAUUAGAGGAAACAAAAGGAAGCCUAGUAGCUUUUGACAUUUAACAAGUUUCACACUCAAGGUGUUUUUAUAAAAAACAGGAAACAGCUUGGUCAUCAUAAGUUAGAGGGAUAGGUAAGACGUUGGUGCCAGAGUUGAUGUUCCUGAGCUUGACUUAAGUUGACAAUGAGUUUUUUGACAAAUUUGGACUCCUUUGAGAGGUAGUAGAGUCCAUUUAAGAAGAACCUUUCACCAAUCUUCUUCUGAGUAACUCGGUCCUGAAACACAACAUUGUGAGGGGGAAAAUGGUAAGGCAAUCUAAAGUUUUAGUGAUUCUUCCUAUGGACAAGAGUUGAAAAGGAAAGGAAGGUACAUAGAAGGCAGUGGAAUCAGUAUGCUUACUCAGCAAUCUAACUUUCCCUUUCCCUUUAAUAGGUUCCCUUUUCCUAUUUGCAACAGACACAUGAAUUGGAUCACUAGUUUUUUUUAAAUUCAUGUAGACUAGAGGAUUUAUUAGUUUUAUGAUCAGUGGCACCUGAGUUAAUAAUCCAAAAAUCAUGUGUAACAUUAGCAUUAAAAGCAGUGGAAAUGGCACUGAUUAUACCUGGAAAGUUACCUUUCGAUGUGUUCUCCGAGUCAGCCAAGAAACCAGCAAAUUUCCCUAACAUUGCAGUAAGGUUUUCAGUUAUCACUUCCUUAUGUUCAUUGCUUCCUUGCUUCUUUUGAAGAAAAACUACAAACUCAUUGAUCAAGGAAAUGGGGUUUGUUGAGAAAUUUGCUAUCUCAUCAGCUGAGGAACAAGCUAAGUGAAAGGCUUUUGGAGUGACUCCUUUUACAUCUUUGAUCAUCCGGCCUUCCCUAUCAAACUUAGGUUUUAACUCCAAAUGUAGGAUCCAACAUUUUUCUCUUAAAUGUCCCUUCAUGUUGCAGUAAGAAAAUUUCCAGUCAGUUUUCUUCCCAAACACUCUAUCACCAGUUGUCUUGUGAUUGGUUGUGAAAACCCUAGCCUUAUAGUGAGAUUUGGGCUCAACAUUCAUCACUUUUCGUCGAGUUUCUUCUCUCUAGACUGCAUGACACACACUGGUAAAUGAGGGCAGCUCUGGAGUCAUUAACAAAUGACUACGCAGGUCUUCAUACUUAGCUCCCAAGCUUGCCAAGAGUUGAAACACCUUAUCUUUUGCAUCCCUCUUAAAAAACACAGCGAAAUCAGUCGUGUGUAGACAGUACAAAUUGAGUUCAUUCCACAUGGAUUUCAAGCUCCCAAGAUGUUGAAAAUGAGUGGUCACCUUGCUUCAGACUAGCAACAUUCUUCUUUAGUUGAAAAAUGCGAACUAAGUUAUUUUGGCUACCAUACAUGUCUAUGACAGACUCCUAUAGAAGAAGGAAAUAUUUUGAGUAGCUGAAAAGCUCAGACAACUUUGGCUCCAUAAAGUUAAGUAUCCUGGACAUAACCAACUGGUCAGUAGCUUGUCAUGCAUCAUAAGUUGAUGAAGUGGAUUCUGGAGACUCCGAGCUUCCAUUGAUAAACCCUAGUUUUGAUUUUCCUCAUAGGGCAAGCGACACAGCUCUUGACUAGUUGAACUCAUUUAGUAGCACCGAACACAGUCGUUGAUUUGGGAUGUUCUCACUCCCUUGAGUUAAGUUUGGGGGUGAAGAUGAGGAGCUAUCAGCACUAGAGACAUUUUCUUCUACCAUCUCUUUCGAUGAUGAGCAAACGAAGAAGAAAAAAAAAGUGGACAGAGUCAGGACCUUAUGGUUCUUGCUCUGAUACCAUGUUUCGUUUUGGUUUUAAAUCUUGUAUUGUAAUUUUCAUGAUCUUUACAAGAGUGAAAGGCAACCCUUAUAGAGAGCUGAAAAGAAAGUUACAAGAGGAAGGCAACAACCAUACCUCACUAACAAAUCUGUCCUAACAAGUGGACAAGACAAAUAUUAAUAACAAGUAAAGUGGUUCCUAGAAACAAGGAAGAAAGAUUGACAAAUGACCUAAGUGGGUGACAAGGUAUGGAAGACUAGAGUAUGGUUGAGAAAAUCACUUUAACCCACACUUUGCUAGAGUGAUGUUUACAACCAUACUUGUGACAUACAAGCAACUAGCACUGGAAUUCGGUUUAUUUCAAUAGUAAGACGCCUUGGUGCCAGGAGAAGAGGAUUUCAUCUAGGAGUAGAACAAGAGGGCUUCAUUGGGCAUGUUGUUGCAGAUGAAUCCAAUGAUGAUGGUGUUCCAAAGCACGGUGGAGGGGCGAGGCAAAGUGUCGAACAGUUGGCGGGCAUGGUGGGGUUGGCCUUCCUGACAGAGCUUGCUGAGGCGGGAGCAGAUGGUGUGGGUUGUGAACUUUGGGAGGGAAAUGAUUGGGGAAGAGAGGUGGUUUGGGGUGGUGGGUGUGGAGAGAGGUAGAGCAAAAGCAGAGGAGGCCAUGGCUAUAAUGUUGGGUGAGUUGUUCUGUUAUUUUCCCUCCUUAUUUGUGGAUUGGGAUAUUGUUUUGUUUGGUUGGUCCCUCAUGCUUCCUUCAACUGCUUGUGCGCUUUAACUGAAAAUUUAACUUUCAUUUUCUAACCUUUUUCCCCUCUUCACAAAGAAAAAAAAGUGGUCCGACAUGCACUAGAUGAAUAAAUGUGCAUUCAAGAAUUCAUCAAUGAAGAAUUUACAUAGCAUAAAUGAUUUUUGAAAUUAUUCUCAAUCUUUACUUACCUGUGUUUACUAAAACAUGAGUAUCAAAAUUAUUCCAACACAAUUUAUUUUCUUCAACUAAAGUCACUCAAGCAUAAGUUUCCUCUUCAACUAAAUUUAAUAUCAAUUGUCAAAAUUCUCUCUUUAUUAACAUCUCAUUGAAGCACAAAAUAUCAGUCGACUUAAUCAUAAUUUUGAAAAAAAAUGUUUUGACUUCAAACAAAAUACCCCUAAUUUAAUCUUCUUCAUGUUUUGACAUUUUUUCAACAAAAGUAUGGAAUGAUUAGACGAGAUUGUGGCAUGAAACACCAUUUGAAUCCACUACCUUGGACUCAAAGUUCCCAAUUGGAGAGCUUGUGGCAUGGUGUGCCUAUAGUGACCUGGCCUAUGUAUGCAGAGCAGCAGCUAUAGCCGUUCAGAUGAUGGAGAAAUUUUUCUCUGUUUCUAUAACAUAAGCGGUAUACCACUUGUUGUUAUAUAAAUGGUGAAAAAAUGUUAUUUUUUACGUUAUUAUUUUUUUAAUACAAGAAUCUCACCACUUGUAUAAGAACACGUGGUGUACCACCCGUUGUUCCGGUCACACUGAAAAAUCUCUCCAUAUGAUGAGUGAUUUGGGGUUGGCCGUGGAGCUGAGAUUGGACUACAGAAAGGACGGUGGUGAUCAUUUUGUGGUGGCGGAUGAGAUUGAGAAGGCUGUGGGGUAUCUGAUGGACGGUGAUGGUGAGGUGAGGAAGAGGUUGUUGAGGAGUGAAGUGUGUUGGAAGGCAGUUGGAGAUGGUGAUUCUUCUUCUACUUCGUUUAUAUUGGAGCAAUAUUAGAAAAUAUGAAAAUAAUAAAAGAAUUUCAAUGAUACUAAUCAUAAAGAAAAAACAUCAAGUAUGCAAGAUUAAUACAAACAACUAGAGAGAAAGUAAGAAAGAUUGACAAACUUGGAGAUUGAGGUUUGCAUAAGAAAGAUUGACAAACUUGGAGGUUGAGGUUUGUAUAAAUGCAAUGUCCUAAAGACAGAAUUUCAUCCAUACUCUUGUGCUUAUAGUUUGGUAGGUAUCCGUCUCCUAGGAUUCAACAAUCUAUAAUCCGAAGUCAAAGCACUUCAAUCUUUGGACUCUGACGAACUUUAUAUAUUUUGUACUCUCAGGACACGACUCAGAGUUUGACUAACAAAGAAUAAAAGACAUUGGAGAAAACUCUUUUCUUCGAUUCAUUAGACAUGUGGGAUGUUUGAGUUUAUAUAGAACUCAAGCCACCCCUUUCGAAAUAUAGUGAAUGUUGUCUAAAGUUCCAAUGAAUAGAUGCAACUUAUGAAUUUAAAUUCAACCAUAACACUUGCCUCUUAUUUUUCAUUUAUACAGAAAAUAAAUAUUAUAAAUUAAUAUUAUAAUAUAUAUUUUCCAACAAUUUCAACAUUUGAUUGAGGACCAUUAUGUUGUCAAGCCUUGCUAAUAAAGAAGAAUGGUAGCAUCAGUCGUACACGUGCUUAGGGCCAAGCAUAGUUGCUCCUAUUUUGGAGAACUUACAAAAAUUAAUGGAUUGGCUCAUUUAGGUAUGUGCGACUGAUCUUAGCAUUUCUCUUCGGUGUAAACAAUUGGUUUUGCCUCCUGAAUGAAAAUUGUAGUGCAAAUUUUAUUAAUGCAUGGAUUUUUAAGCAAAUUUAAGUGAUUUCCACACUACUCUUUUUUCUAUGCAGUCUUUCAAUUUUUUUUUUUUUAGUAUUUGAAUUGAAUAAACAAAAAGAGAUCAAGAAGUGUAAACAAGAGAAGUGCCGAAAGAGAACGUGGAAUGUAAAAAACACAAGUAAAUUUCUUUUGUGGUGACAUAGUUAAUUUUGAAAGAACGUGUGAAAAUCACUACCCAAAAAUUGAAAGACAAAGAGAACAUAUUUCUCCUACAAAGCAAUGCUUGCUCUUAUUGACAGAGACAAUUAAAUGAAAUUAGCAAAUUGAAUGAAACAAUAAAGAAUUGCAAGUGAGGAACAAAUUAAGCCUUCAAAUAUUUCCAUCUGAUCUCAAAUAAUUUGAGAGCCUCACAUGAUCCAUGGGAUCUCUCUUCUUUUUCUUGAAAUGCUUUGAGGCAGCUUUAAGCACCUUAUUCCACACCUGACCAAUAACACAAACUUCAUAUGCUAAAUUUACUACUUCAACAAUUAAGCCGUAUUCCACUGAGUAGAGUUGGCUGUAUGAAUUCUAAAACGCAAGUGCGCUCGGCUCUACGUAAGAAUUUAGAAAAAAACAAACAGAGAAACCAAAAUUACGGAAGAAAUUACAAAAUCAACUAAUUAAAUUCUCAAUCUUUCCCCAAAAUUUCCAAAAUUUAACAGAAAGAGCUUGUAAAAUGUGGCCCAUCUCUCAAAAUUUCCCUGAAUCUUAAUUUGUUUUCCCAGAAAAAUCUCAGAUUCUCAAUAAAAUAUGAAAAACGAAAAAUCUAAGAACACAGAUAAAAAAAAAAGCAGUACCUUUGAUGCAAUGGGGUUACAGUUAACCUUCACAGGAGUUGGAAAGAAGUCAGAGGCCAAAACCAUCUUGCUUUUCUUCCUCUUCAUCACCUUGUUCUUCAGAGCACUCUGAUUCAGAUUGAAACAAGUUGCAGUUGUGGAGAUCUUCUUUUUCUUAAUGCCCGAACCGGCUCCAGUGUCAACGAGGCUGCUUUUCUGAUUCUUCACCUCCAACCCCAUCUCGAAAUUGAGCUUUCGCGGUCUCCAGAAAUCCAAAUCCAAGUCCAUAUCCAAAUCCAUGGGAGCGUAAGCCCGGGGGACCAACGGGGACCAUAUCGAGCUCUGCGUGUAGUCGAAAUCAAAAGCGGAGUUGUCCGGGAACUUGCAGAGGAGCUCUUUGGACAUCACUGGCUGCAGAUACUCCACCACUUUGCAAGUGCUGCUCAAAGCUAAAAAACUCUCUCUCUCUUCUUCUUCUUGUUGUUUGAGUGAAGUGAGAGAAAAUGCUUCAUCUUCUACUGCCAUUGUUGUAGGGGUAAAGCUAAGUUGGUGCUUUUUGGUCGCAAAAGAUGAGAACUUUUGUGUUGGUGAAGUUUAGUUUUGGUGCUUGAUAUGAGCAGAUAUAAGGAGAAGAAGGAGAAGACAAGACAGGAAAGUUACCGUUACAUUGACUAUAUUAAAAAUGUCGAACGGCCAAAAUACAAUGUCGUGUCUGACCAAAAAAAAAGCAUUCUGAUAUGUCGAAUCUAGGCCCAAACAUCUGAUCUUUUAUAUUUAAGCCCAGUUUUUAUUGGGUUUUCUGAUAUGAAAAGCCCAAAACAAUUUUUUUUUUUCUCAUUUGAGAUUUUACAUUUCUAGUUGCUCUUAAGAAAUUAAGAUUGCAAGUAAUUUGUAGCGUGACUUUUCCACUCAAAUUGUAACCCUUAUUAUAACACGUUAAAUAAUACAUUACGUGGUUUGUGUUCCUAAUUAUAAUUUUUUUUUCAAGAUUACAAGUAUGACCCUUCAAAAUAAGGGAUGUGAUUUCCAAACUCACUUGUUUUUGCCCUAACCCUUGAAUUGAAUAAAUCAAAGGGAGUCGUGUAGAAGGAGAAAAUGAGGGUCAAAAUUACUAUUCCAACAUAAAGUUAUAUAAAAAGAGUCUACCCAUGGUGUCGUGUCAAGUGUCAAAUAUCAAAAAAUGAAUAGGCGAUUGAUUUUAACACUCCUCUUUUGACUACUGUAAAAAAUUCGAACUGUAAAAAACUAAGAAAAGUUUAACUUGGUUAUUACAUGAUGAGUAGUACAACCACAAGAGUUAAACCUCAAUGUGUUUUACCUUAAUCUUUCUCCCUAAACAUGUUCACACAAAUGAUGUAUAGUAGUUUCUCCUCUGUUUUUUCCUAGGAAGCUUGCUUUGGGGACGUUUGGGUGCAAAAGAUGAUGCCUCCCUCAGAAGAUAAGGAGGCAUCCAACGGCCGAUGACAUCCAGUACUAGGCUUUCAGCUACUUCCUUUGGAGGGAUGUCAGGCCAAAACUCAACUCGCUGACGCUCAGUAGCAAUCCUGGCUAGCAAGUUAGCAGCAAAAUUGUCACCCAUGGUGACCGAGCGGAAUGUCACACUCUUCAACUUUUGCAAGUCAUGAAUGCAACGAAAAACAAGCCCCCGGGUCAAGGAGUCGGGUAUCUUGGUCUCGCCUGUGAUCAUCUCAAACACAAAUGGAUGAUUACCUUCUAUCUGUAGGUAAUCAAUUCCUUCAGUUAUCGCAAAGUCAACUGCCCGGGAGAAAGCAGUUAAAUGUGCCACUACACCGUCGCUGACCUUGCCAGAAGGUCCAGCAAUGGCAGUUUUGAACACAGCAUUGUGAUCUCUCACAAUGCAAGCAAAAGAACCGGUCCCUGAUUCUGGCUCAUGGUGACCAGCGAAGCUGAUCUUCCAUGCAUUAUUGGGGGGGCGAAGUCCAUGAAAUGUGCUGGGCAAGCACUAUCUGAUUAGCAAAUAGCAUAUCUAGGAAAGGGCUUGCAGCCAUAUUUGUUUGUACCGAAUGAGGCUAAAGCUUAGCAACUAACACACAAUGGUUCCUAACUCGAACACAGAGACCCAAAUUUAUACUAUGAGUUUACCUAAUCUACUCGUCCAAAACAGGUUAUCAUGCCAUUUCAGGUUAUACGUUAUAAGAAAGGUAAAAAUCGUACUUUGGAAAGGGGCCGUUGAGUACAGUCCAUUGCUUUCCAAAUGCGAGAAAUCUACCAAGUCUAGACAUGCUAGAGAUGGCAAGAGUCCGUUGCCAACGGUGUCAUAAUUUUGUAACAUUUUGAGCGAAAAAAUAAUUGACAUUCCGAAUAAUGAACAUGACUGGAUUUUCUUAUAAAACUUGAGAACAGUUCAAGGGGUUGUUGGCAACGGUCAUAUAACUUAUUGUCCAAGUUUAGUGGCUGUGUUUAAAUUUGAACUCUAAAACAUAAUCGAACAAACCAGGUAGGCAACUUCUUCCCAAAUUGCCGUAAGGAGGAAGAGUUAGGUUACAAAUAGCAAAAUAUCAUUGCCAAAUGGUAACAGGACUGCCAAAUUAUAACAGGUUGACAUCGAAUGCUUAAUUCAAAAGAUAUCAACAAGAAUAACUUCAAGAGCUACGGAGUUAUAGCCAACUAAGUGUGAUUAGUAAAGGAAAGAACUUCUUCUUUAGCAAAUCAAGUUACGGGGGUUUAUGUGGAACUUAAUUUUAUGUGUUCUUGAUAUUCAUAGGGCCUUCUAGUGUUCUUAGCUAGAACAGAAAGUCAGUACCUACUAUGUGUCUGCAAUGAAAUAUACGAGAGUAUGACAUGCCAGAAAAUAAGAUGGGCAUCUUAUCCUUGACGACGAGUAAAAGUUGUAUGCAGUUCUUUUGUUCCCAACUUCAGUAUGGUGUGUGUCUGUGGCCUUUCAGCCUCCGUGCCUUCGUGGUUACAUUGGCAAACAAAAACUCCUUGGUAUCAGGUUCAAUGAUGAGCAUGAACCAAGAGUUCGGCAGGUAUGAAGUUUAACUAAUAUCCCAUAUAGCUGAGAAUGCUUAGAGCAAGAUUCAUCUUCUUCAAGUUAAGGGUUUUUAAGGCGUUCCAUGACGAUGCAAAACAAAAUAUCGAAGGACCCAUAACUUGCGGAGAAAUGCAGGACCUAAUAUAGAGAGUGAGAGGGAAUGAAGUGUGCUGCUCUUUUGAGUGAAAAGCAAGCAAAAUAAAGUUCAGAAAAAUCUCCAAUGUUCAUAUUUCUCCAUUGCCAAGCAAGCAUAUAUUCAAAGGAAGCUACAAAAAGUGAGAAAAUUUACUUGUACACCUCUCCAAAAAUUGACACACUCUUUAGUAAUACAAACUAGUGAAGAGGAAUCUCCUUUAAUUAGUUUCACUUUAUGUCCUGCCUAUAUAUAUAUUCCAAGUGUGUUCUUGGGAGAUGAUUAAAUUAAGCAGAAAUUUCAGUUUGGUCUUUUUGAGUGUUUUUUAUUUCAAGAUGUAUCGCAUGCGAUUGAGCAUCAUACCAAUUUUCUACAUCUCCAUUUCAAUCACUACUUUCUCCAUUCUAUGUGGUAAGCAAGCUCUUUUCUUUGUGUCUAGAAUCAUUAAUGUCACCCUACUCGUGAGCGAGAGAAGCUUAUAUGCAUAUGGAGUGUUAUUAUGUUAAUAUUUCAAGACUAUCACACAAGCAAUGUGUUUUAACUUCUCAAUUUGUACUGCGUGAUUGACUUGAGAUACUGUCAUUGUGACAAUAUGUCAAUGUGAUAGUAUCCUAAGCCUAUCAUGCAAGCAAUGUGUUUUAAUUUCCAUGUUGUAGCAUGUGAUUGACUUGAGAUACUGUUAGUGCGACGUGUGAAUUGUAUGCGUACUUCCCUUCCUACAACUUAAGUUACUUGAACAACUUUUACAACUAAUUCUGUGGUUUGUUUUAGUGCAGAUGCAAGAAGUUUUGCGCAAUUCUUUAAACCCCAAGACACAAAACUACACAAAAGCAAAUCAAUCCAUGAAUUAGAGAAGAACAAGCUGAAAGCAAUAAAUCACUUGGACUUACAUUUUGCGUUGGCUUCCCCAAAUAUUGAAUUCCAACCGUUCGAUGCCAGCUCUCCCUUCUCAUCACCACCGUUGGAUUCACCAGCACCGGGACAUCUCCCUCUUCCAGCUCCAAACUCCGUAUCCCCACCAAUUCCUCCAAACCCACCUCUUGCAAAUCCUCCUCCAUCUGGGCCCACUUCCUCACCCAUCCCAAGCCCACCACAAAAUGGGCCUAGCCCACACCCACCAACCACAAUCCCAACCCCACCCAAAUCAGUCCUGAGCCCACCAGUCCUUCCGCCGCCAAUAGCUUUCCCUCCACCGUCCGGACCGCCAUCCCCUCCGCAGAAAAAGCCACCGCAGUUUGCCGUGUGGUGCGUGGUGAAGCCGACAGUGCCGGACCCGAUAAUCCAAGAAGCCCUGGACUAUGCGUGUGGGUCCGGGGCAGACUGCAAGUCAAUCCGGCCCAAUGGGUCCUGCUACCAGCCCGACACAUUGUUGUCGCAUGCUUCGUAUGCCUUCAAUAGUUACUGGCAGAACACGAAGAUCGCUGGAGGCACUUGUGACUUUGGAGGGACUGCCAUGCUUGUCACAGUUGAUCCAAGUAAGUCCAAAUUUUUCCCAUAUCAAGAUAUAUUUUUGGCAUAUUGCAUUUGAUAUUUUCGCAGAACUUUCCUUCAAGGACACGUUGUUUCAUUCAAGGACAAGUGGUUAAGUUCUUUAAAAUUUCAAACGCUAUUUUACUUUAGACUAAUCUCAAUUGCGACGGAAAAAUUAAAUAAGUUUGCCUACGUAGUCCAAAUUCCUUACUAAAUCCGGUGUUCUUUGUUUUCAAAAAGUUAAUGCAAAUCCCAAGAAACAUAUAAUAAUUCAAUAAGCUGUGUAAGCUUUUUCUUUACUCGAUGACUGGAAAAUUGGAUGCAAAAAACGCAUGUUACAGACGUCGAUACAGGAUGAGGAACCAUGACAAAAAUUAAGUGUUUUUUUUUUCCUCUCUUUUUCCUCAAACGAUAAACUAAAUGUUUGGUAGAAUAUGAUCCUGUCUUGGUUAAUAUAUUAGGAUUUAAAUAGUAACAUCCAGAAACAAAGAGAUAAUAUUGAAUGAAAAUCAACAUCUCUUUCCUGUAAGAGCAACUCCACCCAUGUGGGUUGCUCGGGGGACAGUGGAGAAGAAGGGGCCGGAGGCCCGGUGGAGAGAGGUCCAGCCGUGUGGAGGCCGAGCGACGGUGGGAGCCCGAGCGAAGGGGGGUGGGGAGUCGACGGGCCUGUGGCCCGAGGACUUUGCAAUUUUUUAUUUUUUUUUGUGUCAGAGAGAGAGAGAGAGGGGUUUUUUAUUAUUUAAACAAACAAAAAUUAUUUUAAUUGCUUAUAGCCAGGGAGGAGGGUUUCAAGGGUGGAGAUGUAAAUGGCAAUUACUGUUUAUUAAUGGUAGUUACUAUUCAUUUAAGGCAGUUACUGUUCAAUAGGGUGGAUUGAAUAGUGGAUUGCCAGGGGGAGGGCUCCAUGGGUGGAGUUGCUCUAAGGGAGCAGGGUUGUUGGAAAAGGUAAUCAAGGAAAAGCCAUGCAGAACUUUGCAUUUUGAUUUGGACCCACAAUCGAUUUCAAUUUGAUUGAGUGUACCCCUAAUGGGGAAUGAUUAAUUCUUCAAAGUUUUGCUAGCUAGCUAGCAUAACCUGCACGUUUAUGGGUGACUGUGAUGAAUCGCAGUUUAUUCUAAUUAAUAGUUAGGCAGUUGUUAAAUGAUUGAUGAAUCGAGAUUUAUACUUCUUAAUGGCUGGGUGAUUGUCAAAUUAUUGAUGAAUCAAGGUUUAUAUAUGCUCCUCAAUGGUUGGGCGAUUGUCAAAUUAUUGAUAAAUCGAGGUUUAUACUCCUCAAUGGCUGAGUGAUUGUCAAAUUAUUGAUGGGUCAAGAUUUAUGCUCCUUAUCGACACUUGACAGUCACGCAACAAAUGUUACUAGGAAUUCUCCAAAAACAUAUCUUACAUCGUAUUCGUUGGUGUCAUUGCUCAUCAUGUGCAUCUUUUGACCUUUACAAAAGAUCAUGUCUCUAGCUAAAUUCCUAUGACUCUUACAUCUAUGAAAUAUAUGCUUAUAGAGUUUAACGAGUAGUUGCAGGUGGCCUUCUACCACAGUGGUGGAGAUGAAUGACGUCAGUCAGUGGCAAAUCUAAUUUCUAACUUAACAACAAUAUCGCUCAACUUCCAAAAAAAAAUGUUUAACAAGUAGUUAAUUAAUAAUAUUUAUCUUUCUUACUUUAAUUGUGGUGAGCAAUAUUUUUAGUAUAAUUACUUUAUAUUUUCUUAUAGGGUGACCCUACACUAAAUUUGCUUUAUUUUAUCUCUUUUACUUUAAAUUGGUGUUGCUUUGAUGAGUGACACAAGAUGCUAACACAUCCUCUGCAUGAUUGUGACAUGGCAGGUUAUGAUGAAUGCAAUUUCUUCUUCAACGGAUGAUCUUGAAACAUAUAUAUAUAUAUAUAUAUAUAUAUAUAUAUAUAUAAUAUAUAUAUAUAUAUAUAUAUAUAUAUAUAUAUAUAUAUAUAUAUAUAUAUAUAUAUAUAUAUGACUCUAUUAGCUAUUACGAGAUUAAGAAAGAAAAAAUGCUAGGAAGAUCAAUUUUGUUAGACUAUUUUUUGUUGAUGCAUAGUGUGGCAAUUAAUGGUUAGACUCAUGUUUUAAAAUAAUUUAAAGAAAGAGUCUAACCAUUAAUCACCAUAUCAUGUCAAUUACAAAUGAUAAUUUAAAAUUUUUGGUUUCUCUAGCAUCAAAUUCUGUUAACUUAAAAAUUUAUUUAUUUUUCAGAAGAGAGCUACACACUAUGUAUACAUCACAUUUUAUUUAGGAGGAGUUCCAUAUUUGUGAGUGAAAAUGGAACUUUGGCUAGAAGUAGUGGCACUUGAAAGUGAAGUUGUAUUGAUCAUUUUGUCUUCCAGUGUCCACUUUAUGUACAUGGAAUAUACAUGUUGGCUAGCUGUUGCAGAUUCCCUUUGAGAUUUCCAGAUUGUCCAAAAACUGCAUACACACAUAGUUCUUUGAUUUAGCAGGAUUAAAAAGAAUGGUGCUUUUAUUUCACCAAUAAGAAAUAACUCAUCAUGAGUAUGAUCUCAUCAUUGAUAUUAUGAGUUAUUUCUUUGAUUUAGCACGAAUGAAUUGAUAAAGAUCAAAAGUCAAAAUUGAUAAGGAUGUAUGAAAAGCAAAACUAGGUGCUAAUAAUACUAUCCUUAAUGUAAAUAAUAUUGUUGGUGAAAAAAAACAAAAAAAACACUAUCCUUAGUCAAUUCUUUGGCGAACAUAACUUUUCACAUUACAAAAUAAUACAAACCCUAAUGACUUUUCAAAGGUCGUUCGAUGAUCUUUUUGUGACGGUAAGUGAAGCAUUACUCUUAUCCUUAACUCGAAAAAAUAAAUUUAACCUAUUAUAUAUGUACAUGAUGGUUAUAUAUAUAUACGCGCCAUGCAUGGACCAACGUCGUCUUACCCGGGCUUACACCACAUGUACUUUCUGAAAUGCAAUUUCAUGUGGCUAGGGUUAGCACCUAUGUAAAUUAAAAGAAAGAAUAAAUUACAUUUUACUACUUCAAUUUUAGGUUGCAUAACAAACUCAUACAUCAUAUUUUAAACAUUGCAAUGCCAUACAUUAAAUUACAAAUUCGUUGUCAUAUCAAACUUCCGUUAAAAAAAUCUAUUAAGUUAGCCGUUUAUCCAUACAACCACUCAACGGUUAACGUAACAGAUUUUUUAACAGCGGUCCGACAUUUAACGAAUUCGUAAGUUAAUUGAUGUAAACAUUGGAAUGAUCAGAAGAUGAGAUAUAAGUUUGUUAUGUGACCCAAAAUAAGAUGGUAAAAUGUAAUUUACCCUAAAAGAAAGUUCCUGCAUCCAAAUUUCAAAAAACUGAAUUUAAUUUCAAAAAUAUACAGUAAGGUGUAUGGCCGACACCCAAAUGCGAAUGCGAUUGCUUCUGUCUAUUCAUAGGAUAGGAAUGGCUAAAGUUAAACUAAGAAAGAGGUAAACACUAGUUGACUAGUCCUAUCCAAGGAAGGAAAUGAACACCCCCAUCCCCAAAAAAAAAAACCAUAUCCUUUUUAAGUUGAAAAAGUCUAGGGCCUAUUUUGUUUGUGAAAGAAUCACAUGUGGUGGUUUUGGCAUCAUGAACCCAAAUCACGGGUCGAUCGACUAGCAAACUUCAUGUUCAAACUUUGCCUAUAUCAAAAUCCUUCCGAGUUUUCUUGAUUUCUUACCUUUAUCCUUAGCCACAUAUAUGAUUGGAAUAGAAAUUUGCAAGUUUCCAAAUAUAUUAGAUUGAAAUGAAUUUAGGCACACAAACAUGAACAAAUGGAUUUAGUAUUGAUUCAUUCAACUUCAAGUAAGCAUUCUGCAAAUCCCUCUCAAUUCACUGUAUCUAUCAUUUCAAAUCCAUUCAUCUAAUCUUUUACAAUGCAUUUCUAACUAAUUUAACUUAAAUUUAAUGGUACAUACAAAUUUGUCUUCCAAAAGCAUCACAAUGCUCUUGUGCCGGAUUACUUAUAUAUCUAUUAAGCAUACUUACUGCAUAAGCUAAGUCAGGCCUGGUCGAAUUCAUCGAAUACAUUAGACCUCCAAUUACUUGAGAAUAUUCAAGUUGAGAUAUGACAUUACUUUUAUUUUUCUCCAACUUGAAUCCAGCAUCAAAAGUAGUUGCAGCAGGUUUGCAGUCAAAUUAACCAAACCUUCGUAAUAUUUUUUCCGCAUAAUAGGACUGUGUAAGGACAUACCCUUCACUAUUUCUCUUAAUGUGAAGUUGUAUUGAUCAUAUUGUCUUCCAGUGUCCAUUUUAUGUACAUGGAAUAUACUUGUUGGCUAGCCGUUGCAUAUUCCCUUUGAGAUUUCUAGAUUGUCCAAAAACUGCAUACACACAUAUUUCUAUGAUUUAGCAGGAUUAAAAAGAAGGGUGCUUUUAUUUCACCAAUAAGUAAUAACUCAUAAUGAGGAUGACCUCAUAUAACAUUCUAGAGUCUGUUUGAUAAUCAUUCUUUUUUUAUUUUUUAUUCUAUAUGUUAAAGAUAGAACAUGAGAAAAUGUGGGCAUAGAAGAGUGGAGAAGUGAUGUUGGGAAAGAUGUAGAGAAGAUGUGUAAAGAAAGGUGUACAAAACGAAAUCUAAAAACUAAAAUUUAAAAUUAUAUACUUUGAAUUGUUUUCACUUUCGAGAUUUUGUUUUCAUUCCUUCUUCUUUGUUUUGUCCCGUCGCUCCCUCGAUCUUUCUUCAUCCCUAAUCUCCUCAAUAUAUUUUGCCCAUAUCUCAAACAAAAUAUAAAAACUAAUAGUAAAUACCCAAUGAAACUUGUUUCGUAACAAGCUAGCAUUACUACUUUUUUUUUUUCCUCUCAAGAGUCGAGAUAGAAUAUCUAGCUAGAUCAAUGUUUUUGUCGACAAAGAUACCUUGCACCAAAAGUAGGCCAGCUGCUUUACCAUUUUUAGACAUACUUCAAAUGGCGUCUAGUGACCGAGAGGUUGGACUUUCACCAUUAAACGCCAAUACACAGACUUGUUUGCAAUAGGAAGAUGAUGACAAUACAUGCAUGUGUUCAUUAUUUCCUCCAUAUUUAUACAAAGGUAGUGCUAUCCAAACACCUAUUUUUACUGUUCACACACAAUCUUAAUUUUUGAUAGUCGGAACGAAUGAAUUGAUAAAGAUCAAACACCAAAAUUGAUAAGGGUGUGUAGAAAGCAAAACUAGAUGCUAAGAAUACUAUCCUUAAUGUAAAUAUUAUCGUUUAUUAAAAACAAAAAACAAAAAAACACUAUCCUUAGGCAAUUCUUUGGCGAACAUGACUUUUCACAUUACAAAAUAAUACAAACCCUAAUGACUUUUCAGAUGUCAUUCAAUGAUCUUUUUGUGACAACGGGUGAAGCAUUACUCUUAUCCUUAACUUGAAAAAAUAAAUUCAACCUAUUAUAUAUGUACAUGAUGGUUAUAUAUAUACAUGCCAUGCAUGGACCAACGUCGGCUCACCCGGCUUACACCACCUGUACUUUCUGAAAUGCAAUUUCACGCAGCUAGGGUUAGCACCUAUGUAAAUUAAAAGAAAGAAUGAAUUACAUUUUACUACCUCAAUUUUAUGUCGCAUAACAAACUCAUACAUCAUAUUUUAAACAUUGCAACGUCAUACAUUAAAUUACGAAUUCAUAUCAAACUUCCAUAAAAAAAAAUAUGUCAAGUUAGCCGUUUAUCCACAUAAUCACUUAACGGUUAACUUAACAUAUUUUUUAACAGUGGUCAAACAUUUAACGAAUUCGUAAGUUAAUUGAUGUAAACAUUGUAAGGAUUAGAAGAUGAGAUAUAAGUUUGUUAUGUGACCCAAAUAAAGUGAUAAAAUAUAAUUUACUCUAAAAGAAAGUUCCUACAUUCAAAUUUCAAAAAAAACAAAAUUUAAUUUCAAAAAUAUAUAAUAAUGUGUAUGGCCGACACCCAAAUGCGAAUGCGAUUGCUUCUCAUUCAUAGGAUAGGAAUGGCUAAACUUAAACUGAGAAAGAGGUAACACUAGUUGACUAGUACUAUCCAAGGAAGGAAACGAACACCCCAUCCCCAAAAAAACACCUUGUCCUUUUUAAGUUGAAAACCUAUUUUUGUCCCCAUGCCCAUCUUUUGAUAAUUAAUUAUAUGAGAAUUGUUAUUAACAUUUCAAAAAUCUUAUGUUACACUCCAAACUUUCUAUAUUAGGAAAAAUUAAUUAUAUGAGAAUUGUUAUUAACACUUCAAAAAUCUUAUGUUACACUCCAAACUUUCUAUAUUAGGAAAGAAAAAUACACGUAUGAGAAGUGUAGAAUGAAAUUUUUGGAGUGCCAAUAACACUUUCCAAUUAUAUAUUAAUUAUCAAUUAGUACACCACAAAGUUCAACUCCAAGAUUUGAGUUUAUUCUCUAUGGUUUAUUACUUCAAUUGCUUUCUAUAAGGGAUAAAACCUUAUAAAGUAAGGGAACUUUUUAAUAAUGACCAAUGUGGGACAAUGAAAUUUCUACUCAAAAUUUUCAACAUCUCUCUCUAUCAAGCACACACACUAACACUUAGGUCUGUCUCAGUACCCAUAAAGCCUCUAUAAAGCCAUUUGCUUGGUAUUGGGUUUCAACAUCCAGUUUUGUACUCAACUCUCUGGAGAGUUGUGGAGUUGUAGUAUUGACAUGGAGAUCAAUUAUGCUCUGGCUUUGCUCUUAGUCCUCAUUCUCAACUUGGGUAGUUUGCUCACUUCUCUUGCUAACUCCUAUUGCCCACCACCGCAUGUCAAACCACCUCAUGCAAAGCCUCCUCCUCAUGUACCCACGAAACCACCUCAUGUUAAACCACCCAUUGUAAAGCCACCUCCCUAUCCGAAACCUCCUGUUCCCAAACCACCUCCCCAUCCCAAACCUCCUGUUGUGAAACCACCACCUGUUGUAGUGCCAAGCCCACCACCAACACCAACACCAACCCCAGUUGUCCCAGUGAAGCCUCCUCCACCCACCGAAACACCAUGCCCUCCUCCACCACCAAAGUUAGUACCACCACCACCAUCUCCACCAAAGGACACGUGUCCCAUCGACACCCUAAAAUUGGGAGCUUGUGUAGAUGUGUUGGGUGGUCUUAUCCACAUUGGAAUUGGAAGCAGUGCCAAAGAUACAUGUUGUCCGGUGCUUCAGGGACUGGUGGACUUGGACGCUGCUAUUUGCCUUUGCACCACCAUCAAGGCUAAGCUUCUCAAUGUCAACCUCAUCAUCCCCAUUGCUCUUCAGGUGCUCAUUGCUUGUGGGAAGACUCCUCCCUCUGGAUUCCAGUGUCCUGCAUAGAUGAUCAUCAUAUCUUAUUCCUAAAUCACACUUAGUAGUUGUUAAUCAUGUCAUCAUUAGUGAUAUGUGGCGCCGGCUAGCUGAUAAUAAAGCAUGUCAAAGCUUGGAAGUAAAAACUACAUGAGGAUAAAUCUGUUAUUCGUUUUUGUUUUGUUUUGUUUACUUGAAGAGUGUAUCAGAUCGAUAGACUGGUAAUUUAGUCAUGUUAUUUUCUUGAACCUUGGAAGUAUAUAUAAUAACCUGAGUUUAAAGAAGACCUUCAUUUUUCACCGUUCGUCAAUCUCCUGUAGAGGACUUACAUGGAACACCACCACCGUGCCCGUGACAUCAUGGUCUAAUAAUACAACUUCAUUUGUAAUUAAAGAAACUCACAUAUGACAUUAUAUUAUUGAACUGAGACACUAGUGUAAAUAUUUUAAAUUGAUGAUAGGAUUCUUCACUAUAUUCUUAUAGAGUCGAGUAGUAGUUUUAUAAAAUCAUCAAAAUUAGAGCUCAAAUAACCAUUAAAUUAUGAUUUUUUCGUUUCUAACCGUCGAAGAAUUUCGUCCUGUUACCUAAUAUAGUAAUACUGGUGAUUUUUGGUGUGUGCAAUCUUAGAGUAUAUACAAAUAAGUUUGACAGCUUGAUUGUUGAAAUUAAUUUUGCAGACAUCGAAAAUCAUCUAAGGAACUAAAUACGCCAAUCAUGUCUGUUACCUCUGCCUUAUGAAAUAUAUGUUGGAAAAUAUUAGUAUUUAGGUUUAUUUUAGUAUUUGGGUUUUGCUUGUUAGUUUAGGAUUUGUGCUUAGCCCAUCCGAGUUAGGGUUUCGUAGGUUUAGUUCUCUAUAAAUAGAGCUUGUAAUUUAGUUUGACAAUAAGUUAGCCACAAUGUAGUCUCUUAGGGUUUUGUAGCCGCUUCGGCAUUCUCAGUUUGUUUAAUAAUAUUCUUAUUAUUUGUUAGUCUUGUUUGUUGCGCACUGAUAUUCAACUUGGUAUCAGAGUAGGUUUGAUUCUUCGGGAUCUAAUCUGCUUCUGUUUGUUCGUAUCAGUUUUAUUUCUUUCCAGUUUCCAUCCGUAAAUUUUUUACGUUUUCUGGUUUGGUUUUUCAGUUUGUCCUUGGUAGUCUUCAAGAAAGGAAAAAAAAAUUCUGUUUUUGAAAAAAAAGAAUUUGGUGAAUUUGUCUCACACCCAAAUUUGAAAAUGCUCCAUCGCACUAAGAUUUCUGCAUUCCCCAGCCCCACCUUGCAUCUGGAUCCGUCCACAACCGUACACCUGCGAAAAAAAAGAAACAAGAAAAAAGAAAGGCUAAUGUUGCUGGUUGGUUCACACAGAAGAAAAAUAAGGAAGGAAGAAGGAAGAAAAAAAAAGCGGGGGGGAAAAGGAAGGAAAAAAAAUUGGUUGUUUUGAGGUUUUGUUGCCCUCGUAUUCUUGCAUUGGGUAUGGUAUUGGAAUUUGGCAUUGGGCAUGGUAUUGGAAUUUGGCAUUGGUAUUGGUAUUGGCAUUGGCAUUGGUACUGGUAUCGGCAUUGACAUCUGCAUUGGCAUUGGCAUUGGCAUUGGCAUUGGCAUUGGCAUUGGCAUCGGCAUCGUCAUUGGUAUUGGCAUCGGCAUCGGCAUCGGCAUUGGUAUUGGUAUUAGCAUCGGCAUCGGCAUUGGCAUCGGCAUCGGCAUCGGCAUCGGAAUUUGGAGGCUUGCAUCCACAUCUGCUUGUUGGCAAACUCAUGUCGUGUACCACCAUGAGUUUGACGGGAGGUGUUGGAAAAUAUUAGUAUUUAGGUUUAUUAUAGUAUUUGGGUUUUGCUUGUUAGUUUAGGAUUUGGGCUUAGCUCAUCCGAGUUAGGGUUUCGUAGGUUUAGUUCUCUAUAAAUAGAGCUUGUAAUUUAGUUUGACAAUAAGUUAGCCACAAUGUAGUCUCUUAGGGUUUUGUAGCCGCUUCGGCAUUCUCAGUUUGUUUAAUAAUAUUCUUAUUAAUUGUUAGUCUUGUUUGUUGCGCACUGAUAUUCAACUAUAUAAACCCUAAUUACAACAUAUACCUUUGAGUGACGAAAGCUGGAAGGUUCGUCGUGUAAAGGUUGCCAUUUUAUGUGCCAAACUUUUAUCUUGGUGCGAAAACUUUAACCCACGACGUAAGCUUUGCUCGUCGAACUCUGUUCGCCGGGCAAAAGCAUCUGCAAAAACCAAAACGUUUGACCGUUUUGCUCGACAAACGUUUAUUUUGUCAGGUAAAGACUAUUUGGCCGACAAAAUACCGUUCGUCUAGCAAAACUUUGUCAGAAAAAUGGUAAUUUCUGGUUAUGUAUGAUAAAACUUUGUCGGACAAAUGAUAAUUUUUGGUAGUGUAUCAUAUAUAUAUAUAUAUAUAUAUAUAUAUAUAGAGGUUUCUCUCCCUUGUGUGUGUAUGUCUGUAUCUGUUGAUAUAGCGUGUUUGCAGGUUCACGUGAAUGUGUAGACUGUAGUGCAUUGAAUUAUUUUAAUUGCAUUCGUUUGUAAGAUAUCAGUAGGAAUAAAAUAUCAACGUCAAGGCUUAAAAAAAAAUAUCAACGUCAGGUACCACAUGUAAGAUACAUGCAACACGUACAACUUUCUUAUGGAUUUUGGAAGUUUGUCUAUAUUUAUACCAAGGCUUCCAAAAAUACGAGCCUUCUCCUCUCCUGCAUCCAAGUCCUGCUGAACAAGGAAGAAAAUAUCGGUAAUAUCGGAAAUAUCGGUAGUCCGAAAACAUGGAAAUAUCGAUGGAAAUAUCGGGAUAAUAUCGAUAUCGAUAAAAAUUACAUGGAAACCACGGAAAUUGUAAGAAAAACUUGGAAAUUUUUAUUAAAACUUUGCAGGAUGUUUAUUUAGUCAAUUAUCUAUUAGUUUAUCACAAAAAAAUUGGAAGGAAAUGCAUUGCAUGAUGGAUUUAACUGAUUUAAGUUGAUUAUAUAGCGAGCUGGCAAACAUUGUGAGUGUAGAAAAUAUAUAAUAAUUAAUGAAAGAAGUUUAAACACACCAUAAUCAUUUAUAUAUAAUGAAUUAGUACAAUAUUUUACACUUUAUACAUUGCAUGGUAAGAUACAUGAGUGACUAAGUACCACAUAGAGUUCCUAUGAGGUUCAAAAUUUUCACUAUCUUCAUCAUCACUAUGUGUAGAGUAAGUGUAUUGUGAAGAGUAGUUAGCAACCAUGGCAAUGACUUUCAAGAACCGAAACCCAAAAGUCAAUAGGAAACCGAAUACUUCGGUAUUUUUCGGGAUUUCAGGAUUACCAAACAAAUGGGAUUUGGAAAACCAAUCCCAUAUCGAAAAUUUCGGUAUUUUUCGGGAUGGUUUUGGUUUGGGACUUUUUCGGUUUGGUUUGGGAUUUUCGGGAAUUUUUUCCAACCAUACAUGUAAGUGACCAAAUAAAAAAUAGAAAAAUUAAAAACCACAUGCCAUUGACUAAGUAAUUAAUUGACACAAUUUAAAAUAUAAUACCACAAAAAAUUUGGAAUAUGUGCAAAUUUGUUUCUUGCAAAAAGAAUUCAAAACAAAACCAUAUAUAUAAAUAGUUUAGCAUGUUUUCACAAAAACGUAAGUGGUAUAGUGGUCAAGUUGCUGAAGGAGUUAGAUGGGAGGGGUUCGAAUCACUUUAUGUGCAUGUUUGAGACUUUUCAGAAAUUUUCAAAUAUUUUUAGGUUCAUCUCGCGAUAUAUAAUAUCGCGAUAAUAUCGAUAUUAUCGCGAUAUAUUAACGAUAAUUAUAAAAAUACUCACGAAAUAUCGUUAUAUGAAAAAACGAUAAUAUCGGCGAUAUUAUCGAUUUUUAAAUCUAUGCUGCUGAAUCACAUCCACCAAAUCCAAAGGGGAUUGGGAAUAUAAUUGCUCCAUCACACUCAAUUAUUGUUCGUGUAAUGUUUUCUUUGCACAACAUUUUAAUUCAAAUUUCACCAUGUUUUUUUAUGUUUCAAUUAUUUGAUCAAUUUAUUGGAGGAAAAAAAAACACAGGUUAGCGAUCGUACGAUCGAUAUCGACCACCAUAUCGACAAUACAGAGGGAAAAAGAAUAAGACAUGUCAUCACCUAACAUUUUUAAUAAUGUCACUAAAACAUUUCAAGUUCCAAUUCAAUCAACCUUUCCUGUCAGCAACAUAUGUCUCGCACCGACCUCUCAACACAAAGCACUUAUGUCACUCCUACGAGAAAUUCUAAGAUCCGACCGAACAAGCCAAGACACAAAAAACCCUUCCCCUAUCCCACCCCGAUUUUAACAUGUUAACCUGGCCUGCUUUUAGUCUCACUCUCCUCUCACACCACCUCCAAGUCGAAUGUCCUAGCUACACAAAAAUCUGUCUCCAGUCUUUUUAUAAUCCUGCUCUGGUAACCUCAGUUGAAUGGCAGGAUAAAUUUGAAUGGGGGGAGGAAAAAAAACCGCUAAAUUAUGUGUCGGAUCAUUUGUGCAUCAUGUAGUACUCAAAUUAAUGUGGUGUAAAAUGUGGUUUCGUUAGUAGUUUGAUGCCUCAGGUUUUCUGCUUUCUUUUGGUAAUCACAUUAUUAUAGCGCACCACUUAAUUAGCACACCAUUUGAUAACUCCCUAGCUAGUAUAUACGUAAUUUUUUUAUCUCAUUCAUUUUUCUUCCUAGUCUCUCUUCUUUUCAUUUCUUUUUUUCCAAUUAGAGGAAACAAUGCUAAGAUAUAUAAUUUUGAUAUGAACCCUAAACCGUAAUUUUAUAUAUGAACCAUAAACCCCAAGUUUUUAUCUGAUCAUUUUGGUGGAAAUAAUCUUUUUUUUUUUUGUUUAAAACGAACAAAAUUGUUUGUAGGGCGAGUUUUGAAAAAUUCAGUGAUUCACAAAUAAAGAUGGGCGUCCACAUAUUUGUAAACUUUGGCAAGGCUGGGUUGUCAAGGAAAUAGGUGUCCAGAGGCAAUGUUUGGGUGUAAACAGAACUACUCAUAUCAAACUCACGAAAACAUCCUUGAAUAUUAUUGGGCUACAUGCGCGAAAACAUUUGAACUACCCUUAUCUAAAUUUCCCCCCUUACUCCUGAGCAGAGUAAAACCCUGGUCAUUUCUUGAGGAAGAAGACGACGACGAAUUGGAGAAAAAUAGGGCGCUGAGCUGAACAGCGGCUAAAAGCAUAAAUUUUCUUUGUCCAUCUGCACGAACAGAGCGCCAGAAAAACUGGGCAAGAUCCUCAUUUUUCAACGUUUGUCUUAUUAAUUAGCUUCUGAUGAAAUUUCAUUCGCAUAUUGUGGUUUUAUCUGUUUGAUGAGAUUUUAAUGUAGAGUUUGUAUCUGUUCGAUGAAAUUUCAUUCGCAUAUUGUGGUUUUAGCAUGUGAUUGACUUGAGAUAGUAUUAGUACGACGUGUUAAUUGCAUGCGUACUUCCGUUCUUACAACUUAAGUAACUUGAACAACUUUUACAACUAAUUCUGUGGUUUGUUUUAGUGCAGAUGCAAGAAGUUUUGCGCAAUUCUUUAAACCCCAAGACACAAAACUACACAAAAGCAAAUCAAUCCACGAAUUAGAGAAGAACAGACUGAAAGCAAUAAUCACUUGGACUUGCAUUUUACGUUGGCUUCCCCAAAUAUUGAAUUCCAACCGUUCGAUGCCAGCUCUCCCUCCUCAUCACCACCGUUGGAUUCACCAGCACCGGGACAUCUCCCUCUUCCAGCCCAAAACUCCGUAUCCCUACCAAUUCCUCCACACCCACCUCUUGCAAAUCCUCCUCCAUCUAGGCCCACUUCCUCACCCAUCCCAAACCCAUCACAAAAUGGGCCUAGCCCACACCCACCAACCACAAUCCCAACCCCACCCAAAUCAGUCCUGAGCCCACCAGUCCUUCCGCCGCCAAUAGCUUUCCCUCCACCGUCCGGACCGCCAUCCCUUCCACAGAAAAAGCCACCGCAGUUUGCCGUGUAGUGCGUGGUGAAGCCGACAGUGCCGGACCCGAUAAUCCAAGAAGCCCUGGACUAUGCGUGUGGGUCCGGGGCAGACUGCAAGUCGAUCUGGCCCAAUGGGUCCUACUACCAGCCCAACACCGUAUGCUUCGUAUGCCUUCAAUAGUUACUGGCAGAACACGAAGAUCGCUGGAGGCACUUGUGACUUUGGAGGGACUGCCAUGCUUGUCACGGUUGAUCCAAGUAAGUCCAAAUUUUCCUCAUAUCAAGAUAUUAUUUUGGCAUAUUGCAUUUGAUAUUUUCGCAGAACUUUCCUUCAAGGACAAGUUGUUUCAUUCAAGGACAAGUAGUCAUUUCUUUAAAAUUUCAAACGCUAUUUUACUUUAGACUAAUCUAAAUUACGAUGGAAAAAUUAAAUAAGUUUGCCUAUGUAUCCAAAUUCCUUACUAAAUCUAGUGUACUUUGUUUUCAAAAAGUUAAUACAGAUCCGAAUCUUUUUUUUUGUUUUUUUUUGGGGUUAAGAACCCUAAUCGUUGUUAAUGGCGGGUGACAGCAUGAGAGUAUCACUUGACAAAACGAUAACUUUCGUUUACUCGAUUAUCUUGUCCUUAACUAUAAUGGUAAUCAAAUUAUAGAACUUUGAAGAAGAUAAUUAGAAGUACACGUCCAUGAGUGCAAAUUUAAUUUAUAAACCUACAAGCAGACCUACAUAUCUUAGAUUCCCAAGAAACAUAUAAUAAUUCAGUAAGCUGUAAGCUCUUUCUUUACUCGAUGACUGGAAAAUUGGACAUGGAAAACGCAUGCUACAGACGUCGAUACAGGAUGAGGAACCAUGACAAAAACUAAGUGUUUUUUUCCUCUCUUUUUCCUCAAACGAUAAACUAAUGUUUGGUAGAACAUUAUCCUGUCUUGGUUAAUAUAUUAGGAUUUAAAUAGUAACAUCCAGAAACAAAGAGAUAAUAUUGGAUGAAAAUCAACGUCUCUCUCUUCUGUAAGGGAGCAGGGUUGUUGGAAAAGGUAAUCAAGGAAAAGCCAUGCAGAACUUUGCAUUUUGAUUUGGACCCUCAAUCGAUUUCAAUUUGAUUGAGUGUACCCCUAAUGGGGAAUGAUUAAUUCUUCAAAGUUUUGCUAGCUAGCUAGCAUCACCUGCACGUAAAUGGGUGACUGUGAUAAAUCGCAAUUUAUUAUCAUUAAUAGUUAGGCAGUUGUCAAAUUAUUGAUGAAUCGAGAUUUAUGCUCCUCAAUAGCUGAAUGAUUAUCAAAUUAUUGAUGGGUUGAGAUUUACACUCAUCGACACUUGACAAUCACGCAACAAAUGUUACUAGGAAUUCUCCAAAAAAAUAUCUUACAUCGUAUUCAUUGGUGUCAUUGCUCAUCAUGUGCAUCUUUUGACCUUUACAAAAGAACCUGUCUCUAGCUAAAUUCCUAUGACUCUUACAUCUAUGAAAUAUAUGCUUAUAAAGUUUAACAAGUAGUUGCAGGUGGCCUUCUACCACAGUGAUAGAGAUGAGUGACGCCCUUGCAUGAUGGCGUGGGUUCGAACUCCGUCAAUGACAAAUUUACUUUCUAACUUAACAACAAUAUUGCUCAACUCCCAAAAAAAAAAAAAAGUUUAACAAGUAGUUAAUUAGUAAUAUUUAUCUUUCUUACUUUAAUUGUGGUGAGAUAUCUUUAGUAUUACUUUAUAUUUUCUUAUAGGGUGACCCCACACUAAAUUUGCUUAAUUUUAUCUCUUUUGCUUUAAAUUGGUGUUGCUUUGGAUGAAGGAUACAAGAUGCUAACACAUCCCUUGCAUGAUUGUGACAUGGCAGGUUAUGAUGAAUGCAAUUUCUUCUUCAACGGAUGAUCUUGAAACAUACAUACAUGUAUAUAUAUAUAUAUAUAUAUUAGCUAUUACGACAUUAAGAAAGAAAAAAAUGUUAGGAAGAUCAAAUUUGUUAGACUAUUUUUUGUAGACUCAUGAUGUGGUGGUUGAUGGUUGGACUCAUUUUUUUUAAUAAUUUAAAUAAAUAGUCUAACCAUCAAUCGCCACAUCAUGAUAGUUUAAAAUUUUAUUUAUUUUUUAGAAGAGAUCUACACACUAUGUAUACAUCACAUUUUAUUUAGGAGUUCCAUAUUUGUGAGUGCAAACGGAACUUUUGGCUGUAGAAGUAGCGGCACUUGAAAGUGAAGUUGUAUUGAUCUUCUUGUCUUCCAGUGUCCAUUUUAUGUACAUGGAAUAUACCUGUCGGUUAGCUGUUGCAUAUUCCCUUUGAGAUUUCCAGAUUGUCCAAAAACUGCAUACACACAUAUUUCUUUGAUUUAGCAGGAUUAAAAAGAAGGGUGCUUUUAUUUCACCAAUAAGAAAUAACUCAUAAUGACGAUGAUCUCAUAUAACAUUGUAGAGUCUGUUUGAUAAUUAUUCAUAUUUUAGUUUUUAUUCUAUAUGUUAAAGAUAGAACAUGAGAAAAUGCGGGCAUAGAAGAGUGGAGAAGUGAUGUUGGGAGAGAUGUAGAGAAGAUGUGUAAAGAAAGGUGUACGAAAUGAAAUCUAAAAACUAAAAUUAAAAAUUAUGUACUUUGAAUUGUUUUCACUUUCGAGAUUUUAUUUUCAUUCCUUCUUUGUUUUGUGCCGUCGCUCCCUCGACCUUUCUUCAUCCCUAAUCUCCUCAAUAUAUUUUGCCCAUAUCUCAAACAAAAUAUAAAAACUAAUAGUACAUACCCAAUGAAACUUGUUUCGUAACCAGCUAGCAUUACUACCUUUUCUUUUCCUCUCAAGAGUCGCGAUAGAAUAUCUAGCUAGAUCAAUGUUUUUGUCGACAAAGAUACCUUGCACCAAAAGUAGGCCAGCUGCUUUACCAUUUUUAGACAUACUUCAAAUGGCGUCUAGUGACCGAGAGGUUGGACUUUCACCAUUAAACACCAAUACACAGACUUGUUUGCAACAGGAAGACGAUGACAAUACAUGCAAGUGCUCAUUAUUUCAUCGGUAUUUAUAUAAAGGUAGUGCUAUCCAGACACCUAUUUUUACUUCUCACACACUAUCUUAAUUUUCGAUUGUCGGAACAAAUGAAUUGAUAAAAAUCAAAUGCCAAAAUUGAUAAGGGUGUGUGGAAACCAAAGCUAGAUGUUAAUAAUAAUAUCCUUAAUGUAAAUAAUAUCGUUGGUUAAAAUAAAAAACACUAUCCUUAGUCAAUUCUUUGGCGAACAUGACUUUUCACAUUACAAAAUAAUACAAACCCUAAUGACUUUUCAGAGGUCGUUCGAUGAUCUUUUUGUGGCAGCAAGUGAAGCAUUACUCUUAUCCUUAACUUGAAAAAAUAAAUUCAACCUAUUAUAUAUGUACAUGAUGGUUAUAUAUAUACGCACCAUGCAUGGACCAACGUCGUCUCACCCGGGCUUACACCACAUGUACUUUUUGAAAUGCAAUUUCAUGCAGCUAGGGUUAGCACCUAUAUAAAUUAAAAGAAAGAAUAAAUUACACUUUACUACUUUAAUUUUAUGUCGCAUAACAAACUCAUACAUCAUAUUUUAAACAUUGCAAUGUCAUACAUUAAAUUACGAAUUUGUUGUCAUAUCAAACUUCCGUUAAAAAAUCUGUUAAGUUAGCCGUUUAUCCACACAACCACUCAACGGUUAACUUAACAGAUUUUUUUAAUAGCGGUCCAACAUUUAACGAAUUUGUAAGUUAAUUGAUGUAAACAUUGGAAUGAUCAGAAGAUGAGAUAUAAGUUUGUUAUGUGACCCAAAAUGAGGUGGUAAAAUAUAAUUUACCCUAAAAAAAAUGUUCCUACAUCCAAAUUUCAAAAAAACAAAAUUUAAUUUCAAAAAUAUAUAGUAAGGUGUAUGGCCGACACCCAAAUGCGAAUGCAAUUGCUUCCGUCUAUUCAUAGGAAUGGCUAAACUUAAACUAAGAAAGAGGUAACACUGGUUGACUAGUCCUAUCCAAAGAAGGAAAUGAACACCCCCAUCCACACCUCCGCCCCCCCCACCCCGCAACCAAAAAAAACACCAUAUCCUUUUUAAGUUGAAAAAGUAUAGGGCCUAUUUUUGUCCCCAUGGUUUUUUCUUUUUUAUUUUUAUUUUUAUUUUUUAUACAAGAAAAUUUUGUUUGUGAAAGCAUCACAUGUGGUGGUUUUGGCAUCAUGAACCCAAAUCACGGGUCGACUAGCAAACUUCAUGUUCAAACUUUGCCUAUAUCAAAAUCCUUCCGAGUUUUCUUGAUUUCUUACCUUUAUCCUUAACCACAUAUAUGAAUAGAAAUUUGCAAGUUUACAAAAAUAUUAGAUUGAAAUUUUUUAAAUGAAUUUAAGCACACAAACACGAACAAAUGGAUUUAGUAUUGAUUCAUUCAACUUCAAGUAAUCAUUUUGCAAAUCCCUCUCAAUUCACUGUAUCUAUCAUUUCAAAUUCAUUCAUCUAAUCUUUUACAAUGCAUUUCUAAAUAAUUUAACUUAAAUUUAAUGGUACGUACAAAUCUGUCUUCCAAAGGCAUCCCAAUGCUCUUGUGUCGGAUUACUUGUAUAUCUGCUAAGCCUACUUACUGGAUAAUCUAAGUCAGGCCUAAUCGAAUUCAUCAAGUACAUUAGACUUCCAAUUACUUGAGAAUAUUCAAGUUGAGAUAUGGCAUUGCCUUUAUUUUUCUCCAACUUGCAUCCAGCAUCAAAAGAAAUUGCACCAGGUUUGCAGUGUCUAUUUUGUGUAAGGACAUACCCUUCACUAUUUCUCUUAAUGUGAAGUUGUAUUUAUCUUCUUGUCUUCCAGUGUCUAUUUUAUGUACAUGGAAUAUACCUGUCGGCUAGCUGUUGCAUAUUCCCUUUGAGAUUUCCAGAUUGUCCAAAAAUUGCGUACACACAUAUUUCUUUGAUUUAGCAGGAUUAAAAAGAAGGGUGCUUUUAUUUCACCAAUAAGUAAUAACUCAUAAUGAGGAUGAUCUCAUAUAACAUUAUUGAGUUUAUUUGAUAAUCAUUCUUUUUUUAGUUUUUAUUCUAUAUGUUAAAGAUAGAACAUGAGAAAUGUGGGCAUUGAAGAAUGGAGAAGUGAUGUUGGGAAAGAUGUAGAGAAUAUGUGUAAAGAAAGGUGUACAAAACGAAAUCUAAAAACUAAAAUUUAAAAUUAUAUACUUUGAAUUGUUUUCACUUUCGAGAUUUUGUUUUCAUUCAUUCUUCUUUGUUUUGUUCCUUCACUCCCUCGACCUUUCUUCAUCCCUAAUCUCCCCAAUAUAUUUUGCCCAUAUGUCAAACAAAAUAUAUAAACUAAUAGUACAUACCCAAUGAAACUUGUUUCGUAACCAGCUAGCAUUACUACUUUUUUUUUCCUCUCAAGAGUCGAGAUAGAAUAUCUAGCUAGAUCAAUGUUUUUGUCGACAAAGAUACCUUGCACCAAAAGUAGGCCAGCUGCUUUACCAUUUUUAGACAUACUUCAAAUGGCGUCUAGUGACCGAGAGGUUGGACUUCACCAUUAAACGCCAAUGCACAGACUUGUUUGCAAUAGGAAGAGGAUGACAAUACAUGCAUGUGCUCAUUAUUUCCUCCAUAUUUAUACAAAGGUAGUGCUAUCUAGACACCUAUUUUUCCUUCUCACACACUAUGUUAGUUUUUGAUCGUUGGAACGAAUGAAUUGAUAAAGGUCAAACACCAAAAUUGAUAACGAUGUGUAGAAAGCAAAACUAGAGAUGCUAAUAAUAUUAUCUUUAAUGUAAAUAAUAUCGUUUGUUAAAAAAAAAAAACACACACUAUCCUUAGUCAAUUCUUUGGCGAACAUGACUUUUCACAUUACAAAAUAAUACAAACCCUAAUGACUUUUCAAAGGUCAUUCGAUGAUCUUUCUGUGGCGGUAGGUGAAGCAUUACUCUUAUACUUAACUCGAAAAAAUAAAUUCAACCUAUUAUAUAUGUACAUGAUGGUUAUAUAUAUACGUGCCAUGCAUGGACCAACGUCGUCUCACGCGGCUUACACCACCAGUACUUUUUGAAAUGCAAUUUCAUGCAGCUAGGGUUAGCACCUAUGUAAAUUAAAAGAAAGAAUAAAUUAUAUUUUACUACCUCAAUUUUAUGUCGCAUAACAAACUCAUACAUCAUAUUUUAAAUAUUGUAAUGUCAUACAUUAAAUUACGAAUUCGUUGUCAUGUCAAACUUCUAUUAAAAAAUCUGUCAAGUUGGCCGUUUAUCCGCACAACCACUUAAUGAUUAACUUCACAAAUUUGUUAACCGUGGUCCAACAUUUAACGAAUUCGUAAGUUAAUUGAUGUAAACAUUGUAAUGAUCAAAAGAUGAGAUAUAAGUUUGUUAUGUAACCCAAAUAAGGUGGUAAAAUAUAAUUUACCCUAAAAAAAAGUUCCUACAUCCAAAUUUCAAAAAAUAAAAUAAAAUAAUAAUAAUAAUUUCAAAAAUAUAUAAUAAUGUGUAUGGCCGACACCAAUGCGAUUGCUUCUCAUUCAUAGGAUAGGAAUGGCUAAACUUAAACUGAGAAAGAGAAAACACUAGUUGACUAGUCCUAUGCAAGGAAGGAAAUGAACACCCCCAUCCCAAAACAAAAUCCAUAUCCUUUUUAAGUUGAAAAAGUCUGGGGCCUAUUUUUGUCCCUGUGGGCCCAUCUUUUACAUAUUAAUUAUCAAUUAGUACAUCCCAAAGCUAAACUCUAGAUUGGGAUCAAUUUUUAUUCUUCAUGUUUAUUACUUCAAUUGCUUUUUAUAAGAGACCAACCUUAUAAAGUAAGAGAACUUUUUAGUAGCGACCAAUGUAGAACAAUGAAAUUUCUACUCAAAAUUACCAACAUCUCUCUCUAUCAAGCACACACACUAACACUUAGGUCUGUCUCACUACCCAUAAAGCCUCUAUAAAGCCAUUUGCUUGGUAUUGGGUUUCAAUAUCCAGUUUUGUACCCAACUCUCUGGAGAGUUGUGGAGUUAUAGUAUUGACAUGGAGAUCAAUUAUGCUCUAGCUUUGCUCUUAGUCCUCUUUCUCAACUUGGGUAGUUUGCUCACUUCUCUUGCUAACUGCAAUUGCCAACCACCAAAGUACCCUCCAGUUCCCCACUUGCCACCAAGAAGCCACCACCGCAUGUCAAACCACCUCAUGUUAAACCACCCAUUGUAAAGCCACCUCCCUAUCCGAAACCUCCUGUUGCCAAACCACCUCCCCAUCCCAAACCCCCAGUUGUACUGCCUCCACCAUCUACCCCUAAACCCCCAACUGUAAAACCACCACCACCAUCUCCACCAAAGGACACGUGUCCUAUCGACACCCUAAAAUUGGGAGCUUGUGUAGAUGUGUUGGGUGGUCUUAUCCACAUUGGAAUUGGAAGCAGUGCCAAAGAUGCAUGUUGUCCGGUGCUUCAGGGACUGGUGGACUUGGACGCUGCUAUUUGCCUUUGCACCACCAUCAAGGCUAAGCUUCUCAAUGUCAACCUCAUCAUCCCCAUUGCUCUUCAGGUGCUCAUUGCUUGUGGGAAGACUCCUCCCUCUGGAUUCCAGUGUCCUGCAUAGAUGAUCAUCAUAUCUUAUUCCUAAAUCACACUUAGUAGUUGUUAAUCAUGUCAUCAUUAGUGAUGUGUGGCGCCAGCUAGCUGAUAAUAAAGCAUGUCAAAGCUUGAAAGUAAAAACUACUUGGAUAAAUUUGUUAUUCGUUUUUGUUUUGUUUUGUUUACUUGAAGAGUGUAUCAGAUAGAUAUAUUGUUGUAAUUUAGUCAUGUUAUUUUCUUGAACCUUGGAAGUAUAUAUAAUAAUCUGAGUUUAAAGAAGACCUUAAUUAACUCACCGUUUGUAAUCUCCUGUAGAGGACUUACAUGGAACACCACCACCGUGCCCAUGACAUCAUGGACUAAUAAUACAACUUCAUUUGUAAUUAAAGGAACUCACAUACGAUAUUAUAUUAUUGAACCGAGACACUAGUGUAAAUAUUUUAAAUUGAUGAUAGGAUCCUUUACUCUAUUCUUAUAGAGUUGAGUAAUAGUUUUAUAAAAUCAUUAAAAUUAGAGCUAAAAUAACUAUUAAAUUAUGAAUUUUCAUUUCUAAACGUCGAAGAAUUUCGUCCUGUUACCUAAUAUGGUGAUUUUUGGAGUGUGCAAUCUUAGAGUAUAUAAAAACAAGUUUGAUAGUUUGAUUGCUGAAAUUAAUUUUGAGACAUCGAAAAUCAUCUAAAGAACUAAAUACGCCAAUCAUGUCUGUUACCUUUGCCUGACGAAAUAUUAUGUUUUGCCUUAUGAAAUAUAAACCCUAAUUACAACAUAUACCUUUGCGCGACGAAAGCUGGGAGGUUCGUCGUGUAAAGGUUGCCAUUUUAUGUGCCAAACUUUUAUCUUGGUGUGAAAACUUUAACCCACGACAUAAGCUUUGCUCGUCAAACUCUGUUCGCCAGGCAAAAGCAUCUGCAGAAACCAAAACGUUUGACCGUUUUGCUCGACAAACGUUUAUUUUGUCGGGUAAAGACUAUUUGGCGGAUGAAAUACCGUUCGUCUAGCAAAACUUUGUCGAAGAAAUGGUAAUUUCUGGUUGUGUAAUAUAUAUAUAUAUAUAUAUAUAUAUAGGUUUCUCUCCCUUGUGUGUGGCUAUUAUGUCUGUAUCUAUUGAUAAUAGCGUGUUCGCAGGUUCACGUGAAUGUGUAGACUGUAGUGCAUUGAAUUAUUUUAACUGCAUACGUUAGGUACCGCAUGUAAGAUAUCAGAAGGAAAAAAAUAUCAACGUCAAGACUUUCAAAAAUAUAUCAACGUCAGGUACCACAUGUAAGAUACAUGCAACACGUACAACUUUCUUAUGGAUUUUGGAAGUUUGUCUGUAUUUAUACCAAGGCUUCCAAAAAAUACGAGCCUUCUCCUGCAUCGAAGUCCUGCUGAAUCACAUCCACCAAAUCCAAAGGGGAUUGGGAAUAUAAAAAACAAAAAACAAAAAAACAGGUUAGCGAUCGUACGAUCGAUAUCGACCACCAUAUCGACAAUAUAAAGGGAAAAAGAAUAAGAAAUGACAUGUCAUCACCUAACAUUUUCAAUAAUGUCACUAAAACAUUUCAAGUUCCAAUUCAAUCAACCUUUCCUGUCAGCAACGUAUGUCUCGCAUGCUGACAUGCAAUGCCGACCUCUAGCGUAUAUUUAAAGGAAUUUUAACGAAAAGUUUUCGAUACUGUUCAUUUUAACGAAAAAUUACAUUUUUACACUAAAAAGUCAAUUCUGGUACUAUUCAUUUUACCCUUUAUUUUAUCAUUAUCGUUAAAACUCAAAGUUUUCAAACUAUUUUAAUUAGUUUUUCUUAUAUUUAAACUAACAUAAAUAAUAGAUUAAUUUAAACCAAAUUAAACUAGCAAGCGCACAAAUCAAUUGUAGUAAUAUAUACAAAUACGAGGUCAAUCCCACAAGGAUUGCUUUAACACCAAUUUAACCGAUUAAUCAUGCUAGACUUAAUUAAACAAACAAAUGAUAGAUUGAGUUGAAUAAUUGAGUAAUUGAUUAAGACUAUAAUUAACAAGAAAAAUAAAAGACAAUUAAUUAAAACACACACAACAUAAGAAAACCUAAUUUUAUGAAUCCACCAAUAACAAUCCUAUUUACUUUUCCUAGAGCCAACUACUAUCCAAUUACCAUGCCAAUGUUAAAUGUUGUUCUUUCUAAGGUAUGAAUUAAUCCGUGGUCAAUCAUCAACUCUUGUAUCUCUAUAUGAUAAUUAUAUCCUAUUGGUUAGGCAUACAAUUAAACACAUAAAACCCCAUUAAGCGUUGAAGAAUCAUGUCAACCAAGUAGGACUAGUUUGAUAUUGGUCAUCCUCACUAUUUUGUCUACUUUUCUUAAUCUUAGUUCCAAUAAACCUAAUUGAUUGGGCAUCCUCAUAGAUUUAUCUAAAUAUCUAGAUACAAAAUUCAUAAAGGUGAUCAAUGAUUAGAAACUCAAACCUAGAAUAAAAUACCCACAAAGAUUAAAAAUAUAACAUGACAUAUAAUUAGAUAAUAAUUAACAAAGUACUUCGCAAAUAUUCAUGUCAUGGCUUCAUCAUAAACCUUAAAAAAUAACUUAGUUACACAUAGAAAUAAAAAUAAAAGAAAGAUAGAACCCGGAACCCAUAGCAAAGCACGUCCCUAAGCUCUUCUUCACAAAUUGCGGAGAUGGUGAAUGGUAGUAUGGUGUGGGUGAUAUGGGUAUGCUGGGGUGGAUGAUAUCUUAGAGAGCUUAGGGCACUUAUCUAUACUAGAAUAACCCUAAAAGGUCUAGGAGAACUCUCCUAAAAUAAAACAAACUCCUAAACAAUUUAUGACACAAACUAGAAAAAGAAUCCUUCUUGGCUUGGGAAACACGUCAUCUGUCUUGCACUCCAGUUUUGGGGUCGAUUUAUCUUCUGGAAAAUUCUGUACAAAUAUGGGAAACAUAGCUUUAUCUCUUAUCUUUCCAAGCAUAUAUCGCAUGUCACUAGGAAAAAUCAGGAAAGCCUCCAAAUCUUCAUUCUCUCACAGCCGUGCAAUUCUGAUGGGAAAACAACUUCUGCGGGAUUGAUUUGUGAAACUGAAAUGAAUGGCUCUAUGGAAAAUUAUGAAAUUCGGAUACAACGAUCUUCAGCCCCUUAGCUUCCUUCUCCAAUUGGCCUUGCAUCAAAACUCCUCCGGAAAGUCGAGUUAUCACCAAAAACGUCCCAAGUGUGCAGAAUAGCUGAAACUGAGAAAAAGAAAGUAAUAAAGCUCUUUUAUAAUCAAUUCCUUAACAAAACAUAGGGAUAAUUAUUAUGAAAAUAUGAUAAAUAAUGCACCUAUCAACCUCUCAACAGCAAAGCACUUAUGUCACUCCUACGAGAAAUUCUAAGAUCCGACCGAACAAGCCAAGACACAAAAAACCCUUCCCCUAUCCCACCCCGAUUUUAACAUGUUAACCUGGCCUACUUUUAGUCUCACUCUCCUCUCACACCACCUCCAAGUCGAAUGUCCUAGCUACACAAAAACCUCUCUCCAGUCUUUUUAUAAUCCCGCUCUAGUAACCUCAGUUGAAUGACAGGAUAAAUUUGAAUUUUCUUUGGGGGAGGAGGAAAUAAAACCGCCCAAAUAUGUAUCGGAUCACUUGUGCAUCAUGCAGUAUUCAAAUUAACGUGGGUAAAAUGUGGUUUCGUUAGUACUUUGAUGCCUCAGUUUUUCUGCUUUCUUUUGGUAUACACAUUAUUAUAGUGCACCACUUAAUCAGCACACCAUUUGAUAACUCCCUAGCUAGUAUAUACGUUAUUUUUUUAUCUCAUUCAUUUUCUUCCUAGUCUCUCUUCUUUUCUUUUUCCUUUUUUUUUUUUUCCAAUUAGAGGAAACAAUGCUAAGAGAUAUAAUUUUGACAUUAACCCUAAACCGUAAUUUUAUAUAUGAACCAUAAACCCCAAUUUUUUAUCUGAUCAUUUUGGUGGAAAAUAAUCUUUUAUUUUUUUGUUUAAAACGAACAAAAUUGUUUGUAGGGCGAGAUAUGAAAACUUCACAAAUAAAGGUGGGCGUCGGGCGUCCACAUAAUUGUAAACUUUGGCAAGGGUUGUCAAGGAAAUAGGUGUCCAGAGGCAAUGUUUGGGUGUAAACAGAACUACUCAUAUCAAACUCACGAAAGCAUCCUUGAAUAUUAUUGGGUUACAUGCGCGAAAACAUUUGAACUACCACCUUGGUUAUUUCUUGAGGAAGAAGACGACGACGAAUUGGUGAAAAAUAGGGCGCUGAGCUGAACAGCGGCUAAAAGCAUAAAUUUUCUUUGACCAUCUGCACGAACAGAGCGCCAGAGAAACUGGGCAAGAUUCGCAUUUUUCAACAUUUGUCUUAUUAAUUAGUUUCUGAUGAAAUUUCAUUUGCAUAUUGUAGUUUUAUCUGUUUGAUGAGAUUUUAGUAGAUUUUGUAUCUGGGUUUUGAUGUUUUCAGUUUUUCACAUAUGUAAUAACUUCGUACGUUAGAUUGAAGAAGAGCUUUUUUUCCCUUUUGUAUUCGAUUUUUGGGUGUUCUUACUGUAAGUUUGGAUAUUUACUCGACAGUUACUCGACAGUUGUCAUAAAGAUGUCUAGGAGAUACGAUAGCCGUACAACAAUCUUCUCCCCUGAGGGCCGUCUCUACCAAGUUGAGUAUGCAAUUGAGGCCAUUGGGAAUGCAGGCACCGAAUAGGGAUACGUUGCAGCAUGUGAUUGACUUGAGAUAGUUUUAGUGUGACGUGUUAAUUGCAUUUGUACUUCCCUUCCUACAACUUAAGUAACUUGAACAACUUUUACAACUAAUUCUGUGGUUUGUUUUAGUGCAGAUGCAAGAAGUUUUGCGCAAUUCUUUAAACCCCAAGACACAAAACUACACAAAAGCAAAUCAAUCCAUGAAUUAGAGAAGAGCAAGCUGAAAGCAAUAAAUCACUUGGACUUACAUUUUACGUUGGCUUCCCCAAAUAUUAAAUUCCAACCGUUCGAUGCCAGCUCUCCCUUCUCAUCACCACCGUUGGAUUCACCAGAACCGGGACAUCUCCCUCUUCCAGCGCCAAGCUCCGUAUCCCCAGUUCCCACCAAUUCCUCCAAACCCACCUCUUGCAAAUCCUCGUCCAUCUGGGCCCAUUUCCUCAUCCAUCCCAAACCCACCAAAAAAUUGGCCUAGCCCACACCCACCAACCACAAUCCCAACCCCACCCAAAUCAGUCCUGAGCCCACCAGUUCUUCCGCCGCUAAUAGCUUUCCCUCCACCGUCCGGACCGCCAUCCCCUCCGCAGAAAAAGCCGCCACAGUUUGCCGUGUGAGGCGUGGUGAAGCCGACAGUGCCGGACCCGAUAAUCCAAGAAGCCCUGGACUAUGCGUGUGGGUCCGGGGCAGACUGCAAGUCAAUCCGGCCCAAUGGGGUCCUGCUACCAACACAUUGUUGUCGCAUGCUUCGUAUGCCUUCAAUAGUUACUUGCAGAACACGAAGGUCGCUGGAGGCACUUGUGACGCAGGGACUGCCAUGCUUGUCACGGUUGAUCCAAGUAAGUCCAAAUUUUCCCCAUAUCAAGAUAUUAUUUUGGCAUAUUGCAUUUGAUAUUUUCGCAGAACUUUCCUUCAAGGACACGUUGUUUCAUUCAAGGACAAGUAGUCGGUUCUUUAAAAUUUCAAACGUUAUUUUAUUUACAUUAAUCUAAAUUGCGACUAAAAAAUUAAAUAAGUGUGCCUACGUAGUCUAAAUUCCUUACUAAAUCCAGUUUUCUUUGUUUUUAAAAGUUAAUACAAAUCCGAAUUUUUGUUUUUUGGGUUAAGAACCUAAUCGUUGUUAAUGGCGGGUAACAGCAGGAGAGUAUCACUUGACAAAACGAUAGCUUUCGUGUACUCGAUUAUAUUGUCCUUAACUGUUGACAAAACGAUAGCUUUCGUGUACUCGAUUAUAUUGUCCUUAACUGUAAUGGUGAAAGUCCAAGGGUACUAAUUUAAUCUAGACUAUAAAUAAAUUUCAACUUAAUACUAAUUUAAAUUAUGACUUAAAAUAAUCAUUUAUGCAAACUUAAUCCUACACAAAUAUUUAGCACGAAUAUAAAGAGCACACACAAGAUGUAGGAUUUUACGAGGCAAAACCCACCACUGGGAAAAUCCUCGGGCUACCAAGCCAGGAAGCAAUAAGAAAGAAAGAAUACAUAAAGACUUACAAAACUCAUCAACUAGACACUCAUACCAGUUGGCAGCUUUGUCUCCGCACUUUGCUACUCGAUCUUUCUUCAGUCUUCAAGUUAAAGUGGCACAACCCUAACGCAGUCGUCAAUCACUUUUCCCUCGAACUUUGCAGGAUGCUAACUCGAUCAUGCAUAAUAUUUAUAUAAUGAAGUGUUUGUUUGAAAAACAAUCAAUUACGAAAAUCACAAAGCUCAUUUCCAUAAUUGAUAUUCAAUUUAAAACCUCAAAGAAAACAGCAUGAAAAAUAACAAUUUCUCUCAAAAACCCAUGCUGUUGGAACCACAAGCUAACAACACUAUCCAAAUUGUUUUGUUCACGCACUCAAAAACCAAGCUGGUGUUUCUCAAAAAUUCAUUUCAAUAAAAUCAGUUUUUCAUGCGAUAUAUGGCUCACGUUCUCAAAGUCCCUGACAUCUCUUAUAAGGACUUAGAGUCCCACAUCUAUUAAACCGAUAAUAGUGCAAACCGUGUAGUCAGAUAACUCCCAUGCAAUCAGAUAAGUUCCAUCGUGCAAUUAGAUUAUUAUGAAAAGAUGUUUUAAUAAUUAAUAUAGAAAGGAUACGUCAACUUAAAGAUACAAAACACACAGUGAAAAAGAGACCCAUCUCAAAUACAAUAGCAUGAGAUAUAGAUGAAUGUAGUUGGAUGCAUGCGUGCAAACGUACCUGAAUGAGAAUCGCGUUUCGAUAACAUCUUCGCAUCAAAAGUGUGAGAAAACUCCCUAGACUAAAACUAUUACAAUUGUAAAUAUGUAACAAGUCUAAGCUAUUACAGACUCAGGCAUUUUGUCAGGGAUUGCAAUUUUACCCUAACAAUCUCCCCCUUUGGCAUUUCCUUGACAAAACCCUUAAUUACGACAUUUUAGAAAUCGUAAACCUUAUGCACUUAAGUCUGUAAUCUGUACACAGUUAAACGAAACACCCGUGACGUACAAAAGAUAGAUGUUGCAAGAAUAUUAGGAUAAUCAUUUAAACAUAUCAACAUCGCACAACGUUCAUAAAAUAAAAAGAGACUUUAUUAAAAAAAAUAUAAAAAGAACAUAAUAGAACUCUCACAACUAAAAUAAAAAUAAAAAUAAAACUUCUAGCUAAAAACUAUCUCAUCUAUUUCUCCCCCUAACUAUAGUCUCUCCCCCUUUUUGGCACAGGAAAAGCCAAAGAAAGAAAAUCAAUCAUCCUUGGCGGCACCGUCUUCAUCAGAAACCCAGUAGAGAUCUUCUUCUGGAUCCUCUUCGGGUUCUUCUUCAGGAUCCUCUUCUGGAUCAUCUUCUGGAGUAAGAGUGGGCAGUGGUGAGUGGUCCAGAAUGGGGGGACAAGGAGUACGAGUAGACGGUGGAACACAAUCAGAGCGGAAGUCAACCUCGUCAUCAGAUGAAGAAAUAUGAAUAAGAGGAGCAAACAAGUGGUUGGGAAGGCGAUGAAAACAUUGCUCAGAUCAAGCAUUUGUUGGAAGACCGCUUGUGAAAAAUCAACAUCAGGCAAAGCUGAACAAUCAGAGGGGGAAGAAAACAAUCGACGUUUCGCAGAACGUGUACGGGGAGAAGAGAAGGAAGGAUUAGUAACAGGAGUCUUGCCUUUCGGAGCUUGAGGACAUGCAGACUUGCGUGAGGAUGCCAUGACAAAAAAAUGUUUGUGUACAACGUGCAAUGAAUAAAAAAAAACCGACAAUAAAUAAGAGAGAACCACAAAUUGACCCCAAUUGUAAAGCAACUAAAAUACCAAAAAGAUAAAAAAUAAAACAGAAUACAAGAUGUAAUGUCCACAGAGACAUAAUACGAACGGGAGACAGCCAAAACAAUCGAAACCAUAGACAUGCAAUAUGAUUAAACAAGCCAACUCAACAGCAACCCCUAAACUCACAAGGAAUAUUCUCAAUUAUCACUCAAGGUGCUUGGGUUGAAGUGUGUACACUCAAAAAGAUCAUUAUGUGAAUGCUCUACCAUAGGCUUGCAGAUCAAUCUCAUCUCCACACAUCAACAACCUACCCUCAAGAGAUGAAGUAAGUUCUUACGAAGGGUUGUAACAGGGCGUAGGCACUAGAUGAAGUUAAAAAAGGAUAAGGAGAACAUAAGGCCGAGAAGCUAUAGAGUCCUUGAGACAUAAAACUGGAAAGAGUUUGAGACAGAGAUAACCACAAGAGCAUUAGAGAGUGCUUUGCACAUUUGAUAUAUUCGUGGUCUUCAUGUACAGCUGUUACUUUGAUUGUCUUCAGAGAUAAACAGCCACCAUGUGUGGCAAACAUACGACUCUUGAUUCCUUGUUUUUUUUUUUUUUUCAUAUCUUUUUCUUGACUUGGAAAGUUGCUGUCAGCACAAUUUUUGUGUUUGCAGUAGUGAAACAAUCGUGGACUCUUCUCCUUAAAAAUGAUUGAUGCAACUGGCUUUGAUUUUGCAAUGGAGGUGAGAAUCAGUGUAUAAAAAUGGAAGAGGGUAAUAUAUACUGAAGGAGAUGCUCAAUAAUGCGGAUAGGGAAAAAUAGAAAGGCACUGGCUUAUAGGAUAAUGAUGAAGAACGUAAGUCCUACUUUUAUCUCAAGAGGAGAGUAAGGAGUGAUACAAAGCCUUGAGAGAUCUCAAAGCAAGUUCUAGAGAGUCAAAUCACAUAAGAUAGAUCACACAGAAACAAUUAAAAGUGUAUGAAAAAUGCAUACACUAACUAGAGGCUCAAACCUCACAGGGUGCGGAGUUUCUGGCAAGUAGUCAUGUUUAAUCAGAAAACAUUCAUAUAGUAUCAACCACCAAGGCAAAAUAUAUCAUGUUUAGCACAAAGCAGAGGAUUUUGUGGACAACAGUUGUGUAUAUAAAAAAUAUGGAAAUCCUUUGUUUUUUUUUUUCCGGUACUUUUAUGAAGAAACAACUAAAAAAAAUGAAAAGAGAGAAAGAAAAAAAAACAUGAAAAAAAAAAUGAAAACAAACAGAAGUUAAGAAACACGACAGAUUCCUAAUGCCUUGCGAAGGGUUUCAAAACGAUGAGUGUCUAAAGGCUUAGUAAACAAGUCUGCAAGUUGAUGUUCAGUGGCAAUGUAUUCCAGUACUAAAACCUUCUCUUCAACCAAAACACGAAUGAAGUGAUGACGAAUGUCAAUGUGUUUGGUACGAGAAUGUUGAACAGGAUUCUUGGAAAUGUUUAUAGCACUAGUGUUGUCACAGAAAAUAGAGAAAGCAUUUUGAUGAAUGCCAUAAUCACGAAGCAUUUGCUUCAUCCAAAGCAAUUGUGUACAACAACUACUAGCAGCUAUGUAUUCGGCUUCGGCAGUGGAUAAAGAAACACAGUUUUGUUUCUUACUAUGCCAAGCGACAAGAUUAUUUCCAACAUAGAAACAACCUCCAGAGGUACUUUUCCGAUCAUCAGCAUUUCCUGCCCAAUCGGCAUCGGAAAAUCCAACAAUUUCAGAAUUGGUUUCAAAGGAAUAAUGUAGUCCAAACUCAACUGUACCACUCAUAUACCUGAUGAUUCUUUUGACAGCUUCCAGAUGCGACUCUUUUGGAUCAGCUUGAUACCGUGCACAAGCACCGACGCUGAAAGAGAUAUCAGGCCUACUAGCAGUAAGGUACAACAAACUACCAAUCAUACUCAUAUAAAGUGUUUGAUCAACACUUUUUCCAUUUGGAUCCUUGUGAAGUUUUGUGGUUGUUGCCAUGGGAUUGGAGACUGGUUUUGCUGAAGUCAAGCCAAACUUCUUAACUAGGUCACUAGCAUAUUUUGUCUGAAAGACGAAAAUACCUUCUUCAACUUGUUUGACUUGUAAUCCCAAGAAAAAAGUUAGUUCUCCACACAUGCUCAUUUCAAAUUCACUCUGCAUGACCUUAGUAAAUUCUUGUACAAGUGUGGCAGAUGUGGAACCAAACACUAUAUCAUCCACAUAUACUUGUGCUAUCAUCACGUCCUUCUUGAUUCUUUUAACAAACAAAGUCUUGUCGACAGCUCCUCGAAUAUAUCCUUUCUGUAACAAGUACGUUGAGAGUUUGUUGUACCAUGCUCUCAGAGCUUGCUUUAAACCGUACAAAGCUUUCUUCAAACGGUAUACAUGAUCAGGAUGUUUUGGAUCAACAAACCCCUUUGGCUGCUCCACAUAGACUUCUUCUUGAAGUAUUCCGUUUAAGAAAGCACUCUUGACAUCCAUUUGAUAUAAUUUGAAACGCAGAUGACAAGCAAAAGCAAGUAACAACCUAAUGGACUCCAAUCUCGCAACGGGUGCAAACGUUUCGUCAAAAUCCAAACCUUCUACCUGGGUGUAUCCUUGAGCAACGAGACGGGCUUUAUUUCUUGUGAUGAUACCAUGUUCAUCAGUUUUGUUUCGAAACACCCACUUUGUUCCUAUAACAUUUGUUUCUUUGGGUCGGGGAACAAGGUACCAUACAUCAUUUCUAACAAAUUGAUUGAGUUCCUCUUGCAUGGCCGUUAUCCAGUCAUCAUCUAGUAGAGCUUCCUUGGCAUUUUUUGGCUCAAUCGUUGAUAUGUAGCAUGUGAAGUUUACUAGAGCAGUAGUUUUACUUCUUGUCAACAUUUGAUCUUCGACGUCACCAAUGAUGUCUAACUUGAAGUGAUCUUUUUGCACUUGCUUGUGUCAUUUUCUCAAGGAUUUUGUUGAAUCAAUAUUUUGAUGCACUUUACCCUGAGUAGUGGAUAACCCUUCAACUGAUUUGACUUGAAAGAAUUCUUCAUCUGAAGCAGAUUGUUCAAUACUUACGAGAGAGUCAUUCACAACAACAUUAAUGGACUCCAUAACAUUUUGAGUUCUCUUGUUGAACACCCUGUAUGCUCUACUGGUGAGAGAGUAUCCUAGAAAAAUUCCAAUAUCAUUUCGAGAAUCAAAUUUUGCUAACAUUUCUCUAUCUCUGUAAAUGUAGCAUAUACUACCGAAUACUCGCAAAUGCUUAACAUUUGGCUUCUUCCCUUUCCAGAUCUCAUAGGGUGUACACUUUGUACCGGGUCUAAGAUAGACUUUAUUAGCCGUAUAGCACGCAAUGCUAACUGCUUCAGCCCAGAAAUGCUUAGCCAAACGAGCGCUUGUCAGCAUGACACGACUCAUGUCAAGUAAAACACGAUUCUUUCGUUCCACGACUCCGUUUUGUUGAGGAGUGAUUGGAGCAGAAAAAUUGUGAUCAAUUCCUUUUUCAUCACAAAACUUAGAAAAUGAUAUGUUUUCAAAUUCAGUUCCGUGAUCGGUUCUGAGUUUUACCACACGAUCAUUUGAAGCCACUCUAUCAUUUUGAAUUUUAUUCAACAAACCAAAAAAUGCUGUGAACGCAUCAGAUUUCUCUCGCAAGAAGACAACCCAAGUAAAGCGUGAGAAAUCAUCCACCAAAACAAGUAUGUAUUUUUUUCCCCCAAUGCUUUCGGUUUGUACUGGUCCAACCAAGUCCAUGUGCAUCAGUUCCAAAGGUCGUGAAGUUGAGAUGUAAUUUGUGGAUUUGUGUGAACUCUUGGUUUGCUUUCCCAUUUGACAUUCUCCACAAAUUCCAAGUUCUCCAGUCAACAACGGUAAACCUCUUACAUAUUAUUUCUUGGAAAGCUUGAUCAAAUCCUUACAGUUCAUGUGACCCAAUCGUUUAUGCCAUAAAUCCAAAACAUCGUCAGUUGCUUUAUUGCAUAUGUCUGGCACAUGUAACUCAUUUGCAUUCACACAAUAACAAUUGUCUUUAGACCUUUUUCCUUCAAAACUGUCAACCUCUUUAGCAAUCUUUACACUACAUUUCAACUUAUUGAAAAGUACUUCAGCAUCAUCAUCAUCACAAAUUUGACUAAUGCUAAUUAGGUUAGCUUUAAGUCCAUCUACUAACAUGACAUUUUUUAAGCAUGGAAUUCCUAGUGUUUUGAUUUCUCCUUUUCCAACGAUCCUUGCUCUUUUUCCAUCUCCAAACAUGACUGCUCCAUUUUUGCAAUCCUCGGUGAAAGUUGUGAACCAUCUUUUGUCUCCAGUCAUGUGCCUUGAGCAACCACUGUCUAGAUACCAAGUAUCAGACUGACAAGAUGAGAGAGCAGUGAAGGCCACCAAGCAUGUAAGAUUGUCCUCCUCAGAUGAAGGUGACACCUUAUCCAACAACCAAAUUUGAGUCUCUUUUCUUCUCCAUACUUGCUUUAAGUUUUGAGUAAGGAAGUUAGGCAUUAUUUUUGAAAUUCUAUUCAUUCCCUUUGGAUGAGCAACAAAUCUCCCUUUGAGAUUUGAUUUUUCAGAAAUCCAAGAAGUGGUGUGUUUAGUUUGAUUUUCCUUUCGAAGUUUGUAACACCUAGGUCUGAUAUGUCCUAUUUUUUCACAGUAGUGACGGAUAGGAAUAAAAGUUUUUGACCUAAUGAACUUCUUUGGAUCAACAAAAUUUCUCACGGAAUUUGACUCUUUUGUAGUGAUACACGAAUUUCCAAAAGAUUCAUCUACUCACUUUCCUGCUAGGUUCUUGUAAAGCUUUGAUAAACUUGGUAACAGAAGUGGAAGAACUUCCAGUUAUAUCAAAACCUAGACCGCUUCGAUCACUUGAAAUCUUUCCAUAGCUCAACAUUUUGUCAAUUUUGCUUGAGCCAAUGCUAAACUCUUCAACUUUCUUCUUUAUGUCAUUCAAUUCACUUUCAAGACCUUUGUUGUCUGAUGCUAGCAUAUGUAGCUUCUCCAACAUUGACUCUCGUAGCUUUUCUGCAUGUUCCAUUUGAGAUUGAUGCUCGGUCUCUGCUUCCUUCUUCUCACUUUCAAGCUGCACGAGUUUAUUUUUCAGUUAUUCAUUUUCCUUCUUCACUUUCAUGGUGAUAUCAUAAAGUGCAGUGUACUUUUGUAAGACUUUUACGGAGUCAGGCUCUUCAACUUCCGAAUCAUCAGUCUCAUAUCCAUCAAAAGUUCCAAUAAAUGCAACCACUUCCUCAUCAUCUUCAGAUGCCGUGUCUUUUUCUGACUCACUGUCGCUCCACGUGGAAGUUAAAGCCUUGUUCUUUUCAUCUUUCAGCCUUUUAAGAGUAUUGGCACAUUCAUGAGCAUGAUGUCCAUACCCUUGACACUCGAAACACUUAUCUUUAUCAUUCCAACUUUUCUUUUCACCAAGUUUGACAGACUUGGGAGUAUUUCCAUGAGAAACAUCUCUAGAACGAGGGACUUUAGAGUUUGAAUCAAAAUUGUUUCGACUUUCACGUCCCCUAGAACUUCUAAGCUUCAAAAAUUUCCUAGCUUGUUUGGUAAGGAGGGCAAAUUCGUCUUGAGUCAAGGUUUCAAAUGGAUCCUCAUUCAUUUUUUCAUUAUUGACUUUAAAGGCAACAUUUUUCCCUUUCUUGCCUUCUGUAAAGUCGGACUCAUAUGUUUGUAAGGAUCCAAUCAAUUGUUCUAACUUGUAAGUGUUCAAAUCUUUCGAUUUUCUAUAACUGUCCUUUUUGCAUGAAACCUUGAAGGAAGAGAUCUUAGAAUUUUCUUAACAACCCUAUGCUCUGGAAUGCUAUCACCAAGAUUGUGACAACCAUUGACAAUUACACUAAGCUUAGCAUAGAAGUCAGAAAAACUCUCAUCAUCUAGCAUUUUGAUAUUUUCAAAUUUUGUGAUGAGAUUUUGAAGCUUGGAUUCUUUGACAGUAGAGUUACCUUCAUGAGUAACUUCAAGAAUAUCCCAAGCUUCUUUUGCCGUUAUGCAUUUACUAAUGUAGUUAAAUUGCUCAGGCGAAACGGCAGUAAAUAACGCAUUCAAUGCCCUUUGAUUGAAUGUGCUAGAGUUGCGUUCUUCUUCGCUCCAUUCCCUUCUAGGCUUAAGCAACGACAUGGUUACCGAAGACUGUCCUUCGCCUUUGGUUUCUUUAACUAUUGGAGGUUCCCAGCCUUCUUCAACCGCAAGCCAUACUCUGUCGUCAAGCGCCUAGAGAAAUGAUUUCAUCUUUGCCUUCCAUGCAGCGUAGUUGUCACCAUCAAAAUGUGGUGGAUGAGAAACUGAACCCAUAGCACGAUUCAUCCUAGACUACCCACGGAUCUCACUAGAUAUUUUUAGUGACCUACUCUGGUGCCAAUUGAAAGUCCUAGGAUGGGUACUAAUUUAAUCUAGACUAUAAAUAAAUUUCAACUUAAUACUAAUUCAAAUUAUGACUUAAAAUAAUCAUUUAUGCAAACUUAAUCCUACACAAAUAUUUAGCACGAAUAUAAAGAGCACACACAAGAUGUAGGAUUUUACGAGGCAAAACCCACAACUGGGAAAAUCCUCGGGCUACCAAGCCAGGAAGCAAUAAGAAAGAAAGAAUACAUAAAGACUUACAAAACUCAUCAACUAGACACUCAUACCAGUUGGCAGCUUUGUCUCCGCACUUUGCUACUCGAUCUUUCUUCAGUCUUCGAGUUGAAGUGGCACAACCCUAACGCAGUCGUCAAUCACUUUUCCCUCGAACUUUGCAGGAUGCUAACUCGAUCAUGCAGAAUGUUUAUAUGAUGAAGUGUUUGUUUGAAAAACAAUCAAUUACGAAAAUCACAAAGCUCAUUUCCAUAAUUGAUAUUCAAUUUAAAACCUCAAAGAAAACAACAUGAAAAAUAACAAUUUCUCUCAAAAACCCAUGCUGUUGGAACCACAAGCUAACAACACUAUCCAAAUUGUUUUGUUCACGCACUCAAAAACCAAGCUGGUGUUUCUCAAAAAUUCAUUUCAAUAAAAUCAGUUUUUCAUGCAAUAUAUGGCUCACGUUCUCAAAGUCCCUGACAUCUCUUAUAGGACUUAGAGUCCCACAUCUAUUAAACCGAUAAUAGUGCAAACCGUGUAGUCAGAUAACUCCCAUGCAAUCAGAUAAGUUCCAUCGUGCAAUUAGAUUAUUAUGAAAAGAUGUUUUAAUAAUUAAUAUAGAAAGGAUACGUCAACUUAAAGAUACAAAACACACAGUGAAAAAGAGACCCAUCUCAAAUACAAUAGCAUGAGAUAUAGAUGAAUGUAGUUGGAUGCAUGCGUGCAAACGUACCUGAAUGAGUAUCGCGUUUCGAUAACAUCUUCGUAUCAAAAGUGUGAGAAACCUCCCUAGACUAAAACUAUUACAAUUGUAAAUAUGUAACAAGUCUAAGCUAUUACAGACUCAGGCAUUUUGUCAGGGAUUGCCAAUUUUACCCUAACAAAUGGUAAUCAAAUUAUAGAACUUUGAUGAAGAUAAUUAGAAGUACACGUCCUUGAGUGCACAUUUAAUUUGUAAACCUACAAGCACAUCCACAUAUUUUGGAUUCUCAAGAAACAUAUAAUAAUUCAGUAAGCUGUAAGCUCUUUCUUUACUCGAUGACUGGAAAAUUGGAUGCAAAAAACGCAUGCUACAGACAUCGAUACAGGAUGAGGAACCAUGACAAAAAGUAAGUGUUUUUUUUUCCUCUCUUUUUCCUCAAACGAUAAACUAAAUGUUUGGUAGAACAUUAUCCUGUCUUGGUUAAUAUAUUAGGAUUUAAAUAGUAACAUCCAUAAACAAAGAGAUAAUAUUGGAUGAAAAUCAACGUCUCUCUUCUGUAAGGGAGCAGGGUUGUUGGAAAAGGUAAUCAAGGAAAAGCCAUGCAGAACUUUGCAUUUUUGUUUGGACCCACAAUCGAUUUCAAUUUGAUUGAGUGUACCCCUAAUGGGGAAUAAUUAAUUCUUCGAAGUUUUGCUAGCUAGCUAGCAUAACCCUGCACGUAUAUGGGUGGCUGUCAAACUAUUGAUGAAUCGCAAUUUAUUCUCAUUAAUAGUUAGAUAGUUGUUAAAUUAUUGAUGGAUCAAGAUUUGUACUCCUCAAUAGUUGAUUGAUUGUCAAGUUAUUAAUGGGUCGAAAUUUACGCUCAUCAACACUUGACAAUAACGCGACAAUGUUACUGGCAAUUCUCCAACAAAUAACUUACAUUUUAUUCAUUGGUGUCAUUGCUCAUCAUGUGCAUUUUUUGACCUUUACAAAAGAUCCUGUCUCUAGCUAAAUUCCUACGACUCUUACAUCUAUGAAAUAUAUGCUUACAAAGUUUAACAAGUAGUUAAUUAAUAAUAUUUAUCUUUCUUACUUUAAUUGUGGUGAGCAAUAUCUUUAGUAUAAUUACUUUAUAUUUUCUCAUAGGGUGACCCCACACUAAAUUUGCUUAAUUUUAUCUCUUUUACUUUAAAUUGGUGUUGCUUUGGAUGAGUGACACAAGAUGCUAACACAUCCUUUGCAUGAUUGUGACAUGGCAGGUUAUGAUGAAUGCAAUUUCUUCUUCAACGGAUCAUCCUGAAACAGAUAUAUAUAUAUGACUCUAUUAGCUAUUACGAGAUUAAGAAAGAAAAAAUGAUAGGAAGAUCCAAUUUGUUAGACUAUUUUUUGUAGGCGUAUGAUGUGGCCAGUGGCGAAGCCAGGAAUGGAUGGGGGGAGGGGCGAAGUCAGGUAAUGAAAGGGGGACACGCGGUCCCCCCAAUAUAUAUAUAUAUAUAUAUAUAUAUAUAUAUAUUUAUUUAUUUAUAUUUUUUUUCGAAACAUACGAAACGGCGCCGUUUCAAUUAUUAUUUUUAUUUAUUUUUUUUGCCAAGACCAAAACGACGUCGUUUUGGCCUGGAUGAUUUAAAAAAAAACGCAAUAUGCUGUUGCGCGCAACAGAACCCACACAUCACCAGACCACAGGGAGCUCUGAACCCAGUGGCGGAUCCAGGAUUGUAAGAUUGGGUGGUCCAAAUCUAAAGUUCCAAAAAUUAUUAGACGAAAAAUAAUAUUAAAAAAUUAAACAAUAAACAACUGUUAUUCACAAUCUUCUUACAAACAACAUUACAAAUUACAAAGACUAAAUAUGUCCCCAACGAGAUUUCAUACUAAAAAAUGUCAUGAUAGAUUUAUUGUCAACUAGAGCAAAAACAUCCGUAUAUCAUUGAAACCAUCCAAUAUUGAAAUUCAACUAUUUGAUCUGGGUACAUUGGAGAGGAGACUAGUGUUGCGCUGGUGGGGUGGGGUGGGGUGGGGUGAGGUGGGGGUGGGGAUAAGGAAUGGUUCUCUAUUUCAAAUUUGAACUGUUUUGUUUUUGUUUUUUCAAAAAAAAAAAAAAAUUGUGAAAACUAUAUAUUAAAGAAGUGCACCAAACGCACCGUUUUACUAAGGGUGUUUUCAAACCCCCCCGAGCCCUAUGUAAAACAUAGUCUUCUUCUUCCUUCUAAUUUGCAGAACACCAGAACUCUGCAGCCCCACUCCUCUUAUCCUCCACCUUGUGCCCAGACUUGGGUGGUCCUCGACGUCCUUAUAGCAUAUUAUCUGGACUUUCGGGUGGUCCCGGGACCGCCCAGGUCCCUUAAUAGAUCCUCCCCUGAACCAGUGGGUUUUUCGGCGAGGGGAGGGGCGGACCCAGAAAUCCAGUCCUGUUUUCCGGCGAGGGGAGUGGCGGCCGCCACUCCUCGCCCUCACGUGGCUUCGCCACUGGAUGUGGCGGUUGAAGGUUGGACUCAUUUUUUAAAUAAUUUAAAGAAAAAGUCUAACUAUCAAUAGCCACAUCAUGUAAUUAACAAAUGAUAAUUUCAAAUUUUGGUCUCUCUAGCAUCAAAUUCUGUUAACUUAAAAUUUUAUUUAUUUUUCAGCAGAGAUCUACACUACGUAUACAGCACAUUUUAUUUAGGAGGAGUUCCAUAUUUGUGAGUGCAAAUGGAAUUUUGGCUGUAAAGAAGUAGUGGCACGUGAAAGUGAAGUUGUAUUGAUCUUCCUGUCUUCCGGUGUCCAUUUUAUGUACACGGAGUAUACCUAGCAGUUGCAUGUUCCCUUUGAGAUUUCCAGAUUGUCCAAAAACUGCUUACACUAAUAUUUCUUUUAUUUAGCAGGAUUAAAAAGGAGGGUGCUUUUGUUCCACAAAUAAGUAAUAAAUCAUGAUGACGCUGGUCUCAUAUAACAUUCUAGAGUCUCUUAAAGACAAAACAUGAGAAAAUGCGGGCAUAGAAGAUGGAGAAGUGAUGUUGGGAGAGAUGUAGAGAAAAUGUAUAAAGAAAGGUGUAGAAAACUAAAUCUAAAAACUAAAAUUUAAAAUUAUAUAUUUUGAAUUGUUUUCACUUUCGAGAUUUUGUUUUCAUUCAUUCUUCUUUGUUUUGUCCCGUCUCCCCCUCGACCUUUCUUCAUCCCUAAUAUCCUCAAUAUAUUUUGCCCAUAUCUCAAACAAAAUAUAAAAACUAAUAGUUAAAAACCCAAUGAAACUUGUUUCGUAAUCAGCUAGCAUUAUUACUCCUUUUUUCUUUUCCUCUCAAGAGUCGAGAUAGAAUAUCUAGCUAGAUCAAUGUUUUUGUCAACAAAGAUACCUUGCACCAAAAGUAGGCCAGCUGCAAUACAAUUUUUAGACAUACUUCAAAUGGCGUGACCGUGAGGUUGGACUUUCACCAUUAAACGCCAGUACACAGGCUUGUUUGCAAUAGGAAGACGAUGACAAUACAUGCAUGCUCAUUAUUUCCUUCAUAUUUAUUAGAUCUAGCAUUCAUGUUGUUUUCGUGUCAUACCCGAUAGCUUAAUGGGUUGUGUCGUGUAAUACCAGUUAAAGUAAACGGAUAAUAUGACCCGACCUGAAAUCAAUCUGUUAAUAUUAUUAGAUAAUAUGACCCGACCCGUUACCCUUUAAGAAAAAUAUAUUUUAAAUCAAUAAAAAUGAAAAUGAAAAACAUAAUUUGACCCAAAAAAUGUAAAACAUAAUACUAAAUUAAUAUAUAUAUAUAUAUAUAUAUAUAUAUAUAAAAUUUCGGAGUUAACCCCUUCAUGAAAGUUGUAAAACUUUUCAUUAUGAGUGAUUACAUUUUUCACACUUCUACAAUAAUUAUUAUUAAUUUUGCACUUAAAUAAAAAACAUUGUUCAUGAGAUUUGGAGGGUUUUAAAAAUCUAAACGACCAUGUAACCAUCGUCUAAGUGUUGAGGAUGCAAUUAUGAAAGUUUAUUAUGCUUCCACAUCUUUCAGACUUAUACAUUAAUGAGUAUGAAUUUUGUUUAUUUUGAACACCCUUAUAUAAGAGUGUGAAAAUAUUUAGAGAGGAUCCUUGCCCCAAAGAAAAGGGCAAUAGUCUCUCUCUCUCUCUCUCUCACCGUCAAGCAUACAAAUUAACACUUAGGUCUGUCUCACUACCCACAAAGCCUUUAUAAAGCCAUUUGCUUGGUAUUGGGAUUCAAUAUCCAGUUCCAAACUCUCUUGAGAGUUGUGGAGUUGUAGUAUUGACAUGGAGAUCAAUUAUGCUCUGCCUUUGCUCUUAGUCCUCAUUCUCAACUUGGGUAGUUUGCUCACUUCUCUUGCUAACUCCUAUUGUCCACCACCAACAUACCCUCCAGUUCCCCACUUGCCACCCAAACACCAUCCCCACGUAACGCCACCCUCCCACCCUAAACCAUCAAAGAAGCCACCACCGCAUGUCAAACCAGAUCCACAUGUGAAACCACCUCAUGCAAAGCCUCCUCCCCAUGUUCCCAAACCGCCUUCAAAGCCACCUCAUGCAAAGCCUCCUCCUCAUGUACCCACGAAACCACCUCAUGUUAAACCACCUAUUAUAAAGCCACCUCCUUAUCC